This 99962-nucleotide long non-coding RNA is filed under the name Malus domestica (apple). RNAcentral's name for it is "long non-coding RNA (MDOM_LNC009719)". Lineage: Eukaryota; Viridiplantae; Streptophyta; Magnoliopsida; Rosales; Rosaceae. The record is from RNAcentral.
GCAAGUCGCACGUAAAGUCGCUUCUGAGAGAAUGUGCUCACAUUGUAGUUGAAAGAUUAUGUGGCUAGCAACAUUACAAAUUUAAUUUGGUAUAAUUUUAAAAUAUGGAUUGAGGAAAAAAAUGAUCACAUUAACUAGAAACUGAAAAGGUUUCAGCACAGUUUGUUCAAGCAAGAAACUCAAUUUUGAUGCUACCGAUCUUGAGCGCCGUACCUGGGCACCAAAGUCACCACCACACUCUCAUCAUCUUCAGCACCCAAAUCCUCCAACAGGUCCGUUAACCCCAACCUUAAACAACUCUUGCUCUUUUCCUUCUGCUUAUGUGGCACACUCACAAAACUCCCAGCAAACUCGCUCUUGUCGGGUCCACUCGGUGCCGCAUCCUCAUCGUCCACGUCAUUCACAUACACAUCAAACUUCACAGCCACAUCUUUGUCAAGCUCAAUCCCCUGAAUCACCAAUAUCUCCUCCUCAUCCUCUUUCUCCUUCUUGCUCCUCUUCUUCGGCUUCGGCCUUGACACCACCGUACUUAUCUUCGUCUCCAAAUUUAUUGGAAAAUCUUUACCCGCCACCACCUUCCCUGAUGACGUCGUCUCAGCGGCCUUCGCCACUCCAGCCGCCUUUGCCUUUCUCGCAAGCUUUGUCCGACGUGGCGUCGGUCUAGACUUGAGCCAUGGAAUCUCAACAUCUUCAUACGUAUACCCUAGCUUUUUAUUAUCAAGAGUGUCCCUCACCGUGACCCUAACAAGCUCAGCAUUCUCGUCAUAAAACAAAAACCCCGUAUCCAACCAAUCCUUAUCGUUAAUAUCUUUAUUUUUAGUCCCUAUACUUUUCCAAAUAUUCCACAUUCGAUCUAUAUUCGAAUGGUGCGAAAAAAAUAUUGGAUCCCUUCCAGCGGAGUAAAAAUUCCCCAUGUCUUCAAAUUAGGUUGCGUGUUAUCUCCGGUCCAUAAAUGAACCGGACCAUGUGGGGUCGUUUCGAUUGAACCGCCCCCUGGAUCUGGUUCAGUGCCAGCCCUGUAGGGCGAACCAAAGAACAACAGCGGUUUCUUGGAGUUGGAAACCAUCUGCCUAUACAUAAUUUUGAGGUUGGCUUCGAUUUGAGCAUCGUUGGACAUUGUUUCAUCCGUGCCGUUGAAGUCAAGAUCGAUGAGAGUCGGCGGCUGAUGGCUGGCAGCGCGAAGCUCGUCGUAAAGCGGAGAGUCCGGGUUAGCGAACAAGGCAGGGAGUUGCAUGCCAGCUGGCGCGUCCCAGUUCCAAAACGGCAACGCGAACGUCGGAUCGUCUAUGAGUUUGGCCAAGAUUCUUUCGUGGAAGUAUAGGUAGUAACGAUGGAAGGGGAAGAAAAGCCAGCAUUGAUGGAUUUGGAGCUCGAGGUUGGGGAAGCCGACUUGGUCGUACGCGCCGUCGCAAUAGGCACAGUGGAGAUCGGCUUGCUGGGUGAAGCUACGCGGAUCGUCGUCCGGGAGGGCUUUCAUGAGCUCGAUGGCUUUUGAAUAUUUUUCGAUGUAGGCUUUAUCCACGGUGUGAGCUGCCGGCCUGACGCGGAGUUUGGUAGGGGAGGGGAAUUUGAAGUCUACGAUUUUUUGGGACGUUGGCGGGCAACAGUUGGUCGGGACUGCUCCACUUGGAAAGUCCGCAGCUCCGCAUUUGGCUAGGUCAGGCGGCGACACUGGCUUUGCAACAGCGAAGGGGUCGCUGCCAAGACCAGCCACUCCACCGUAUAGGCUUCCGAGACCUAUAAGUACAUUUCUUCUGUCUAGGUUUACUGGAGAAGGGUUUUCAUGGUCGUGAUCGUUGGAGCUAGUGGAAGGGUUUUUGUUUUGGUCACUACUAUUAUUUGUGGCUUUGCAUGAGACAGCUUGUAAAUUGGAAUGCCUAGGGUUUCCAAAUGAGGAUAUUCGGUGAUACUUUUGGGAGAAAGGGGAGAGGAAAGUUGUGGGGAUGAUACUUGUGGCGGAGGUGACGAGUGGAGCUGACAUAGAAGCCAUGGUUACUUUUGACUCUGAAUAAUACGUUGUAUUGGCUUUGCUUUUAUAAUGUGUUCUAGGUUGUACUUUUCUUUGCACAGGUGGCAGGCCGUACACACGUGGUCGGUCCUUAAGGGUUUGACGAGGAAUACUACGUAGUCAUUUAGUACAGGACAACCAUACACUAUAGCAAGUGGCAUGUAUUUAGAGAUCGAGAGAGAAUUGGGUAAGGUUCACGAGGGAUUUGUAGUUUCAGAAGGUGAAUUGGUUUUGGUCUUCUUGUGUACCAAUAAUAUUUACUUAGUCAUUUAGUGCAGGACAACCAUGCACUAUAGCAAGUGGCAUGUAUUUAGAGAUCGAGAGAGAAUUGGGUAAGGUUCACGAGGGAUUGUAGUUUCAGAAGGUGAAUUGGUUUUGGUCUUCUUGUGUACCAAUAAUAUUUACUUAGUCAUUUAGUGCAGGACAACCAUGCACUAUAGCAAGUGGCAUGUAUUUAGAGAUCGAGAGAGAAUUGGGUAAGGUUCACGAGGGAUUGUAGUUUCAGAAGGUGAAUUGGUUUUGGUCUUCUUGUGUACGGCUGUGGGUCUGCUGUCCCGGACUCUCUGUCUCAUUUGUGUCUUAUUUUUUAUUUUUUCACACGUGUCUUUUACUUAACGUCAAAUCAUGAUAGCAAUGUUAUGCAAUUGGGAGCUAAACGACCGAUGCUUUUAUUUUUUAGUUUGCUUUUUUUCCAGAUCUGAUCAAAUCAUGAUAGCAAUGUUAUGCAAUUUUCAAGAGGGAAAGAUGCACCUGGGAGAGAAACGGUACGGUGACUUCUAAAUCACCGUCCAACAGAACAAUUCUCAGUAGAGACUACUAGAGAGAGAUGCACCUCACCAAUGAAAAAUUUAACUGCAAAAAUUCUGGGUAUUGGGUAAGGAAAUUCGGUGAUACUUUUGGGAGAAAGGGAAGAGAGAAGUUGUGGGGAUGAUACUUCUCGUGGAGGUGACGAGUGGAGCUGACAUAGAAGCCAUGGUUACUUGACUCUGAAUACUACGUUGUAUUGGGUUUGCAUAUAUAUAUAAUUAGGAUUGAAGGAUGUAGAGCUUAUUUUGUUAUGUAUUUUAACGAUUUAAGUGCUUAUCUUUUAGGUUUUCUCUUAAACAUCAUGUCUAUAAAAAAUCACCAAAAUUCAAACCAUAUGACCAUUAGAUCCAUAGUCAUUUUAGUGUUUAUUUGUAAAAUGUAUUCAUUCAUUUUCUUCACUACAAAUGAGUGAAUUAAUGAUUUUAGAAUUUGUCUAAUUUUUUACAUUGAUUAUUUAUGAAUGUUGAAUUGAAAUUUAGACGAUUCAAAAAUAGUUGAUAUGCAUUACAAAAUGAACUCCACAAAAUAAGUGUCAAAAUAUGUAUAAAAAAUGGACAGCGUGAAUGGCUUGGAAAUUGGAAUAGGUUUGAAAAUUGUGCUUUUUGUAGCAAAUUUUAGCAAAGUUUGCUUGGACUUUCACAACCGUAUAAAUUAAAGGGAAACUUGAUAUAACUCCAAUUUUUUGAGCCAAUAGUAGGAAUAGUCCAGUUUAUUAAAAUAAGUUCAAUUCUUUAAAUUUAAUUAUUUAGUUAUCAAUAAUUAUCUCUUAAAAGAAAAAACUUAUUGUAAAAAUCAAAUUUCUUCCUAAUUAUCUCUUUGAUUAUUUCUUUUUAUUUAUUUAUUUGUUAUUUCUUGUUCUUCCUCCUGCUUUAACCCAUUUAUAGAUUUUUUUUUUAAUUUUAUAAUCAACCUAUGUCACAGGUUAAUUGUAUUUAUCUACCUAUAUGACAUAUUCUUUUUCAUAGUCAACAUUUCACAGAUUAAUGUGUCUUGCUUGUAGAUAUAUUAUGUUUUUUUCUACCUUUUAGUUAGGUUUCAUAUCUCACUUAUAGGUAUAAUAUACAUUCAUAUAUUUGCUACUUGAGUUAGGGUAGAAUGUUUUGCAGAUAGAUUUAUGUUAGUAUAUUAAUUUUUUUUUGUUUAUAAGAUAUUAAUUAGAUAUUUUGGAGUUGAAAAAUGCAUAAUAUUAAAAGCUUUUAAUUGAUUUUUAAUAUUUUUAGAAAAUAUAAAAGGAGUAUAAAAGAAAUCAAAACAUAUAAUUAGAUAACGGGAGUCACUCCUAAAAACACUCUAUGUUUUUUGACCUGGAUCUUAAAGCCCCUAAAUUAAACUGUUCGCUUUGUUGGGAAAAAGAAGUGGCCCUAGUUUCCCUUUGAUUUUUCAAGCACGGUGGGAGACUGGUCAUAGUUUCUAGAUUGAUGCUCUAAUUCUAAUGUUAUACAACGCGUACGCUAUAAUAUUUUUAUCAAAAUAUUAGUUUUAGUGUUAUCAAAACAAUAUGUUAUUCUUACCAUGUUUUUGUAUCACAAUUAUAUACCACCUUAGAUGGUAUCUGAUGUGGACAGCCACAUCAUUUAAAUUAAUAAGCAUUUAAUUUCAAAAUGUUAAUCAAUAAUUAAUAAAAAGAUUGUUAAUUAAAUGAUGAUUGUGGUAUACAAGGAGUCUCCUUCUUCCUUCCUCUUUCCAUUCUGCUUUUUCUUCUUACCUCUUUUUUUUUUUUAAUGCCAGUUUUGUAUUGAUUUCUGUUGAUUUCCAUGAUUAUGGUCAAUCUUUAUAGAAUUUACUAGUAUGCCACAAUCACCAUUGAUUUCUAUCUCCAGACUCAUGCCCCGUAGCCCUAAUCCUCAUUCCCCUUCAAGUAUUUCUGUCUCCAAUCUUCUUUGGUACUCCAUGAUUGUUCAUCUCGUGAUAUUUUUUUUUUUGAUUAUUUCAUUAAGUAACGCUUAUUAGCUUUCAUGCGAAUUAGGAGUCAAAAUCAAAUUUGUCUAUCGGAUUAGGGUUCAUACCCAAUUAAGUUACUAACGCCAGAGGGAUUUUGAAGUAUGCAAUUUUCCUUAUUUAAGUGUUUUAAUUAAUAAGAAAAUUGAAAUUAAACAAUUUAGCUUGUCCAACUCAUCUGCCACCUAAGAUGGUAAAUAAAUGUGGUAUAAAAUUGUGGUAAGAAUAUCAUUACUCUUAUCGAAAUUACAAAAAAAAAAAAAAAAGCUGAUUCAAUAUUUAGUUAUUAAAAAAAAAAUGAUCAAGUAACUAUCCAAUACCCAUGUAUUGGGUGCUUUGUUUGAAAAUUUUCAAAAUGAUAUUGGGCUCGUUUGGAUAUGUUUUUAAAAUGACUGAAAGCAUUUUUAGAGAAAAUAUUUUUUUGAUUCCAAAAGCACUUAAAGUGCUUUCUGCAAGAAGCACCCGUUAUGUGCUUCUUCCUGGAAGCACUUUAAGUGUUUUUCCAGCAUUUACUUGCUUUUUUACUAAGGACUGGUUCCAAAAACAUUUUCACAAAAAGUGUUUUCAGUCAUUUUAAAAGCACAUUCAAACGAGCUCAUUGUUUUUCCUAUUUUAAUCGAGUGCGUCGUCCUCUGUUGAGAAUGAAUCUCAUAUUAUGGGAGGAGGGAUCUUGCAUGAAUGGGAGGAGGGACCUUGCAUGAGCUUAUAAGUAAGUUGGGUUACUCUCCAUAUUGCCAAAAGAAAUUUUAUUUGGACCCAGUUUUCCUCUCUCUAAACCCAACUUUAAUAUUUUGUUACCUAUAAACUCUCUAGUUUACCCUCAUAAAUUAUAAACAUAAAUAAACUAGAAAAAGAAAAACUCAUCAAACCCAUUUCCCAACUGUUCUGGCGUCUCUUCCCUGUAUUUGUUGGGUCUGUCUCCCUCCCGACUGUUUUUUUUUUUCUGAUAUCUCUGUGUGUUCCCCCACCUCUCCCACACCCACCAAUUCUUUGUGGUGGCUAUUCCACCAAACGUCCAGUGAAUCUUUCCAUUUUUCUUCUAUUGCGCGUGAUAGGGCCUUGCUAUUAAUAGGCAAAACUAAGCGGCAUCGUCGACUCCGUAAGCGACUUGUUGCAUAAGUCCAAAAUGGAGUCAAAUGGAUUUUGUAUUGGGUCGGGUUGUUGAAGGCGAUGGCUGAUUUAGCAAUCCCGCCUAACUAUUUCUAUAUGUAGGAGAAGGAAGAGGGAGGGAGGUCUGAAGUGGUGGUUGAGUGGUGGCGAUGUAUGUGGGUUCUCUCUCGGUUGAAUGGGUGUAGAAAGAUAUUUAAUUUUCAAUAUCUUAUUUUAUUUUGUAUAAGGGAUAAUAUAGGAAUUACAUAAAAAGUUUUUUUUAUAGCUAGGUGUAGAAAUAGUAUUGUUGGGUCUAAAUAAAAUUACCCUAUUGCCAAUUAGUUUUAUGGUGAAAUCUUAACUUUGUUCAUGCUUUCAUAGUAGGUUGUUCCACGUGUGAAGUCAAACAUCCACACGCGCUGCACGUCACCCCGUUGUGUUGUUCACGUGUUAAGCUUGAAAAUUCAUCACACAUGAGGGAGCGUGUUGAGAAUAAAUUCCACAGUUUAUAAGUAAGUUGUACUACUCCGUAUAUUACCAAUUAAUUUUGUGGAAUUCCGUCAAAGCUGAAUUUGACGGAAAAAAAUAACUUCAUGUUUGUUCUUAACUAUAAAGUCAGUGAUACACUAAUUCUGGUUUGUUUGUUUUUUCCUUCCUUCUUAAGGAAAUUCCCAAUCCAACCAAAAAAAUGAAAUUCCCAAGAGAAUAGUAGCACGAACAAUCGUAGCUUUCUUCUUCGAUAAGCCUUGGGGAAACAGAAAAGGGAAAACCGGACUUUAACCCUAAUUUCUCCCAAUGCCGCAGCACUCUCUAUUUUCUCUCUCGCUCUAUAUCGCGGUCCCUCUCUCUCGCCGUCCUCUAUUGCUCAAACUCAAUGUCUCCAACUUCCUCUGUAUGGUUCCCGAGGAAGAUGGUAAAACAGUAAGGGCAAGAAAUUGUGACAAGGUUAGAUUUGGGUAUUAAUCUGGUGGGGCUACAAUUCUCCAAUCCACACCCCUUUCAUCUGUGCUAGUGUUUGAACCCAAUAUUAGAUAACCGGUCCAUGCAAUCGAUGCCGUUGAAUGAGAAAAAUUCUAGGCCGUGGGAUCAAAUAUAAUGAUGUGGAUUAAAUAAGGAAAAUUUAAAGAGUAAUGAUAUUCAUACCAUGUUUUUGUACCACAUUUUCAUACCACCUUAGGUGGCAUUUGAUGUGGAUAGCCACAUCAUUUGAAUUAAUCAGAUUUUAAAAUUUAGUUGAUUAUUUAAUAAACUAAUAAUUAAGAAAAACUAAUUAAUUAAAUGAUGAUUGUGAUAUACGAGGAGUCUUUCUCGUUCAUUUCUUUGGGUUUUGCAAAUUUUUCAAAUGAUGUGGCUGUCUACAUCGGAUGCCACCUAAGGUGGUAUAGAAAUAUGGUAUAAAAAUAUGGUAUGAAUAUCAUUACUCAAAUUUAAAUGUUUAUCUUGGUUAAAUUACCAUGAUAAUAUUGUGGAAUUAUCUUUUGCAUAACGGAAGAGCGAGAAAAGUCCAAGGGUGUAGGGAAGUUGUGUGGUUGACUACCGCUAUUUUGAUGGUAUAAUCUGUAGAGUAAUAUUACAUUUAACAUCUAUUUGUAUCAUAUUUCUAAUAAAGAUAAGGACCAUCAAUGCAUAAAUAAUUAAACAAAUAUAUAAUAAGAGUAUCAUUUUUGUAACUAGAAUAGGAGAAGAAAGACUUCAAGAUGGGAUCAGCCAAAUAAUUAGCGUUAAGAUAAAAAUAUUGAAAGGAAAACUAAUGAAAAUGGCUUGAAAACUUUGAGUUUUAACGAUAAGGACAAGAUAAAGGGUAAAGUGAAUAGUACCAGGAUUGACUUUUUAAUGUAAAAAUAUAGUUUUUCGUUAAAGUGAACAUUACCGGGAACUUUUCGUUAAAGUUUCCAAUGAGAUAAUAUUGCAACAGCUGGCAUGAGACAAUGAUGGUAUAAAGAUGGCUACUACGGCCAAACUACUACAUAGGAUUCCAUACAUGCGGUCAUUAUUUCGACAAAUCAAUGGCUGCCGCAAUCAUGUGCUCAUUAUUCCGACAAAUCAGUAGCUACUUGCAUUGGAUUAGGAUUGCAUGCGUGUGGUCAUUGAAUGAGGAUUGCGUGCACGUGAUCUUUAUUCAAACAAAUCACUAUUGACCAUAUAUUGCAAUUGGUUAAUGGUAGGCAAAUUGAAUUUUUACAUCAAAUAAUGUGAUUGCUGAUAAUUGAAUUAUUAUUUAAAUGUUGAUUAAUAUGCUUAUUUUUUAUUUGUGAUAUAUCAUUUAAUUUGUACAUUUAGUUUACCUAACAUUACCAACUGUAAUUUGUAUAAAUGGACUGGUACCUAACAUAACCAGUUGUAAUUUGUAUAAAUGGGACUGUAAUUUGUAUAAAUGGACUGGUGCCUAACAUUACCAGUUGUAAUUUGUAUAAAUUUACUGGUCCCAAGAGCACAUGCUACUGCUCAAGAAGCAAAGUUCUUAUUUGCCCAAAAAAAAUCAUGGUUUUUUAAUUGAUGCUCUCAUUUUAAUUUACUAGCCCCUUACUUGGCCUUUUUUAUUUAUCAUUUUAUACAUAUUAAUAUUUUUUUGUAAAAUAUAUUAGUUUGAGUUUUAUUAAAAUUAAAAAUAAAUAAAAAAACUUAGUUUUAGUUUUAUCAAAUUAAAAAAAAAUGACUUAAUAUUUAGUUAUUGAAAUUGUAAAAAAGUGAUCAAGUAUUGGGUGCUUUGUUUGAAAUUUUUCAAAAUGAUAUUGUUUUUACCAUUGAAACCCUGUUAUAUACAGUGAUGGCUAAUUUGUCAAGUUCUACGAAGUUGGGAUACCCAGCGUUUUAGCAUAUAACAUAGCUUAGUAUUACAAGCAUAAUUAAUUAAAAUAAAGGCAAAAUAAGAGGAUAGCUUAGUAUUACAAGCAUAAUUAAUUAAAAUAAAGGCAAAUUGUAACAGCCCGUCCCUAAAAAUGACGAUUUUAUAAUCUUAACACGUGAGUUUAUGAAGAUGCCCUUCGAGGCAAAGUGUUGACUACCGCGUCGUGUCAUGUGAGACUCAUCUUCUUGGCGUAUUCUCGUUUUACUCGUCGCUACGGAUGCGUGGGCGCAAACGACACGUGAUUUGGAGCUAUAACAAAAGAGUUAUUAACAUUUAAAGUUAAGGACAUUUUAGUAAAUUAAUUAAUUUCAGAUUUUGUUGAGGGGAAAAUCUGGAGUGCCAUGUGGGUGGCCCAGAUUAAAGGAAAUGAGGAAUGGAUGGUGGAGGUGUAAAGGAAAGAAGAUAAAAGAAAAAUGAGAGGAAAUGUGUGACUAAUAGGGAGAUGAGAGAGUUAGGAUGGCCCAAUUAGAAACAAACGAAAGGAGGAAAAAGGAGAGAAGAGGGGAGCAGGGGAUCCCUUCAACCCGGUUCCACUUUCCGACCCGACCCGAUCCUUUUCAUCUUUUCCGGUGGUUUUUCGUCAGUUUUUCCGGCGAACCACGUUAUCUAACCCCGUUGAAAAUGUUCCACGACCUUCCCUCUACCAUUACAACCCAAAAUUGUAGAAAUUUAGCCAUGAAAGUAUGAAAACCGCACCGGUGGGUGCGGGAAACCUUUGUCGUCGAUUCUCCCAUUAUUGAAACGAUUUUCACCAAUUAUCACCACCUACAGCAUCCUCUUGAGGUCUGGAAUAAAGCCCAAACAAGUUUUGGGGCGUUGGAGUUCGUUUAAGGUCGAAUUGAGCACACCCAAAUUCAAGGGUUCCGUACCGUUCAUGGUGAUUUGAGGUGUUUCUCGGCCAAAUUGGCCUUAGUCACAAGUAUGAAAGUUGCUCCACUCGUUGAGAUCUUCAUUUAUGUGAAAUUUGAGAAUUUUUUGAAAUAUUUGGAUUUUCCAGCGAGUCGGGGUGGCGGACCGCCACCGGCAGCAGCGCAUGGCCAGUGGUCCACCAAUGUCAUUUUACGUUAAAUUGAUAUCUUGAUUUUAGAUUUGAUGUCUAUAUGUUAUGACUUGAUUAUGUGAACCUAGUUUGAUUAAGGUGCGUUAAUUGGUAAAAAUAUGAAACGACGAUCCGACCGUGGGAUCGUCACCAAACUUUAAUAUGUUAUAGUACAUAAUAUUUGAGAAUCAUAGGGACUGACAGAUAGGAAAUCCGAGAUACAGAUCUUCCCGAAAUGGAAUUGUAAGUUUGAAGAAUAAACGUUAACCGCCACUUUGUUUUGACUAUUGGUGGAGAUCCAACCGUUGGAUCAUAAUGAAAUUUUAGGAUGAUGUUUUAGAAGCAUAAUGUGGAUCUUUGGAAGUUACUGAUCGGAAAUCCGAGGAGUGAAUCUUCCGAAUUGAAUUACGUAGGGUUGUGGACCUUACCGUCGAUCGUUGACCGAUGAUCGACUUUUGGUCAAUGGGGCUUAAAUCAAUCUAAAACGUUUUUAGGGAUGUGUUUUACGUAAAUUACAUGAUCUAUUGAUAAGAAUUAUGAGAUGUGGUUUGAUAAUUGUCCUAGGUGCCGAUCGUUAGGAACGCUUCGAUGGUUAUGCUAGGAAAUUGUAGCACAGACUCCUUGUGAGUGAAUCUUUUCCUUCUUAUCAUAUAUAUAUAUAUAUAUAUAUAUAUAUAUAUAUGAUUGACAAUUCCACAAACGUUUAUAAAUUGAUUAUUGCAUAUAACUACUGUGAAUACUUUGAAGUACUUAUGCGAACUACGAAUGGCUUGAUCCGUGUUUAGGGUACGUAGGCAGUCUAACAAGACGUUAGAUGUAGUCAUACAAUAAUUGAGAUUAAACAAUUGAGAUAAAGCCUUGUUUGGGGAACUGGGCAAGGUGAAGGAAUUUGGUAAAAAGGUGAGAUUUAACCUUAUGAAUUGGUGAUUAAAUGUUGGUCAUAAAUCAAUGUGUAAAGAAUCAAGAAUUUGAAGUAAGGAAACGUAAGUAAUGAUAAUUAAUUAAACUAGUGUCUAGUUGGGCUUGUCACCUAUAAUUAUCCCCGAAAAUGAAUAAUUCGGGAGUAGGGCGUUACAGCUUCUGCAUUUUUAUGCCACAUUAUAUAUAUAUAUAUAAUUGGAAAUGCUAUAACAUGGUUGAGUAUCAGAUUUCAUCAUGGUUUAUCUAUAUGUAUAUUACCUGCACACAAUUAUUAUGAACGCGUUGAAGUGCAAAGGUGAAUGCACGACACCCAGGUAAGUUCAGGUGAGUUUAUGGUAUUAGUUGAAAUGAUGGGGUUAUGGUAUGACUACAUGUAUGUUUAGGUUGCAAUGAUAGGCAACUCCAACACUGUCGUACAGGUUGCCCAUGAAUUGUACAUGUUACAAUAGAUACAGUUAGAGCUCAUAAACCUACACCCCGGUGUUAGUACUCCCGCUCGUGGCCAGGGCACAGUCCUUCACGUGAUGUUCACCUCCCGCACCUUACGCUCACCUUGGAUCCAAGGUAGGUGCACAAUCAUGUCGUACCACUAUAGGUGGUUCCGACUCGUAGAUGACCCGCGAUUAUUUGCACAGUCUUCACGUGAUUGUAGCACUUGAGCGUAUUUAUUUACACCCAGUUCUAUUGUACAGACCACUUUAGGUGGUUCCGACUCGUAUGCAGGUAUACUUAUUAAGCUAUGGAUAAGUCGUACAGGUCACUAGAAGUGACUCCGACUUAUGAGCUAGCAUAUGUGAUGAGCUAGCAUAUGUGAUGAGAUAAGUGAUGAGUUAGUAUAUGUAAUGAGAUAUGUGAUGAGCUAGCAUAUGUGAUGAGAUAUGUGAUGAGCUAGCAUAUGUGAUGAGAUAUGUGAUGAGCUAGCAUAUGUGAUGAGUUAGCAUAUGUGAUGAGCUAGCAUAUGUGAUGAGAUAUGGGUAAGUCGUACAUGUCACUAUAGGUGACUUCGACUUGCGUGCUAGUAUGGGUUAUUAAUCACAUGAUUAUUGAUAUUACUGAUGAGAUGCUGUGUUGUGGUAUAUUUAUGAUCUUUCUGGAAACUAUGCAAGUGUUGUAACGAGGGGUUAUAAUGAGGUGUUGUAACGAGGGGUUAUAAUGUUUUAUAUGGUUUCUGUUAAAAUUUUAUUUCUAGGGUCACUCACCCUUAUUUUGUUUUCACCCUCUAGGUUUUAUUAGCUGAGCUUUCUUAUCGUCGAAGAUUCGUGGCGAUUCUUAGUAUUGGAGAUUAUUUCGAGAGUACGAUUCUUAAUUCACUUUACUGUACUUGCUUAAGCUGUAACGUCACGUGUGAAGUGGGUUCAUUUCCGCUUACCAGCGCAUUCUGGUAUUUAGGCACUCUUAGGUUUAAAUUUAUUCACAUUUUUCCACAUCAUCAAACUUUAUGGCUUUGUCACUCUUUAGGUGUCGGCCAGCACAGCUCGAUUUGGAGUCCUAGUGGACAUUCCGGGUCGGGGUGUGUCACAAAUGAAGAGGAUGGUUGAACUUGUUAAGUUUCUUAAGUGUGUCUACUUGAAGUGUGUUGCUAAUAAAUAUUUUGUUGUAGGCAUAAUUUACUGAACAAUUAUGGAGGCAGAGAGAGAGAGAGGGAAUAUGCGGCAUAGAGAGAGAAGAGAGAGAUGUGUAAUUGUGAGGUGUGUUCUAUUCCACCCCAUUGUACCUUUAUUAUAUUAGUAGGGAAAGUUAAUUCCUUACCCUUUUAGGAUUACAACUCUAAUAGGAAAAUAUCUAGUCUAAGAGAUAUGAUAGAAUCUCAUAAGGAUAUCCUAGAUAUGUUAGGAUUUACACAAUCAUAUUCCUAUUCCAAUAAGACUGCAACACAUUUGUAUUUUUUUAGAAUUUUUUUGAUAAUUUGUUGGUAUUCUCAAUUUUUGUUAACAUUGAAAAUAUAACGGUUCAGAUGAAAAACCUUUGGAAAUCCAACAGCUUGCAAGACGUUGGGCUGUGCUGAAGGAAGCUGGGCUGUCACGUGGAUGGGGCCCUCCCUCUCCCUCUUGUUGAUUCAAAGGGCGCAGGCCCGUGCAACAAUUGGCGAGGCAGCCCAUAGAGAUCCUGCGAUUCACCCAUUCGCCAUUUUUUCCACCGCUGGAGCACCAAAAUUCGGUCAAAAGGCAGGGGUAUCAAUGGCAAGGGCAAUUUGGCUUCCGCUGGAGGUGCUCUUUGUCGACUUUGUUUUUUCUCUCAUUUUAGCUUUUGCAGUAAUAUUGAAGUAAUCACUCCAAUUUUAUCCAAACUUUUGUUGUCCGUCAAUUUUUAUCAAAACUAUUGGUUAAUUUACAUAUUCAGACUAACCUUCUCAUUAUUUUUAGUAUUUUUAUCAUAAAUAAUAUCUGAAAUAGUCACAUUUUAUUCAACAACCACUCAAUUAAAAAUUAAUUAGUGUUGUUUCUAAACCAUUACAUCAAGCUUUUGUAGAUACACAUCAAUAUUGCAGCGAUCCGAGGCAUUGUUUUAGUGACGGUAGUACUUUCUACUCCUUGGAUUUGGUGAAUCGGAAAAGAGAAGAGUUACGAGUAAAAGUCCCUCGCAUUGUUUUGGGGAGAUGAAGAUGAUGAUCUUUUGUUUUUGUUUUUUAAUGAUUAAUCCACGCAGCAACAUAUAAUUAAAUUGUUGGGAUCUACUCAAGUUCCAUAUCACACACUAACAUAAAAUUUGACAAACGAAACGAAAUAUGUGUGUAGACAUCGAAAUUUCGUAAAUAAAUGUUGACCGAUAAAUCAAAGUGUCAACGCUCAUGUAUUACAUAAAUUUUACACGUAGCGUGUGACUCAACGAAAAUUGAAAUGAGUUGGAAAAGUCAUCAAAUAGGACACGUGUCAACACCUGGCAGAAACGACUUAUUUCAUCUGGGAUAUUAUAUUCAAAAUUAGCCAUUGGAAAAUUCUAUAAAUACAAGCCCAUUUCAUUCAUUUAAGGAGAGGAAUUCAUAUUACACCUUGAAGCUCUGAAGCUCUGAAACUCCGAAGCUCUCAAGCAUCCAGGUUCCCGAAGAAUCAAGAAAGUGUUCUUCGUUCUUCGUUCAUCGUUCUUCCAAGAUCAAGCCUCGACGGCCCUUGGAUCAACAAUCAUCCACCUUCAAGAUCAAGCCCCGACGGCCCUUGAAGAAAGCGUUCUUCGUUCUUCGUUCAUCGUUCUUCCAAGAUCAAGCCCCGACGGCCCUCGGAUCAACAAUCAUCCACCUUCAAGAUCAAGCCCCAAAGGCCCUUGAAGAACUUCCACCAAUUCAAGAUCAAGCCCCGACGGCCCUUGAAGAAAGCACCAUCGUUCAUCAUCCGUUCAUCCAAGAUCAAGCCCCAACGGCCCUUUAGAUCAACAACGUCGACAAAUCCACACAUCCAACCGUUCUUCAAGAUCAAGCCCAAAAGCCCUUGAAGAUCCGUUCAUCACUGUUCUUCAAGAUCAAGCCCAAAAGCCCUUGGAGAUCCGUUCAUCACUAUUCUUCAAAGAUCAAGCCCAAAAGCCCCUUUGAAGAUCCGCUCAAAUCCACCUUCAAGAUCAAGUCCACGGCCCUUGAAGAACGUUCAUCCUUAGAUCAAGCCCAACGCCCCUUUGGAUCAAUCGCACAUCCACAAAUCAACACCUUACGGAGAUCGAAUCAGAGGAUCAAAAUAGAGAGAGAUUGUAACCCAAAAUCAUCAAAUACAAAUAUUUGUUUGUGCGCGUUGUUCUUGUCUCUUUCGUUUCAGGAAUUUUCCGUGUUCACAAUGUGCUCUUGAAAUCAAAAUGAGGGCACUGCUCCAAGAACAAGAAGGGCACCUUGUCGAGGUCGCCAUCCGCCGUGAGGGAAAACCGGAAGAAGUUGGACAACAAUGAUAACAUCAAUUUGCGGCACCCAUAUCGGGACAUCACACUGUGAAAUAAAUAUUGAAAUAAAUACUCAAAACUCCUGGAAAGUCCUCGAGACAACAAACUUUCAUCUCCUUCAAACAUUUCAUUUUACUAAGUUUUAUCUUUGAAGGGAGGGAAAAAAAGAGAAGAGAGAAUCCUACUCCUUAUUCCUGAAUAUAUUCAAGAAUAGCUAUUGAAUAAAGAGAGAAUGGAGGGUGAUCGAAAGAGGAGGGAAGAGAAUUCUAGUUCCAAACAUAAAAAGGACCACAACUUUUAAAUUAUCAGCACAAUCAUCACCUAAUUGAAGAGACCAUUCACUGUGAAACAUAUUGUCAAUCAGUCUAUCUAUAUCUAUUUAUAUACCAUAUUUUUAGAGUAAGAUUCUCUCACCUCCUAUUACCAUCCCCUUCCAUCCUUUCAUCUCAUACUCUUUUUUUGUUGUCUUAUUCUCUAUAUAAAAAAAUUCAAAACAAGAUGUAUACGUGACGUAAUCGUAACCGUUUAAAUAAGAGGGGAUAGAAGAGAAGAGAGAUUAGGAGAAGGGAGAAUCCUACUCCCACAUUUUUCUUCUUCAUAAACAAAAGAGAGGUUCUAGAUUACUUGACUCUAUGCCUCAUUUUUUUCAUCAAGUAUUUGUGAUAAGUGGGUUCAUUUUCAAGUAUUUUAGUUUUUUUGUCAAAAUUGAGAAAACUGAAAAUCAAACAUUAAUAUGAAAAAUUAAAAAAUCAACAUAUAAUUAUUUAGAAAUCGCAAUAGAAAAGAAAAAAAAUGGAGGUUUGUGAUGAAAAAUCUUUUAUACUAAGUAAUUUAGUAUCCUUAUGCAUGAAGAUAAAUCAAUUUGUUCGUUACGGUCAUACUCUUUUUUGAAUUUUUGAACACAUUCUCCAUAGGGCCUUCUUAUAUGUUCCUUCUCCAAGCUCGGGUUAUGGAAGAAGUAAAAGAAGGAAUCGAAAAGAAAGUAUUGGUAACAACCGAUUUCAUUACGAGACAACUCUUGAUAUUCAUAUCAAUCUAUUAUGUACCUUUGCAUCUAGCAUUAGACAAUAAUUGUCAUAGCUUUACCAUAUUUUUUUGUUUCAUUUCUUCUGAAACAAUCUCACACACUUUUUUAUUAUGUGUCUACUACUAGGAAUUCAAUACGUAAUCUUAGCAUUCAAUAGUUAUUCCUAAAUAAUUUCAAUUUUCAAAUGAUCAACCAUUUCAUUUUACCAAGUUCAAUCAAUGUUAGUCAGAUUAGUCAACAUUUAUAUAUUUUGAUGCAACAACAAGAUGUUAUUUGUAACAAGUGAUUUUGUUAGUUGGUUAAUUGGUCACAAGUUAAUGUUCGGUUCAGUUUAGUUUUUCUCUCGAUUUUUUGUGAUUCGGUUUUUUCAAUUCUCUUUAGGGUCGGUUCGGUUUUGUUUUUUUAUUUAUACUUGAAUUUUAUUUUAAUUUAUUUUAAUUUAUUUUAUUUUAAAUCUGGAAACACCAAGAACAACACAAGCACAUAGUCAAUCAAACAACUAUCCUUCUCCACAAAUCAUAGUAAUAAUUACAUUCAUUGAGCUGAAAUGCAAAUAACUAACAAACUCACAAAAAUCAAAUAAAAACUACAAAUUGCUUACUCUUUUUCUUUGGGUUUCACUCGAAAAGUGUCGGUAAAAUUUAGGGUUUGCAAGAACGCAACUGAAAUCUAAAACGGAGGCCUUGUGGCCUAUGGGUUGCUAUUGAGUUCCAGUACAGAGAACCUUGCUUAAUCUCGAUCACGGUACAAAGUAUCGAGUACCUUUAGCACUGUAUUUUGGUAUGAUUGGUAGAACCAAAUUAAAAGCUAACAUCAACAACAACUACCAGAGACAAAAGCUCUUAUCAAUGCUUUGGAAACAUUUAUGUAUCUCCAAGUGUAAUGAUAUAAUUGGUUGGAAACUUGUGAUUUCGUAUCAAAUCAAUAAAAAGUUACAAUAUUGACAAUAUAUUAGCAAUUUUUAUGUUAAUUAUGAACAAGUCAAUCAUGUAGAACCAAAUUAAAAGCUAACAUCAACAACAACUACCAUAGACAAAAGCUCUAAUCAAUGCUUAGGAAACACAGUCCUGUAUCUCUAGGUGUAUUGAUAUAAUUGGUUGGAAAUUUAAAAGAAAAAUGGUGAUUUUGUAUAAAAUUGAUAAAAAGUUACAAUAUUGACAAUAUAUUUGACACACCCCGACCAAGAUCAAGGCAUGCUGGCCGUCACAUGAGAGUGACGUAACCAUGUGCACAGUGCGGAAGCAAUAAUGAUAAGAAAUAUAUGAAUAAUUAAAAACCGAAUCUACUAGAGUGCACUACUAAACAGGAAGUAUUAGGAGUAAGAUACAAAAGUAAAUACUCCUAAUCAGAGCAUAGAAAGUCUAGGUGCAAUCCAGUAGGACAAGUACUAAUUAUACAGUAUAAAAUGUCUUACAAUUAUUUAGAUAGGUCAGAACCGCCGAAGUCCUCACACCCAACAACUGCAAACUUACUUAAAACCUGAAGGGGCGCAAAAUAGAAAACGUGAGUGGGAAAAAACAAAUGUUUUACAAAACCAUUUCAUUUAUCAAUAUAUCUAACCCCUCGCUGUAAACAUGUAUAAUUUUUCCCAGAAUCAAGAUAUAAGCAUAUACAUAAAUAUAUAUAUAAAUAUAUCAAUUCAAAUCAUGCUUCACAUAAUCAUAUUCAUAUGUAUGUCAUGCCAAGAUAUAACAGAGUAAGCAACUCAGGUAAGAGUAAUUUCAUAGAAAUAUAACAUGUUAGCCGGAACCCCUGUAGUAGUCUGUACGGCUGAAUUCAUAGCUCAAAAGUCAAUCUAGCCGAAGUCACUACAAUGACCUAUACGGCAAUAUACUGCACAAGAGUCGGAACCAAAUGAAAAGAUCUGUACGACAAUAAUGGGUGUUGUUGAUGCACAAAAUCAGUGAGGACUUUGGUACAACAGAAAGUGUUAAGUUUGUGACAUUCUCUAGAUUACUCCGAUCACUAGUGUGGAUAAGUAUGUAAAUGGAUAAAGACAGGGAAGCAAACACAAGAUGUACGUGGUUCACCCAGAUUGGCUACGUCCAUGGAGUAAAUGAGUUCUUAUUAAUUGUGAAGGGUUUACACAAGUAUAUAGGUUCAAGCUCUCCUUUAGUGAGUACUAGUGAAUGAUUUAGUACAAAUGACAUUAGGAAAUAUUGUGAGAGAAUGAUCUCUAUUUAUAGAAGAGAGUUUCUAGUUUCAUUCUGACAUUGACACGUGUCAUGUUGUGAUUGGCUUCUGAUGUUGACAUGUGUUGCACUAUGAUUGGCUUUAGAUGUCAACAUGUGUCGCGUUGUGAUUGGCCUCCUGGUUUGAGGGAAACUCUUCUGGCUCCUUGACGGUAUAACGUUGAUCGAUGCUCAGUAGUUUCGGGAUUGGUCAAGUAUGGUACAAACAGGUGUAAUAUAAUCAUACUCAAUACUACUCUCACAUAAUAGCUGGGUGAUAAAUCGCUAGUCACCUAUGAGUCAGAACGAUAAUAAAGGUCUGUACGAAGACUGUGCACCUAAAUUGGAUCCAAUAUGACCAUAUGGUGCGGGAUGUGACAUUAUAUACAGGCUUGUGCCAUCACUGGCGGAGCUACACCCACGGCUACAGUAGGCUGUAGCCUAGGGAGGAUUUUAACAAACUGCUGGUAUAAUAGUUUAUAUAUGAGUUUGUUGUUGCUUAUUGUAUGUAUAAUAGCCCACAUAAAUCCUGCCAAAAUUAUUAGUUAAUGUGUUUCUUAAUUUAUAAAUAAUACUUUUAUUACCUUUUAUUAUUUUAUUAUUUUUAGGCUAAAAGUAAAAAUGGUAAAUUAAUACAUAAUUAGGUUUCUCCUAUUCCCCAUGCUUUUUACCUAUUCGUUCAAAACAAAAAAAUUAAACCCUCUACCCUAAGAAAAGAAAAACUAUGAAUCACCAUCAAAUUAUUUUCUAAUGAAAUUCAACACUAGAUAUGCUCUUCAUGUCUUCAUUUAACCUAUUUCUUGAUUCAAUUGUUCAUUCCAUAUAUCUACAGCACGACUUGAAUUGGUAUCCCCUAACCUUUUUUCUUUUGGGUACUUGUUAUCAACAAAAGUGAUAAUAUUUGUUCUCUUUCUAUUGCUUUUUUGUAUGCAUGUUUUAUUUGUGUAAAAAUUAGUUGGAAAGUAAUUAAUAAACUUGUUUGGAUUAUUAGUACUUCAUGUUCCUACUUUUAUGUAGAUUACUAUAUAAUUUUAUGUAGGCAAAAAAAAAAUUCAUAAGAUUAUAUGCUAAUGAUUUUAGUUAGCCCACCCAAGAAAAAUUUUCUGGCUCCGCUAUUAUGUGCCAUAACUCUGGCAAAAUCACAAUCACCCUAAGUGCAGUUUUAUGAGUUCAACGUUAUUCUAUCACAUAUCACAUCAUCGAUAAUUCACAUAACCAAACAUAACUCACAUGAGCUUACCUGAGCGUCCACAGUACCAUAAUUAUAUAUAAUGCAUCAUAUACGAAAUAUAAAUUCAUAUGCAUGGCAUUUAAGGUAUACUUUCAUUUAAACACAUAUUUCUGGGAAAAUAUCAAGUAUAUAAAUAUAUACUGAAAACCAAAAGCCCACUCAUUGGUAUGUCGAAGGGUCGUAGCCCCCGAGUCGCCUUUGAAUACUCUCGUCCUCGUGAUAAGUCUCACCUAUAUGCGAAUUAACUAUAAAAACGUUAUUUUAGAGCACAUACAAAAAAUUAGCUAAUAACUCUCAUACAAUGCUCAAUUUUUGUAUUUGAAUAUAUCACAGUGACCUACACAACCUCAAGAUCAUCCCUAAAUUUUUACAAUAUUUUUCUGACCCCUCACGCGCUGCCACGCACCGGCAAGGGCAACGCCUUACUCGCCCCCACGCGCGGCCACGUGACAAGCAUACUGAUGGCGUCAAUCAACAUCAUCAGGAAUAUUCUAGGGAAUAUUCUGUUAAAACCCAAUGGUAACUGUUAAAGAUGACUGACGGCAUGAGCAUAUUCUGUCAACCUUGACGGAAUAUACUCCUUUCUUCUCCGAUGAGUCGUCGGUCGCCGGCGACUUCGCCGAUUUCUUGGUAAAACUUUAAAUCGCUUAUUCUUCUUCGUUUCUUCGCCAUUUUUCAUGAAAUUGGUACCAAAAUGAAGCUAAUAACAUGUAGAAUCACUUUGUAUAAGUUUCAAGGCUUAAAAUCUACUAGUUUUUCCCUGAGAAAGCUCGAUAGUUCGGCUUACCUAGAUAUGCGUCGAUCUCAGCCCUCCGACGUCCAAUUCCUUCCAACGAAGUACCCCAAGACUCGUGAGGACCUCCUUAAGCUUCCUAUAAGCUUCAAAUUCCCUGAAACACAAGAUUUUACGUAUGCAUGAACAAUGCACAAAGUCGGAGCUAGGGUUUCCACGUGAAAUCGAAGGUUUCCUUACCUGAAAAUGGUUCCUUUGAAUUCGUAUGGUUCUCACGAACACAAUGGUGAUCUUAAAACCUUCGAUCUACAAGGUUUAAGAGGGUUUCUGGGUUGGUCCGUACGAAGAAGGGAGAGAGAGAAUGAGAAUCUGCGAGAGAGAGGGCACGGGAAGGAAAGAGAAAUAAGAUAGGUGUGUGUAUGGUCCAAAAGCCACCAAUCAAAACUAAGAAAAGUCUUAGUUGUAAUUGGGUCACCAAUCUAAAACAAUUUAACCCAAUAAUAACUUACACACAUCAUUUAACAUCCGAGGGUAAUUCCGUCAUUCUACGUCAUCGAGAAUAAUCUUCCGGGACGGGCUGUGACAAUAUCAGCAAUAUUUAUGUUAAUUAUGAAUAGGUCAAUCAUGUAUUUAAUACUUAAAUGUAUUUAAAAUAAACACCUUAUCAAUGUUUUCUGAACUGUGCUCGAUUUUUCUCCUUCGCUUUGGUUCUGUCCCAUUGGAUUUUUCAAGCAAGAUUUUAUCAAGGCAACUAUCAUUAACUGUGAACAUAAUUUAUCAUUGAGACACGAACAUCCAAGGGGGAGUGUCGUGGAAAAAAAUGUAGAUAUCUUUAUACGUUGUAUGGUAGUAAACCAUCAUAAACACCAUAAAUAUGUAGAAACGCCCUUGCGGUACCUUUGAAUGAUAACUCAUGUAUUUGUUGCCCUAUGUAAAGAUGGCUAAUGAUAAUGGAAGACUAAUUUUCUCAUCCCAAUCUCUCCUGUCUCUCUUAUUCUCUUUUCUCUAUAUUUUAUUUCCAACAAGUUGUGUUUUUUUUUUAGUAUUGUUAAGCAACCCAAUAGAUUUUAAUCGUAGUCUUUGUUUUUUUUCUUUUAUAUUUUUAAUCAAUUUCAGUUGCUUAUCAGUUCUAGCUAAUUGAGCUCUUUUACAGCAAUUUUUUUCUUUAAAUAAAAUUAUUAUUAUUAAAAAGAGUGAGAAAAUUCGAAAUUGUUACAAUAAUUUAAAAAAAAUAGGAGUUUCAAAUCAUGAAGGUAGAGGGAGUUAACAACAUUUUAGGGGGGGGUGUAGUCAAACUAGGAUUUUGAAGGAUUUUAAAAGUGAUAGAUUUGAUAGGAUUUAAGAUGAUUAAAGACUCUUACAAAAUUCAUAUGGAUUUUAAAGAAUAUGAAUGGAUUGCGGUGGAUUGUGGGGGAAGGAUUUGAAAUCCUAGGGGGUGAGGUUUGAUUCUUUUUAGUUUUGGUUAUAUAUGGUAUGCUUUCAAAUCCCAGAAAAUCCACAACUUUUUAAAAUCCUUUAAAAUCUUAAUUUUUUUAAUACACUUAGAUUUGGAUGGAUUCUAAAAUCCUUUAAAAUCUUUUAAUUGACUACACCUAGAUUUGAAUGGAUUCUAAAAUCUUUUAAUUGACUACACCUAGAUUUUAAUGGAUUCUAAAAUCCUUUAAAAUCUUUUAAUUGACUACACUAUGAUUUUAAAGUCUUUAAAAUCCUCUCAAAUCCAAGUUUGACUACACCCCCUAAAGAUUUUAAGGAAAACUAAUGAAAAUGGCUUGAAAACUUUGAGUUUUAACUAGGGGUGGGCAAACGGGUACAGGAACCGCGGGUAGGGGUGGGUAAUUCAAGUUCGGGGCAGGUAUGGGACAUGUCCAAUAUUUCUAAACACAAAACGGGGCGAGGCUGUUCGGGUAUAUGAAAUUAUCGGGGCGGGGCGGGUCUUAAAAUAGAAGGGAACGGGCCCCCAGCCUGACCCGUUUCUUUUCCUCAUCCCUAGUCUUCUCUAUCUCUCUUCCCCGACACUUUUCAUUUCACUCAAACCCGGCCCAUUUCUUUUCCUCAUCAGUCAUCCCUAGUCUUUUCAAUCUCUCUUCCCUAACUCCUUUCAUUUCACUCGUACCUCGAGACCUCCUCUUAACUCGCUCCCAGCCUCCCACCGUCCUAGCUCCGUACCUCGCCAUCAUCAUCGUCAGACCUCCAUCUCUCCUGAUUUACUCAUGUCUUCCUCGCUGCGUCCGCCGCCAUGUCUCUCUUUCUGUGACGAACUUAAAGGGACGGACGAAGUUGAACAACUCGAAACGACGCCUCUUCUGUCUGAAUUAGACCCAUAUUUGCAGCGCACGACUCUGCUCAUAGUCCUCUUCGGUUUUAAGGUAUUACGUUUUAGAGAUUUAGGAUUGAAAAUUAAAUUAGGGUUUUCUAGAUUUAGGGAUUUUGUUGGGUUCUUGAACCUUGACCUCUGUUAUGUUCCAAUUUCAAAUAUAUAUUGAAUUGAAUUUGAAUCGACUGUGUUUGAAACUUCUGUUGAAUUAAAUUGAAUUUGAGCAGGAGAAGAGGCAGAUGUGGGUUGGGCAAUGUCGAAUCUCAUUGUGGGUGGUGAGGUGGGCAUGGCGGGCGACAAUAUUGACUGGCAAUGGUACGGGCGGUGCUAUUAAGUUGCAGAAGAAUACGAAGGAGGGGGUGUGGGCAUGGGUGGAUAUCGCAAGCUCAAUUGAAUUUUUUCUGGUUUUGUUUGUGAUUAAUUGCUUGUAUAUGAUAGUUAUUGAUGGAUCUUGACAUGCCCAUUUAAUUGUUAUUGGCAAUGCUAGUUUGAUUGUAACAAAUUCAAACCGAUUGAAUUGUAUCCCAGAAAAAAAAAUCAAUAAAGGAACUGAGGACCCGGCCCGAACCAGCCCAUUUCAACCGGGCCAGGUUAGGUUCGGUUCUUAUAUUAGAAAAUGUUGUUCCCGGCCCGUUUCUCUUAAGCCCGGAUCCAGUCCGAUCACUUCGAAAUUGGCCCCAACCCGGCCCGGGCCCACCUCUAGUUUUAACGAUAAGGACAAAAUAAAGGGUAAAGUGAAUAGUACCAAGUUUGACUUUUUAGUGUAAAAAUGUAAUUUUUCGUUAAAAUAAGAUUUUAAUGGAUUCUAAAAUCCUUAAUUAAGAAAUUAGGCUUCAACCCAACUCAUCUUUGCAACGCCGGUUCCACUUCACAUCAACAGGCAAUGUUUUCUCCUCAACAAAUAGUAUUCUUUUAUGAGACAAAGACUAAUGAGGGUGAUAUAUAUAAUUAAUAAUAAUACUUGUGUUCCCUUUGUGAGUGAAUGCACUUAUUUUACCAUUCUCUAAUAAUGUAUCUUUAUUAUAUAAAUUUAUAUCAUGUGGAUAUCUUCCUAUAAAAAAGUUAUUCAAAUUGGAAAUCCUUACGUCAUCAAAAUAUAUAAAAAAAUGGACGAUCUCAUCGUAAAUAUGUUAGUUACUCACACUAUAACUUUGUAUAUUCCCUCACGUAGGAAACGCAAUAAUUAUCCUCUAAUUAAUUCUUCUUGAGAGUAGAAUUUUUAUUGUUGGUUUUUCGCAACCUUCAGACCUAAAGCUGAUAUGGACCUCUCAUUGUUUUUUGGGUUGCCGUUCUUAUUUUGCUUGGUCCUUUUACCUUUUCUAUAGUUGUUUAUCUAGUUCUUUUGAGCCUCGUACUAAUUUUUAAUGUAAUGAAAAUUAUCUUCGUGAUAAAAAAAAAAAUCAUUAGUCCUCGUAUGAACAUGCGAUGUAACACACUUUCAUGGAACAACAGAUGAUAAAGACGAUAUCCAAAUUUUCUCUGUGUUAUGUGGACUUUCCCAACCAAAUAAAUAAUAACCAAUAAACAAAUAAAUAAGAGUUUAACUUCAAACAUUGAGAAGCGAAAUUCCAACACUACGAGCCUAACUUUUGUCUUCAUCAUCAUCAUAGACUAGUCUCCUAUCCAUCAACUCCUACAUCAAUUUUUUUUUUUACUAGAUUGUAGCUCACUUUCAAAAGAGUUACGUAAAGUAUUUAAGCACCAUAAAAGAAAAUUAAACGACAACGAUUGACAUAAUAUUAGUAGUAUCAUGGUCUAAAAUAUUCAUAAUAUCUUGAUAUUUUUAUUGAAAUUUUCGUGUUUUUAGACUACCUAUAUUUUCAAUAUCAUCGAUAUUUUAAACCUUGCUAAGUCACUCAUGUAUCUUACCAUGCAAUGUAUAAAGUGUAAAAUAUUGUACUAAUUCAUUAUAUAUAAAUGAUUAUAGUGUGUUUAAACUUCUUUCAUUAAUUACUACAUAUUUUCUACACUCACAAUGUUUGCCAGCUCGCUAUAUAAUCAACUUAAAUCAAUUAUAUCUAUCAUGUAAUGCAUUUCCUUCCAAUUUUUUGUGAUAAACUAAUAGAUAAUUGACUAAAUAAACAUCCUGCAAAGUUUCAAUAAAAAUUUCCAAGUUUUUCUUACAAUUUCCGUAGUUUUUAUUCAAUUUUUAUCGAUAUCGAUAAUAUCCCGAUAUUUCCAUCGAAAUUUCCGUAUUUUUAGACUACUGAUAUUUCCGAUAUCAUCGAUAUUUUAUACCUUGGUAGUUAUACAUUUUAUCGGCCUCAUUUUUAUGCAACUUAUACAUUAAAUUAUUGUCAAAAUGUACAUAUAAAGUAGCUGAUCAACGAUGAGAUUUUAGGCAACCAUUUUCUUCUACGACGUCAAAGGUUGUAGAGGUGGCCAUGUGCACUACAUGCGUAAAUCAACUAGGGACUUGGAUCCUCUCUUAAGCCCAAGGAGAGGAUCCUCCUAACCAAAUGACUUGGAUUGUUGGAUGAAAAUCUAACGAUUACAAACAGAUGAUCUCUUUAAAGUUAUAAUAUUUAUUACCGUUGAAUUUUCAUCAAACGGUCAAAUAUCAUUGGUCAAAAGGGUCCUCUCAUUGGGCUCAGAGAGGACCCAAGUGCAUCAACCAGAACUAUUGCUAUUAUAACAAUUCAUGAAAUCAAUUAAACAAUAAUUUUCCUUCUGGCAGGCAUGUUAGUUAUUUCUUAUUUGGCCAAUUGCCUAGUGGAUUUGGUAGAUUUAACCUCUCCACCACAAACACAUUUAAAAAUUUCCAGAAAUCCGUAACGUAAAAUUUAAAAAUAAAUAUUAAUAACAGCAAGUUCUUUUCACCGACCGUGACCGAGAUCUGUCACAUAUCCAAAAUGUCACCUCCUUAUCGCAAAAACCAAAUUUGACUUGGGAUAAAUACCGUGUACAAAUUAAACGCGUUUCUCUAGCUUUUGCGUAAAGAGGCAACCCAACACUAAACUAGGAAAACGUUGGGUUGACAAAGAUACCAUGAAGAAUAAAGGGGUUAUGCAAUCCACUUUGCAAGAUAAUCAAAGUUUCCCGUUGUAGACUUGUCUUAACCCAACACUAAACUAAGAAAACGUUGCUUUCCCGUUGUAACAUGAAACAACAUUAAACAACAUUAAACAAUAUUAAAUAACAUUAAAUAACAUAAAAAUUAUACAACAUAAAAAAAACCAUUUAACAACAUAAAACUUAAAAUGCGUACUUCUUGCUUCUUGUGGCCUAAAGAUGUGCAACAAGAUCUUGAUGUAGGUACUUGUUUGUGGCACGAAAACGUAUCAUCCUAGCCGUUGGAUUUGAAUUUUUUUUGUUUUCGGCCAAAAAAUUUUAAAUUUAAAAGUUGAAGAUGGUGAGAAAUAUGAUCCUACACUGUUCAUUAAAAUAUUAAUUUCUUGAAUGACCAAAAGGCUAAAACAAGCCAUCCUUCGGUUGGAGAUGCCUAAGGAGAGACUAGAGAUAGAGAGUUUCCUAUAUAUGAUUUUCAUUAACAAGAUUGAAAUGAUUUCAGAGAGAAGAUCAAGUAUGGUUAUUUUUAUUUUGUAGAGUGUAGACAUUAUAACUAUACAUUCAUAAUAACAUGAGUAAUGUUAUAUUUAUCACAUUUGUACUCUUUCUCUGAUAAAGGUAGGGUUCAUCAACACAUGUGGGUUCUAUUUGCCCAUCAACACAUGCGGAUCUCAUUUUUAUUAGAAAAAUAGUACAAAUAUGGUACGGAAAAUAUGAUAAGAUCGCAAUUUUGUAAUAACAUAUAUACUCAACUAUUUAUAUACCGACCCAUCUCCUUUUAGUGUAGAUAAUAUCGUUUGUUAAAAAAAAUGUUGAACUUGUCAUAAUCAUUGAAUCCAUUUACCAUGAACAAACGGCAGUUUACUAAACUUGCCCUCAGAGUAUAUAUAAAAGGUGAAUCACAAUCUAUUGCAUUAAUAUAAGGAAACAAUUUAUAGGGUUUGACGGGUGACUUAAUAUGCUAUAUGGCACAAUGAAAAUUAAGUUCACACUUUAUCCCAAAUAAGGUGUUGCACCUUUAAUUUAUGGAUGCUGGUUUGACGUGUGACCGAAAUAAUCAAAUUGUAGCCAUUAAUCAUUUUACAAGUAAUAAUAUGUAGUUUUUACUGUUUACGAUUCACACAACAAUCUGCUAGGAAGUAGAAAAUGCAGUACUUGUCCCUCUCACAGAAGUCAUGAAUAAUUAUCAAAUUCAAAGAUAAAGAAAAACCACACAAUUUACAAGAGGAAAGAAAAUGAAGGGAUAAAGAAAGUAAGAAAGGAAUACCUCUAUGGGAGGACUCUUAUUUGCUUCAGAUGCCUACAAUAUUCAUCAUAUAAACACUGAUUAAGUAGUCAUCGAAAACCAAAACAAAUGUCGAACAUAGGGUGAAAAACAGAAAGAAUAACCGCAGCUCAUCAUACCAAUAGAGAUAGAACUGCCCGAUGCCCAAGUAUGACUGAAAAAUGGCAAUCCAAACAUGGCGCCUUCUAGCUCAUCAAACUGUCAAAACCUAGGUUCCACCAAAAAGAUACAAGUCACCUAGUUACUUGUAAAAUAAAAAUCUGUUUCAAAAUAGUGGAAAAUAUUAUUAACAUUGUUCAAAGUCCACAUUGUUGUACCUACCAAGAAACAAGAAGGAUUGUAUCUUAUCAUGAAAAAGAACAUAGGUACCUUUUCAAUUGUAAUUGUACAAAAAUGAGAGACCACUUCCGAACUUCUCUUGGAACUUCAAUCAAUUUCUGCCCACUUUUAAAUGCCUUGACAUACUUAAGCCUAUUUCUUUGAGCUUCAGUUUUGGCUUCUGAUGCCUUUAAAUUUCUUAAAGAUUCUUACCAAGUUUUACAAACUCACUUCUAUACAACCAUUUGUCAGUAUACAUACCAUUUUCUUUGAGCUUCAGUCUUUGCAACACCAAAACCCCCCAAAUAGACCCGGAAUUUUGCAAUGUGCAGGGAAUAUACAAAAAAAACCCUCCUAUCCAUCUAAAACGAAAUCAGAACCCAAACCACAAUCAAAAUCCGUAAAAUUAAUUUAGCCAACCCUAAAUCUAAUAAUUCUAACAAAUAUUAUAGUAUCAAUUGAGAGAGAAUUUGAGAAGAUACCUAGAGAUGAAAGGAAGAGCGUUUCCUCUGAUAGGGGUUCCGUGAAAGCAUCUGUUGACCAGAAAAGAAAAGGCAAAAAACCCCAAAUUACAUAUCAAGCAAUUAUAGAUAGAUCGAACCUUGAAAAUUGAAAUUUCAAACAAGAGAAAGGUUAUAAACUUACAACGAUCUGGGUGUUGGUUACUGGGUUUGGAUUUGGGUUUCUGAUAAGAGAGAGAAUCGUAUGAGGAACCGAUAGAGGAACUGCACCGGCAACAGAGAGCAACUGAUAUGGUGGAGAAUAGAGAUGGGCAAAAUAUCCCGGUUAUCCGCCCAUUUAAAGUUCACAGUUACGGUUAUGGUAAUUGAACGGUUAUGGGUACUACCCGUGGUUAUAACGGGUAUCUAUUGGUUAUGGGUAUUAUCCGCGGUUAUAACAGGUAUUCAUUUACCCAUUUAAUUUCAUAUAUGUAAAAUUUAUAAUAUUUUUAACAGUUAUAACGCGUUUUUGUAUUUGUUGCCAAACUUUUCGUAUACAAAAAAUUUGAAGCACAAGAAGCCAACAAGGAGAAAGAUCAAAGAGCUUACUUGAAGCUUAUGAUCUAUCCUGCGGUUAAUAGAAAGUACUGGUAUUAGUGUAGAAAAAUGUUUGUUUUUAGAAGCUUUAUUUUGUAAUCAUAUGAAUUAUAAUUAAAGACUUGCUUGGGUGUAGUAAAAAAAUAUCGUUUGUAAACUAUUAUUUCAAUUAUUAGAAUUGUAUGAUGACCUAAAUGAUUAAAAUAGAGAAAUGCAUGCUAAAAUGUAUUUAUAACAGUGUUUAAUUGUCAGAUUUUUUUUUUUUUUGUAAUUUUCAAGUUGUUAAAAAAAACAUGCAGAGAGGUGAAAAAAGGGAUUAAAAAAUGAUAAACGGGUUCAAAACGGGUAAACGGGUAAAUGAUUAUGGUUAAAUAGGUAAACGGUUAUGGGUAAAUGGGUACACGGUUAUGGGUAUGAGUAUAACCGUUUAUGCAAUUACCCAACGGGUAAACGGCUAUGUGGGUAUGAACAUAAAUGGUUAUGAGUAAAUAACCGCGGUUACCCGCCCGCUAUAACCAUUGCACAUCCCUAAUAGAGAACAUACGAGAAUAGCCGCUUGGAUGGUCAAUCCAAGAAGAGAAAAUCUUGCCACAAUCACGGUACUUGAAAAAAAAAACAAUUUUAAAGGAGGGAAACAAUCGCGCCUUUUUUUUAAUAGACUCUGUCGACGAUAUUCUUGACAAAUAGUCGGGUGAGCUUAUUUUUCACAACAUUUUAUUUAGGACUAGGUUCGGUUGGCAAAUCGUGUCAAAUUUCUUGUGCCAUUUGCCAGCCACAUAUACAUAAUUACCAAAAAUCAGUUACCGUUCGCCAACCAUCUUCUUGCGGUUGCCAAAAAUCGGUUCAACCAAAAUGAUUGGCUGGUUCGGUUGGUAAAUGGCACAACCGGUGGUUUCCACUUCUUCCUCGCUAUCUUCUAGUUGCAAGGGCUCAAUUUGAUUUUCAGAUUGGGAUGCUUGUUCGGUUGCAUUGUGUGGUUCAUUUUGGGUUAAUCCAUGUUGUGCACUAGCAAUUAAUUGGCUAGACUCCAUCAUCCUAAACAUAAGCAACACAUAUACAUUCAAAAUCAUAUAUAUGUACGUGUAUAUAUAGUAUCAGUAAUCAUCAUGUUAUCAAUUUUGUUAACAAUAUUUUCUAUAUUGAUUAUGGCAUGAAUCAUAUACAUAUACAUAUAUUUUUUAAACCCUAAAACUAAGGAGUUAUUUAUUUUCUAAGCCCUAAAAUUGAGGAGUCAAGCAUGUAAAAAAAUACUUAAAAUAUCUAAAUAGAAAAAGAAAAAAAAAAAAAAAAAUAUAUAUAUAUAUAUAUAUAUAUAUCGGUAGGUAUGGCAUACCGCCGACAUACAAAAUCAAUUACCAAAGCCAUGCCAUUAAUUGUCGGUUCGGUAAAAUGCCAACCGAUUAUGAAAAAAUGCCAAAACUAUACCAUACCAUUUUGAGCCAACCGGUAUGGUUCGGUCGGUAAAUCGGCUUAUGGCAAAAUUUCUCACCCCUAAUUUUAUUUGUCGCCUUAAACCUAUUGGUUUCUAGCCUACAAUUUGGAUAUUUUGUUGGGGAAAGAUUUUUGUACCAAUAAAAUUUUGCUUUGUCAGCUUAGGAUUUGUCGGCAAAAUGACAUUUUCUAGUCGUUAUAAUAUUAGGUAGAUCAAAUUUGUAAACUAUGUGAUGUGUCACCAAUAGGAAAAAAAUUCAGUGUGCUGAAAAUACAGUCUAGAACACCAAGUGUCAUAAUAUAUACUUGGUUGGAAAUUUUUUAUUUUCAAGUUUCCAACUAAUUGUAUUGUAACAGUUGGUGUUCCAAGCUAUUUUCUCGAUGCGUUGGAAAAUCUCUUCACCAAUUAAAAAUAAACAUAUUAAUUAACACUUAAGUAAUAAUCAAAGUAUCAACAACUACGUCAUAAAAUUUACGAAAUAUGAUCUUAAUUAAUGAUCUCCAUGGCAUUACCCUUUAUCUUAGCGUAUACGUACGCCUUCACAUGUUUAUUUGCUGAUAUGCAGCUUGAGUAAAAAUUUCUUUUUAAGAACAUAUAUGUGAAUAUAAACAUAUAUAUCUAGUGAUCCAUGUUGCGUUAUUUAAAAAUAAACAAAUUAAUUAAUUAAUAAAUGAACUGUGUGCAUGUCUGUGUAGAGUAAUCCAUAUGCAUGCUUGAAUCCUGAUCACCACGAAACCAUAAUAUAAGCUACUCAAGGCCCGGAAGCUAGGAUUGAAGAGAAAAACACCCAGUCAGAUUAAGCCAAUAUAUCAAAGUUAAUACUUCGAAAUGUAAGCUUUAAGAUAGAAAAAUCACUUACUACCUUGAGCAGUCGAGCUUCUUCAAUGGCAUGAAGCUUUUAGCAUGAGAUUGACUGCAUCACAACUAAAAUUUUCUCUUGGAAACUACAUAAGGAAUAGCAUGUAUACCUAUAACGUUGAGAAAGUACGCCAAUUUUUUCCUUCUGCACAUUCAUGUUUAAAAGUAAUCCUCAAAUGAACUUGCCCACAAUGAAAUGCAAUUUGAGGUAGUCGAGUGUGUUCCAUUUCCAUUCCAUGGGAAUUACUACUAAACUUUGAGAUGGUAAAGGAUUCAUGAAAUUUUUUACUUUUGAGAUAGCCUCUUUAACAUUUCUCGACUAUAACAAUGAGGGAAUACUUCACCUUGUAUCAAACAAGGGAGAGCGAAAAUCAACUACUAAUAGCAUCACAGAGCCAGCAGAAGAUUGAGGAGGCCAUGAAGAGGAGAGAGAAAAUACACUCUUUUUUUUUGUAAGGACAGAGAUAAUACAUUCAGUAAGGGGUACUGAUGUUUAUAUGCAAUGCUGAUUAGGUUUAAAUAGUCCUAUUUAUUCUGUACAGUGCCAAUAUUACCACCCGUUAGUACACUUUCAAGACACUGUACUCCAGUGUGUGCGCUAUGCAGUACGUAGUACUCCUCAUUUUUUGGGGAAAUUCAUUAUUGGUCUUCAUAUCUUCUUUAUUUUCCUUUUCCUCAUUGUGCCACGUGUUUAAAUCACUAAUUGUAGGUAAUCUUUCAAUUUAAUUAAAUCUUAUGUAAAAAAAGAUAUUUAAAUAUCAUUUAGUAUUACAAGAUAGUGAUAUUCCUCUUUAGUAUAAAAUUUUUAUAAUUAAAAGCGUUCAGUUUUUUAAUCUUCAUUUGAAUACUAUCUAUAAAGAAAAAUUAUUCGAAUAAGAGAUCGUUUAUGCAUUCAAAUGUACAAAAUGCAUCGACAGUGUGAGAACGAAUUAAUAUAUUUUUGAUGAAGUACAAUUAUUGAAUACAUUUGAAUGAUCAAAUGAUAUAUGAUUCAAAAUACAUAUUAAGAUAAUAAAUAUAAGUGAAUUGUUAUUAGCACUCCAAGAAUCUUAUUAUACACUCUAAAUUUUCUAUAUUUUGAAUGAAAAAUAAAUUUAUGAAGAGUGUAGAAUGAGAUUUUUUAAUGCUAAUAACACUUCUCUAAAUAUAAUUAUGAAAUUAAUAAAGUAAAGAUACAUGACCUCGUGAAUGAUGUAUGUAUUAUUCAAAAAAUUAUUAAAAACAAAUUGAAAAAGGACGCUGUUGUUGCCACCACUUAUGCAAUGAUCGUCGCUGCCAUCACCAACCCCCAACACCCCAUUACAGCUCAUAAAAGCACAUCAUAAGCAAUUUAUGAAAUAAAUUUACUGGAAUACUAAUUUCCCCCUUAGUUUAGGUCACCAAUGUUUAAAUUUAGGGGUGUGAUAUGCACAUACCUUUUUUUGCUUCUCUCACACUUUUUUUGUUGUUGUCGAAUCAGAUGAAUUGAAGAAGAUCAAUUGACAGAAAUUAACAAGGGGUGUAUGAAAAGUAAAAAUGGAUGUGUAGAUAACACAUCCCUAAAUUUAUCACAACUUUCAUUCCAAAUUUAAUUUUUAUGCGUAGUUUUGUUUGUUCAAAUUUACUUUGACAUUUCAAUUAGUAUUAAAAUCUAAUUUAAAUUUUAGCGUUCAAGCUAGAAAAAGUGUUCCAUUUAAUAUUUAAUCUCAGUUUUUCUCUUUAUUCUUUUAUUCCGAUUUGGUUGCAUCGUAUCUCCAUUUUUCUCGGUGUUGUAUGUUCAUAAGGCCUGGGAAACGUUGGCACGGAGUGAAGGGUACUCACUUUUUGGCCCAAAAUGCAUAAGGCAUGUAGAUAUGUUAAUCAAAUUUUGUAAACUAAAGGAUAUAGAAGUUGAUACUUAGAUUAUAAUUUAAGAUAAUACUAAAGAGACUAAAUUUGCAAACUAAAUGAUGUGUCACCAAUAAAAAUAAGCACGUUUAUCAACGCUUAAGUAAUAAAUCAAUCAUCAACUUUCAUGUCCUUUAGUUUCCAAAAUUUAAUAUACAAAUUUAGUCUCCCAAGCAUUACUCUAUUACUUAAGUAUUGAUUAACAGACUUAUUUCUUAUGGUGACAUAUUAUUUAAUUUACAAAUUUAGUCAACCCAACAUUACUCUUUUGAAAUUGUCUUGUCCACUGAUAUAAUUCUAUUUUUCUUGUGAUCAAAACUUCAAAUGUUAGCAAGUCGCACGUAAAGUCACUUCUGAGAGAAUGUGCUCACAUUGUAGUUGAAAGAUUAUGUGGCUAGCAACAUUACAAAUUUAAUUUGGUAUAAUUUAAAAUAUAGAUUGAGGAAAAAAUGAUCACAUUAACUAGAAACUGAAAAGGUUUCAGCACAGUUUGUUCAAGCAAGAAACUCAAUUUUGAUGCUACCGAUCUUAACAGCCUGAGCGCCGUACCUGGGCACUAAAGUCACCACCACACUCUCAUCAUCUUCAGCACCCAAAUCCUCCAACAGGUCCGUUAACCCCAACCUUAAACAACUCUUGCUCUUUUCCUUCUGCUUAUGUGGAACACUCACAAAACUCCCAGCAAACUCGCUCUUGUCGGGUCCACUCGGUGCCGCAUCCUCAUCGUCCACGUCAUUCACAUACACAUCAAACUUCACAGCCACAUCUUUGUCAAGCUCAAUCCCCUGAAUCACCAGUAUCUCCUCCUCAUCCUCUUUCUCCUUCUUGCUCCUCUUCUUCGGCUUCGGCCUUGACACCACCGUACUUAUCUUUGUCUCCAAAUUUAUUGGAAAAUCUUUACCCGCCACCACCUUCCCCGAUGACGUCGUCUCAGCGGCCUUCGCCACUCCAGCCGCCUUUGCCUUUCUCGCAAGCUUUGUCCGACGUGGCGUCGGUCUAGACUUGAGCCAUGGAAUCUCAACAUCUUCAUACGUAUACCCUAGCUUUUUAUUAUCAAGAGUGUCCCUCACCGUGACCCUAACAAGCUCAGCAUUCUCGUCAUAAAACAAAAACCCCGUAUCCAACCAAUCCUUAUCGUUAAUAUCUUUAUUUUUAGUCCCUAUACUUUUCCAAAUAUUCCACAUUCGAUCUAUAUUCGAAUGGUGCGAAAAAAAUAUUGGAUCCCUUGCAGCGGAGUAAAAAUUCCCCAUGUCUUCAAAAUUAGGUUGCGUGUUAUCUCCGGUCCAUGUAUGAACCGGACCAUGUGGGGUCGUUUCGAUUGAACCGGCCCCUGGAUCUGGUUCGGUGCCAGCCCUGUAGGGCGAACCAAAGAACAACAGCGGUUUCUUGGAGUUGGAAACCAUCUGCCUAUACAUGAUUUUGAGGUUGGCGUCGAUUUGAGCAUCCUUGGACAUUGUUUCAUCCGUGCCGUUAAAGUCAAGAUCGAUGAGAGUCGGCGGCUGAUGGCUGGCAGCGCGGAGCUCGUCGUAAAGCGGAGAGUCCGGGUUAGCGAACAAGGCAGGGAGUUGCAUGCCAGCUGGCGCGUCCCAGUUCCAAAACGGCAACGCGAACGUCGGAUCGUCUAUGAGUUUGGCCAAGAUUCUUUCGUGGAAGUAUAGGUAGUAACGAUGGAAGGGGAAGAAAAGCCAGGAUUGAUGGAUUUGGAGCUCGAGGUUGGGGAAGCCGACUUGAUCGUACGCGCCGUCGCAAUAGGCACAGUGGAUAUCGGCUUGCUGGGUGAAGCUACGCGGAUCGUCGUCCGGGAGGGCUUUCAUGAGCUCGAUGGCUUUUGAAUAUUUUUCGAUGUAGGCUUUAUCCACGGUGUGAGCUGCCGGCCUGACGCGGAGUUUGGUAGGGGAGGGGAAUUUGAAGUCUACGAUUUUUUGGGACGUUGGCGGGCAACAGUUGGUCGGGACUGCUCCACUUGGAAAGUCCGCACCUCCGCAUUUGGCUAGGUCAGGCGGCGACACUGGCUUUGCAACAGCGAAGGGGUCGCUGCCAAGACCAGCCACUCCACCGUACAGGCUUCCGAGACCUAUAAGUACAUGUCUUCUGUCUAGGUUUACUGGAGAAAGGUUUUCAUGGUCGUGAUCGUUGGAGCUAGUGGAAGGGUUUUUGUUUUGGUCACUACUAUUAUUCGUGGCUUUGCAUGAGACGGCUUGUAAAUUGGAAUGCCUAGGGUUUUCAAAUAAGGAAAUUCGGUGAUACUUUUGGGAGAAAGGGAAGAGAGAAGUUGUGGGGAUGAUACUUGUGGUGGAGGUGACGAGUGGAGCUGACAUAGAAGCCAUGGUUACUUGACUCUGAAUACUACGUUGUAUAGGCUUUGCUUUUAUAAUGUGUUCUAGGUUUUACUUUUCUUUGCACAGGUGGCAGGCCGUACACAUUGGCGGUCCUUAAGGGUUUGACGAGGAAUACUACGUAGUCAUUUAGUACAGGGCAACCAUGCACUAUAGCACGUGGCAUGUAAUAUUUACGUAGUCUCAGAAGGUGAAGCGGUUUUGGGCUUCUUGUGUACCAAUAAUAUUUACGUACUCAUUAUUCCACUGGAUGGAUUGCGUGCACGUGAUCUUUAUUCAAACAAAUCACUAUUGACCAUAUAUUGCAAUUGGUUAAUGUUAGGCAAAUUAAAUUUUUACAUCAAAUAAUGUGGUUGCUGAUUAUUGAAUUAUUAUUUAAGUUUGAUUAAUGUGCUUAUUUUUUAUCGGUAAUACAUCAUUUGAUUUGCAAAUUUGAUUUACCUAAUAUUACCAGUUAUAAUUUGUAUAAAUGGACUGGUACCUAACAUUACCAAUUGUAAUUUGUAUAAAUGGACUCGUACCUAACAUUACCGGUUGUCCCAAGAGCACACGCUACUGCUCAAGAAGCAAAGUUCUUAUUUGCCCAAAAAAAAUCAUGGUUUUUUAAUUGAUGCUCUCAUUUUAAUUUACUAGCCCCUUACUUGGCCCUUUUUAUUUAUCAUUUUAUACAUAUUAAUAUUUUGUUUGUAAAAUAUAUUAGUGUUAGUUUUAUCAAAAUUAAAAAUAAAUAAAAAACUUAGCUUUAGUAUUUAGUUAUUGAAAUUGUAAAAAAAGUGAUAAAGUAUUGGGUGCUUUGUUUGAAAAUUUUCAAAAUGAUAUUGUUUUUACCACUGAACCCCUGUUAUAUACAGUGAUGGCUAAUUUGUCAAGUUCUACGAAGUUGGGAUACCCAGCGUUUUAGCAUAUAACAUAGCUUAGUAUUUCAAGCAUAAUUAAUUAACGAAAAAUUAGUAUCCGGUCCCUAGUUUUUACUGUUCAUUGACUAAGACCUUAUUAGUUCUCAAAUUUUGAUUCAAGUCCCUAGCAUUAAUGUGAUAAUGAAUUUACAUGUUUAUUAUAUAAUUUUUUAAUAUAAAAAUUAGUAAUUAAUUUAGGGUUUAAUACUCACACCUCUAUUAAACUUCUAAUUAAUUUUCAAUUCAGACAUUUCCAAAAUAAUAAAAAAUUAAAUUAAAUUAAGUUUGUACCUAUUAGUUUUUUUUUAUAUAUAAAAAGAUUCUCAAUUUUUAAUCUUAAAUGUACAUCUUAAAUGUACCCAUUCUCAAAUAUAUCAAUUUGUUAUAUGUAAAAUGUACCCUUUUUUAAUAUAAAAUCCAUUCAAAAUUUUUAAUCCAUGUUUAAACUUAUAUGGGUACAUUCUUUUUCGUUGAUUUGAGAAUGUAUCCAUGUUUUGGUACAAUAAAUUUUUUGUUAAUUUUGGUUAAUGUACCCAUACAUAUAUGUACACACACACACACACACACACACACAAUAUAAUAGAGAGUAUAAUUUAUAUUUUAUUAUUUUUAAUCCCAUAAAUGAUGGGUUUUAUUUAAAAUCUCAUUAAUAUAAACAAUUAUAAAUUUCAAUUUUUAAUUUUUAAUUUAAAAAAUAUAGUAACUUACAUUAUUACAUUAAUGUCAGGGACCUCAAUAAAAAACUAAAAACUAACAAGGUUUCAAUCAAAGAAUAUUGAUAGCUAGGGACCACAUCCAAAGUGUCCCUUAAUUAAAGGGUAAAUUACAUAGUAACCCCUCAGGUUUGAUGUCUAUUACAACCCCAUACAACAUCUUUAAAACAUUUCACUUUCAUACCUCAAGUACUAUUUUAUUUCAAUAUAAUACAUCUGUUAGAUUUUCCAUCCAUUAAUCCGUUAAAUGCUGACAUGGAUACCACAUUUGUGCCACGUGGCUGCCAAAUGCGUGUCAUGUGGCAAAAAUAAUAAUUUUUAAAUUUAAAAAAAAAUGAAUCUUCAACCCAAAAAAAAAAAAAAAAAAAAAACCCCAAACCCAGAUCCCAUCAACCCCCCCCAAACGAUUAUCCCUUCCCCAUAUCCCCCAUCCCACCCCCCAACCCCCCCUCUGCGACCAACCUUACCAUAGCGCCCCCCAACCUCGCGACCCACCUCACUCAAGGCCCUAAUCCACACUACCUACAACCCAGAAACGAAAAAAAAAAACAAAAAACAAAAAACUCAUCUCCCUUUCCCUGCAACCCAAAUCCCAUCUUCCCUAAUGGGUAUGGAUUUAAGAAGUGGGGUGUGUAGAGGAGGGAAGAGGGUGGGUGCGGAGGAUGGGUAUGGUGGGUUGCAAGGAAGGGGGGUCGGGUAAGAUGAAGAUGGGUUUUUUUUUUCUCUCUCUCUUCUUCUUCUUCUGGGUUGCAAGUUGUAGGUUGGGGUUUUUUUUUGGGGGGGGGGGGGAGGGAGGGAGGGAAGACGACGUGGGGUUUGGUUUUUUUUUUUUAAUUUAUUUAGAAGAUUUAGGUUUUUUGAAAAAAAAAAAAAAAUUCCACGUGGCACAAAUGUGGCAGCCACGUCAGCAUUUAACAGAUUAAUAGAUGGAAAAUCUAACGGAUGUAUUAUAUUGAAAUAAAAUAGUACUUGAGGUUAGAAAGUGAAAUGUGUUGAUGCACAAAACCGAAGGUCUUUGAACAACGUAAAUCCGAUCGUGAAUAUGCAAGUAAUGUAAAUAACACAAGAUGUAUCGUGGUUCACUCCAAUGUUUGGGCUACGUCCACACUGAUUAUUGUAUUUCUCUGAGAGGUGAGGGGGAGAGCUUUGAGAAAGCUUAGAGCUUAGGGGAUGUGAGAAGGCUUAAGAAUUGGCCUCCCUUAUUUGUGAGGGUGAUGAGUCCUUUUAUAGAAUAAGGGAUCCUCACUUAUUACAUAUUUGCCCAUUCCUUUAUUACAUAAUUACAUUUAAGUCCCCUGAGUACUUGUACAAGGUCUAAAUACGGAGGCCCUAAGUAUGGUACAAACAGUAGUCCCCCAAGUCUUCAGUCAAGAGAGUCUUUUGGCUAGAGACUUGAAAUUCUGUCCAUGUGUGAGCCGAAAUAACUAGAUGUCGUCUAGAACUGAUAUUUGAUAUGCGGCAGUGCCCAUUUUGAAAUAAUGCUCAACUAGAAGUAGCACAUGCUGCGAGGCUGCUCUGCUUGUGUUGCCUUGGUUGGCUCGACUUGUGGCGUUGAAGGUGAGAGAGUCCCUUUUAUAGAAUAAGGGCUCGCUCCUCAUUACAAAGAUGAUGGGUUAGUUGGUGCUUGCGGUGAGGCGGAUGCUCAGCUGGCGGCGAUGCUCUCUAAUGAUAGUGAGGGAGUCCAUUUUAUAGAAUAAGGGAUCGCUCCUCAAUACAUAAAUAAUAGGUGCUCUCUAAUGAAAGUAAGGGAGUCCCUUUUAUAGAAUAAGGGCUCACUCUUCAAUACAUAAAUAAUGGGCUAAGUCCCCUAAGUAUUUUUUAUGAGGCCUAAUUGAGGCCCAAUAUAUGGUACAUAAUGUAGUCCCCCAAGUCUUCGGUCAAUAGAGUCUGUUGGCUGGAGACUUCAAAUUGAAUCCAUGUAUGGGCCGAAGUGGCGGUUGUUCGGAAGCGGUAUUUGUAUACCCUGCACUGAAGCUUUAUAGGUGAAGCUUUGCAAGUGAAGCUUUGAAGCUGGAGCUCAGUAAAUGAAGCUUUUGAAGCUAGAGCUUUUGUAAAUGAAACUUUUGAAGCUGGAGCUCUAUAAAGGAAGCUUUUGUAAAUGAAGCUUUUGAAGCUGAUUCACAUGAGUGAUGCUCAUGAAUGUUUAUGUUGAUUGAUAUGAGUGAUGCUUAUGGAUGUUGACAUGAGUGAUGCUCAUGGAUGUUGACGUGAUGCUCAUGAAUGUUAACAUGAGUGAUGCUCAUGAAUGUUUAUGUAUGAUUGAUAUGAGUAAUGUUCAUGAAUGUUUAUGUAUGAUUGACAUGAGUAAUGCUCAUGUAUAAUUUGAAGUACUGGGCAUACUUUUGAUUACCUGGUUGGCGAUAAUAGCGGCAGGGUGCCGAAUAAUUUUUUGUAGUACUGGGCGUACUUUUGGUCACCUGGUUGGUGAUAAUAGCAGCAGGGUGCCGAAUAAUUUUUUGUAAUACUGGUCGUCCUUUUGGUCACCUGGUUGGUGCUAUUUUGAGCUUAUGGGCCUUCGCCCUCUACACAACAUUCCAGCCUAUUUAUUUUGGGCUUUACCGUUUUUUUUAAUUACCCUAUGAUGGGGUUUAUACAGAUGUCUCCGAAAGAUAUGAAAAAUAAAUUACAUCAUUCAAAAAUAAAUCCGACCCUCUGCUCAAUGGGUCACGCCAAUAAUUCUUUUUUUUUAUGCAUGCCAUCACCACCGCAAUUAUGUCUGCUUCUUUUUAUCUUCUUUUGCUUUCUGCUUUUGCUUUUACUUUAUCUUUCUCUUUUGGCAUAUGGCAGACAACGCCAAAACGGAAUAAUGAAUUAUUAUGAGAACAUGAAUCUUAUCUUUUGCCUGGUUUUCCACUAGUGCUCGUGGUAUUCUCAGGAGAUUGGAUCUGGGGGUAGGCGACUACCCCAGCACCUUGCCCUGAUACGUAAUAGCCUGAUGUCCCACUGCCAUCUCCAUACUGGAAGGUGUACGAACAAUGGUUAUUCUGUGUGGAACAAAUAGAAUCCGAUUGAGAUUCAAGACUGCACCUUCGAUCUGAGCAAGAAAUGAAUUGUGACGUUGAUGAACUUCUAGGAGGAGAAGCAGAGGAUCUUUGACUAUGAUGAUCUUUGAAUUCCAGAUGAAACUGAAUAAAAUGCAGGUUGUGGAGCUUGAUGUGGGCCCAGAUCUGCUUGACAGCUUUGGGGCGGGAGGAUUCCUUGACACUGAGGAAGAUUCCCAGAGCUGGAGGGAUGAGAAUCGACUUCAUAAUCCCGAUGGUGGGUUUGUGCUUGGUCGAAAGAUCAUUUCUGGCAGGGGAAAACAUGUACCAUACCUAUUGCAAAUCUUGCAAAUUCUCUGCUUCUCCAUGGAAGAUGAAGAGCAUCGAAUCUCUGUUUUCUCUCUCUCUCUCUAAAACGUUUUCGUUAUAGAGUGCCCCAAUAGAAGUGGACGGGCAGUGAGCAUGCCAUUUAGUGCCUCCUCCAAGACAGUAACUGAUACGGUGGUCUUUAUUGGCACUCCAAGUUUACUAAAAAGGGCAGCAAAAAUAGUAUUUACAGCACCCAAACUUGAAAGAUCUAGCUCCAACUAGUGGCUUUCUGUUUCAACAGCCUGAAAGCCGGCAGUGUCAUACCGACGCCGUUUGUCUGGAUCAAAUAAUAUAUUAUAAGAAAACAUGACCUUCUUGAAGAUAUCAGCUGUUUUAGAGUCAUUAGCAUUUUUGUCAGGAUGGUACUUGAGAGCCAUUUUCCGGUAAGCACUUUUGAUUUCCUGGUUGGUGGAAUUCCUAUUGAGGCCGAGGACCGCAUAAGGGUUUUGUCGGAGCUGCUUCUUAGCUUCUUGCUUCUCCGAUUUUGAUCGGCUGCCCUGCAUUUUUGAAAUUGACGGUCAAUUUCUUCACAAAACCCUAGAAAUUGCCUCUCGAUUACCUCCGAAACACAUAAUUCACGACUCUUGGUUGAAAUUUUUUUUUUUCAUUUCAAAGAAGUGGCGGAGGUAAAUCAGUUGUCACAUAGCACCGGAGCAUGAGGAAAACCUAGAAAACCAAGAGGCAGAGAGACUCCAUGCACAUCUAACCUGGAACCUUGCAGGAGAGAGCAGAGAGAAAGAGACAAGAAAGAUUGAGGGAGAAGCGAUCUUGGUGCAUCGUCUGUGAUUCCUUGGUGAUUUGCUCGAUCGGGACUCUGAAUUCGUGCAAGUCAUUGCUGUUAAGCAAGAAUCGCGAGGAGUCGGAGAGCUUGGAAAUCGAGAAGGAGAGAGGGCCUUUAGUCAGGGCUUGGAGGGUGUCGGACUCCGUCGGCCAAGAUUGGUGCACGGUCACGGCGUCUGGGCCCAUGGCGGUUGUGUAAAUGGGGGAGGUUCUAGGAGUCCAAGAAAGAAGAAGAAGCAGCGACCAUAGAUCUGGGAGUCCAUGGCGCUUGAAAGAUACGGCGAACAAGUCGGACUUGCUGCUGGGCAGCUGGCGGUGAUAAUGUUGGUGCAUGGGUUUUGGAGUGGGAGUGUUUGGAAUGGGUUUUUUGUUUAGUUUCUAUGUGUUUUUUCACAGAGAGAGAGAGAGAGAAGUGAUGGUGUUUAAGGGAUGAGUUUUGGAGCUUAGUGAAUGCUUUUUCUGGAAAAGCCCAGUGAGGUUUGUGGGUUUUUGCAGAUUUUGCAGAUUCGCGGUGGAGGUGAAAGAAUGAAAGAGAACCGACACAACUUUUCGUAUUGAUUCCCACAUACGGCGCCAAAUGUUGAUGCACAAAACCGGAGGUCUUGGAACAACGCAAAUCCGACCGUGAAUCUGCAAGUAAUGUAAAUAACACAAGAUGUAUCGUGGUUCACCCCAAUGUUUAGGCUAUGUCCACACUGAUUAUUGUAUUUCUCUGAGAGGUGAGGGAGAGCUUUGAGAGAGCUUAGAGCUUAGGGGAUGUGAGAAGGCUUAGGAAUUGGCCUCCCUUAUUUGUGAGGGUGAGAAGUCCUUUUAUAGAAUAAGGGUUCCUCACUUAUUACAUAUUUGCCCAUUCCUUUAUUACAUAAUUACAUUUAAGUCCCCCGAGUAUUUGUACGAGGUCUAAAUACGGAGGCCCUAAGUAUGGUACAAACAAAAUGUUUUAAAGAUGUUGUAUGGGGUUGUAAUAGACCUCAAACUUGAGGGGUUACUAUGUAAUUUACCCUUAAUUAAAAUAAGGGCAAAUGAAGAGGAUGGUUGAACUUGUUAAGUUUCUUAAGUGUGUCUAAUUUAAGUGUGUUGUUAAUAAACAUUUAUUAUGGAGGCAAAGAGAGGGAAGGUGCGGCAUAGAAAGAGAAGAGAGAGAUAUGUAAUUGUGAGUUGUGUUUUAUUCCAUCCCAUUGUGCAUUUAUUUAUAUUAGUUGGGAAAGUUAAUUCUUUAACCUUUUAGGAUUACAACUCUAAUAGGAAAAUAUAUAAUCUAAAAGAUAUGGUAGAAUCCCAUAAGAAUAUCCUAGAUAUGUUAGGAUUUACACAAUCAUAUUCCUAUUCCAAUAGGACUGCAAAACAUUUGUAUUUUUUUAUAAUUUUUUUGAUAAUUUGUUGGCAUUUUCAAUUUUUGUUAACAUUGAAAAUAUAACGGUUCAGAUGAAAAACCUUUGGAAAUCCAACAUUGAAAAUAUAACAGUUUGACGUUGGGCUGUGGUGAAGGAGGCUGGGCUGUCACGUGGGUGGGGCCCUCCCUCUCCCACUUGGUGAUUCAAAGGGCGCAGGCCCGUGCAACAAUUGAGGCAGCCCAUAGAGAUCCUGCGUUUCACCCAUUUGCCAUUUUUUCCACCGCUGGAGCACCAAAAUUCGGUCCAAAGGCAGGGGUUCCAAUUGCAUGGGCAAUUUGGUUUCCGCUGGAGGUGCUCUUUGUCGACUUUGUUUAUUCUUUCUUUUUAGCUUUGCAGUAAUAUUGAAGUAAUCACUCCAAUUGUAUCCGAACUUUUGUUGUCCAUCAAUUUGUAUCAAAACUAUUGGUUAAUUUACAUAUUCAGACUAACCUUCUCAUUAUUUUUAGUAUUUUUAUCAUAAAUAAUAUCUAAAAUAAUCACAUUUUAUUCAACAACCACUCAAUUAAAAAUUAAUUAAUGUUGUUUCUAAACCAUUACAUCGAGCUUUUGUAAAUACACAUCAAUAUUGCAGCGAUCCGAGGCAUUGUUUUCUACGCCUUGGAUUUGGCGAAUUGGAAAAGAGAAGAGUUACGAGUAAAAGUCCCUCACAUUAAGAGGGCUCCUCCUCGGGGAGAUGAAGAUGAUGAUCUUUUGUUUUUGUUUCUUAAUGAUUAAUCCACGCAGCAACAUAUAAUUAGAUUGUUGGGAUCUACUCAAGUUCCAUAUCACGCACUAAUAUAAAGUUUGACAAACGAAACGAAAUAUGUGCUCUCGAAAGCAAAAUGAGGGCACUGCUCCAAGAACAGGAAGGGCUCCUUGUCGAGGUUGCCAUCCGCCAUGAGGGAAAACCGGAAGAAGUUAGACAACAAUGAUGACAUCGAUUUGCAACACCCAUAUUGGGACAUCAAACUGUGAAAUAAAUACUCAAAACUCCUGGAAAGUCCUCGGGACAACAAACUUUUAUCUCCUUCAAAUAUUUCAUUUUACCAAGUUUUAUGUUUGAAGGGAGGGAAAAAAAGAGAUGAGAGAAUCCUACUCCUUAUUCUUGAAUAUAUUCAGGAAUAACUAUUGAAUAAAGAGAGAAUGGAAGGGGAUCGAAAGAGGAGGGAAGAUAAUUCUAGUCCCAAACAUAAAAAGGACCACAACUUUUAAAUUAUCAGCACGAUCAUCAUCUGAUUGAAGAGACCAUUCAUUGUGAAACAUAUCGUCAAUCAAUAUGUCUAUAUCUAUUUAUAUACCACAUUUUUGGAGUAGGAUUCUCCCCCCUCCUAUUACCAUCCCCUUCCAUCCCCUUCCAUCCCCUCCUUUCAUACUUUUUUUUUUCUUAUUCUCUAUAUAAAAAAUUCAAAACAAGAUGUAGAUGUGUCGUAAUCGCAAUAGUUUAAAUAAAAGGAGAUGGAAGGAGAGAUAAAUUACGAGGGGAGAGAAUCUUACUCCCACAUUUUUCUUCUUCAUAAACAAAAGAGAGGUUCUAGAUUACUUGACUCUAUGCCUCAUUUUUUUCAUCAAGUAUUUGUGCUAAACGGGUUCAGUUUCAAGUAUUUUAGUUUUUUGUCAAAAUUGAGAAAACUGAAAAUCAAACAUUAAUAUGCAAAAUUAAAAAAUCAACACAUAAUUAUUUAGAAAUCGCAAUAGAAAAGAAAAAAUGGAGGUUUGUGAUGAAAAAUCUUUUAUACUAAGUAAUUUAGUAUCCUUAUGCAUGAAGAUAAUCAAUUCGUUCGUUAUGGUCAGACUCUUUUUGAAUUUUUGAACACAUUCUCCAUAGGGCCUUCUUAUUUGUUCCUUCUCCGAGUUGGGGUUAUGGAAGAAGUAAAAGAAGGAACCAAGAAGAAAGUAUUGGCAACAACCGAUUUCGUUACGGGACAACUCUUGAUAUUCAUAUCGAUCUAUUAUGUACCUUUGCAUCUAGCAUUAGACAAUAACUGUCAUAGCUUUACCAUAUUUUUUUGUUUCAUUUCUUCUGAAACAAUAACACACACUUUUUUAUUAUGUGUCUAAUACUAGGAAUUCAAUACAUAAUCUUAGCAUUCAAUAGUUAUUCCUGAAUAAUUUCAUUUUUCAAUUGAUCAACCAUUUCAUUUUUCCAAGUUCAAUCAAUGUUAGUCACAUUAGUCAACAUUUAUAUAUUUUGAUGCAACAACAAUAUGUUAUUUGUAACAAGUGAUUUUGCUAGUUGGUUAAUUGGUCACAAGUUAAUGUUCGGUUCAGUUCAGCUUUUCUCUCGAUUUUUUGCGAUUCGGUUUUUUCGAUUCUCUUUAGAUUCGGUUCGAUUUUGUUUUUUUAUUUAUACUUAAUUUUUUUUAAUCUGAAAACACCAAGAACAACACAAGCAUACUCAAUCAAACAACUAUCCUUCUCCACAAAUCACAGUAAUAAUUACAUUCAUUUAGCUAAAAUGCAAAUAACUAACAAACUCACAAAAAUCGAAUAAAAACUACAAAUUGCUUACUCUUUUUCUUUGGGUUUCACUCGAAAAGUGUCGGUAAAAUUUAGGGUUUGCAAGAACGCAACCGAAAUCCAAAACGGAGGCUCUGUGGCUUGUGGGCUGCUAUUGAGUUCCAGUACGGAAAACCUUGCUUACUCUCUAUCACGGUACAAAGUAUCAGUACCUUUAGCACUGUAUUUGGUAGAACCAAAUUAAAAGCUAACAUCAAUAACAACUACCAGAGACAUAAGCUCUUAUCAAUGCUUUGGAAACAGUCAUGUAUCUCCAAGUGUAAUGAUAUAAUUAGUAAGAAAUUUAAAAGAAAAAUGGUGAUUUCAUAUAAAAUCAAUAAAAAGUUACAAUAUUGACAAUAUAUCAACAAUUUUUAUGGGGUAAAUUACAUAGGACCCCCUCAGGUUUGAGGUCUAUUACAACCCCAUACAACAUCUUUAAAAUAUUUCACUUUCAUACCUCACCUACUAUUUUAUUUCAAUAUAGUACCUCCAUUACAUUUUCCAUCAAUUGAUCCAUUAAGAGCUGAAUUGGUUGCCACAUUUGACACGCCCCGAUCCCGAUAUCCUCGGGAUAUCAGGAUGGUCACGUGCUGGCCGACACCCGAGGGUGACGAAAGCCAUUUAUUGAGUGCAAUUGCUGAAAAUAAAGGAUAGAUAAAACUUAUAAAUGUAAAAGAAUAAGGAAUAUGCAUUUAAGGAACGUGUUCAGAGCAUACAACUAACUAGAACACUAAAAGAAUGAUAUAAAAUGGAAUGAAUAAAAGAAUGAGUCUUACACCAAGAGGACUCGAAGAUGCCGAUGCGGAAGUACCUUGAUUGUCGGGAUUGUACGCCUCGAUCCUAAAUCCUGAAGGGGGCGCAAAACAAACAUGAGUGGACCAAGUUGAUAUAUAUAUAAUAAAACAGUUAUCAAUAUACUAACCCCCAGGUUUAUGAAAACAAAUAUAUAAUGAUGAACAUAGGUUUUCCGAAACCUAGCAUGAUGUGCAGUAUCUCAAAUCAUAACUCAUAUAUAAUAAUCACUAGUGAAUUGUCCGAUAACCUGCAGGCCCCAUGCCGGCUCCCCGUCUCUGAGCAGACAGUCAGAGGAAAAUACACUUCAGGCCCCAUGCCGGCUCCCCGUCCCUGUGCUAAAUAGCCAGAGGAAACACACUCCAGGCCCUAUGCCAACACCAAACCGUCGCCCGGGACGGACCGGAAUCUAUUCCUACGUCCCGUAGCGGAAAUGACCACUAGGUAAGUACAAAACCAUUGAACAUACAUAUAUUGAAAAACAACUUCAUAGUAUAAAGUCAUCCAUCAUCUAUACUAUAAAGAGGUGUUCGAAACAUGUUCUAAAUAUCAUAUCGUCAUCCAUCAGAUAUUCUAUAAGAACACGGGUUAUAGGAAAAAUAGUAAUAAUUCAAGGUAGCCUCAGUAAGCAUGUUAUCUCAAAACGUUUCAUAAAACGUAAUCAUUAAAUCAUGCAUUUCAUGUAUGCAUUUCUACUAUUAAAACAUGCUUUUGAAGGGGUCCACUCACAGUACUUAGCCGCCGAAGAGCCACGCAAACUAACGUCACCAAUAUUGCCCCUAAGCACAUAAAUGGUCCAAUUAAUAAAACUAUAUAAUAGCAAUUGGAUUUGGGAAAACGGACGUUGGAAACGGAUUCAGAACGUCGAAUUACCCUAAGAAGGGUCCCGGACGAAAACCCGAAAAGUCAACUCUAAAGUCAAUGUUGACCGGAGGUCAACGGUCAAAUUAGGUCUAACGGGUUUUAGGCUUGAAAUCCGGAUUAGGGUUUAGGUUAAAUAGGAUUAGGAUUUAUUGGGUUUUGGAAUUCUAAGGUUUUUGGGUUAAAAGGGUUUAGGGUGAAAAUGGGUGGUUUGGGCUUAAUCCCAAACUCACACACAACACACACACACACUACACAAACCCUAAAACACACACACACACACGGGCUGCACUAGGGCAGCCCUCACAACACUUCACAAAGGCCCUAAGGCCUUAUUAAAGGACAGGGCUUUAAGCCCUUUAAAGGAUACUGGCCCAAGGCCCGUCAAAAUAAGGCCCGAGGCCUUUGGGUUUUAAAAAGAACAAGAACAAAUUUAAAAGAAAAGGGGCUGGGGUCUACUGGGCUAAGAUAUAACGGGCUUAAGGCCCGUGGGGUUUUCUAAAGGGCCUGAGAGGCCUGGGUUUGUCGAAGGAGAAGGCCGGAAUUUCGGCCGGAAAACCACCCAACUUUAAAUGGCCAUAACUUUGUCAAUACUCAACGAAAUCAAGCAAGACAAAAAUGAAAGUUGUAGCCCUUGAAGCGACGAAGAGAAUGGUUCCUCACACGACGUCUAACUCGCCGUGGUUUGGCCGGAAAAUGCCUCGAAAUCCGUCGGACUCGCCGGAAACUGGGUAAGAUUCAAAUGAGUAUAACUUCUUCAAUACUCAACGAAAUUAAGUGAAACAAAAAGGAAAGUUGUAUUACUCGACGAGACGAAGAGAUUGAUACCUUACACGCCGGCCAACUCGCUGUGGUUUGGCCGGAAAUGGCCUCGAAAGGGGCGGUGCUCGCCGGAGCUUACUCCGUGCCGUCGAACUCGCAGGGUAGGGUCCGGGGUUCGUUGCAAGCCUCUCUUCGAUGGUGACUCGGUCCUAGUGAGUCCAGGGGAAGAGAGAGAUGCGAAAGGUUGAGGGAGAGAGAGACGGGAGAGCUGAGAAAGAGAGAGCUACGGGAGGGAGAAACGAAGAAGAAGAAGAGAGAGAUCAGAAAACAUAAAAAAAAUAAACAAGGUGGGCCCCACGGGCUCACCAAUUAAGGCUUUAAAACAAUUUUAAAAUAUAAAAGAGGGUUGGGGUGUUUCAACAUUUGUACCACGUGGCAAAAAAAAAACCUAAAUCUUCUAUACAAAAAAACUAAAAAAACCAAAAAAAGCAAAAUCGAACACUCCACCCCGCAAAAAUCCUAGCAUCUUCCUUUUAUUCCCCACAACCCCAAAUUCCCCCCCAAAACCCCUAAAACCCAAACCCUAAUUCCUCCCCCACAUGAAGAAAAUCCCAGUCCAAUUCAAUCCCAAUUACCUCAAAUCCCACCAUAGAAACCCUAAAUUUUGGUUCCUCAAUCCCUAGAUUUCCCACGCCUCUGUUGCCUACACCUUAUCAAUCUUUAGCUUUCUCCCUCAUCCCCUCCAUGAACGACACUUUCUCUCAUCCGCUGUUCCCCAGCAACGGCACCGAUACCUACGAGGCCUGGUACGGCAACAUCCAGUACCUUCUCAACAUCUCCGCCAUCGGCUCAUUCUUAUGUGUCUUCUUUUUCACCUUGGUCAAGCUUUGAAGCGAUCGCCGCCGCAUGCCCGGCUCGUCCUCCCUCGUUGCUAAGCUCUUCGCAGUGUGGUAUGCUACCUGUCGAGAGAUUAUGCUCCCAUGUGGCGCUGAGGCCAUAAUACUCACGCACCCAUCUACACACCCACACCACCACUACCGUGGACUCUCUCUCACUCUCCCUCGUCUUUGUAGAGCUAGGUGAAGCCUAGAAACCGAGAACUAGCUCCAGCAAACCCCGUGAGUUUCGAGCCAGAUCCCUGCCGACUCCGACCAUCCCAUGACCAAUCUAAGGUACAAAACAUUUCCCCUUGACUCUAUGCUCUUUUUCGUAUGUAGAUCGUAGGGAAAAGCCCACAGAAUGAGAGAGAAUAGUGACCUGAGAGAGUCCACGGUGAUGGUGGUGUGUAGAUGAGUGCGUGCGUGGGUGUACUGUCGGGGAUAGAGUCUGAGAGAGAUAGAGAGUGAAAGAGUCUGAGAGAAGAGUGACUUGCGAGAGUGAGAGAUUCGAGAGAGACUCGGGAAAAGAUUUAUGGGUUUGGGUUUUUCUGGUUUUUUAUUUUUAUAAUAAUAGGGUUAAUAUUAUAAUAUUUUUAAUGUAUAAAAAUUUCUUUUUUGCCACGUGGCAGCCACAUCAGCACAAAUGUGGUAGUUGUAGAUGCAAAUUUCUUCCUCUUGAUCUUGGACAAUUUUGCACCUACAAAACAAUUAACACCUUAGGUUAAGGCCAAAAGCCUCACACACCCACAAUGAAUGGGGGGCUUUGGCCGAAGAACCUCUGUUGCCAAAGUUAGAAUUUAGAGAGAAAGAGUCUUUACAGAAUUUUGGGAUUUUUGCCAAAGUGUUGGAAUGGCUUUCUGGUGAGAACGGGAUCACUUUUAUAAGGAUAGGAAGUGGUCGGCCUAGCUAGGGUUUUUGGGUUUAAUUUAGGUUUAAUUCUUCAAUUUAUUUGGCUAAUUAAACCCUAAAGAAUAAAUUGGUGGUUACAAAAUUGAUUAUUUGUAUAAAUGGGGUAAUAAAAUGGAGAAAAGUGAAAAAGGUUAGGAAAAGGGAGGUAGCUAGCUUCUUAGUAGUUUUAGGUGUGAGUGGGUGUUUUAAUUGAUAAUUAAGGGAUUGAUUAGGUAAUUAAUCCCUUAAUUAAACAAUUUUUAGGGAAUAUGAAAGGAAAUUAUUAUUUAGCUAAUUGAUUAGCUAAAUAAUGGAAUACAAAAUAUAUAGAAUAAAUUAGGCUUUAGGUAUUACCUUAUAGAAAUGAUUUGAUGAAAUAGGCUUUAAAUUGUUAACUAUUUUGGGCACUUUUGACUUGGUUGAGGAUGAUUGUCUGCCGCUCGCACGUAGGAAUCUCGAUAUGCCUUAAGGGUAUUUUUGUCCUCUUUUACCCAAAAAUCCACGUGUCGCCUUGUGAUUAUUUUUGGCUCCACAAAUGCCCCCACACCUGUUGGGCUGCUCGCAGAAAAUGGCAGCAGGUGUAGAGAUCAUCUUGCUUUAGGAAACGUAGGACUACUUCCUCUUUAGAUGUAGAUUCUCUCUUUAAUAGGAAAUUAGGUUCUUCUAGGAAAGGGAAAUAAAUUUCUGUUAAAGCCUAUUUAAGUCUACCUUAAGUGGGUUAUUAAAUCAACUUUGGAGAGCGAUUUCUUAUACCCUACAAGAGAGAGGGAGCUUAGAGAAUAUUUGUUCCCCCUCUUCUAGCAAUCUUCUACAUCUUUCCCGUGCAAAGGAUCGUCUUUCGUUGAUUUCUUCGUCUUCUCCGUGCCGCACCGAUGUAAGAAAAAUUUAAUUUUUUGCUUAUCUUCUUCUUGGAUAGUACUAUUACAGGGCAACCGUUAAGGUAGUGCGGCACGUCUACUGGCAGGGGCUAGGAGUUGGCUCGGCAUCGGUCGAUGAGGCAUUAUGGCAGGGGCCACUGCUUAGGCUGUUUGGCUUGGCUAGAGCCAAUGGCAGCUUGUGCGGCUGGGGUCGCGGAUUGUGGCGUUGGGGCGCAAUGCUAGGCGAGCCACAUGGUUAAUGUCCUUUAGGCUCUUAGACCUUACUCGGGCCAGGCUAGCGACUGAAAGAAAUGAGGAGGUCGUGGGCCUCAUGGGUUGUUGGAAUGUUGGGCAUGCAGGCCUCCUGUCUGCUAGAAUGCUAGGUUGAGCUCCUCUGCUGAGUACCGUGAAUGGCGUUGGCUGCUUAGUUCUUUUUACAGAGAGAAAGGUGGGCUGCUCCCGAAAGAGGAAGUAAAGAGGAUCAAGGUGGAUGCAUUGGCUCGUCUAAUCGCUGUCGUGGAACCUCCUAUGAAUGAAGAUGGAAAUAAGAGAUCUUCCCUGCCUACUCAAGAGAUGCCGAUCGAGAAAAAUUGAAGACUUUCUCCACUGCUGCUCAUGAUGAUUUGUCUGCUGUCGAUAGGCCUGUGAUUGGCAUGACUUCUUCCAAUGGGAAGAAAAAUGAGGCUGCUAGAUCUGAUCAUGUGGUGCCUUCCAUGUUGAGAAUUGCUAGUACAAUUGUUGAUAAGAUUGCUUAGCGCAAAGGUUUUAUCAUGCCCCCAGUACCGAAGUCUGUACCAGGACUUUCGUUUGGAGCAAAGUCUGGUUCACCUUUGGAGAUACUUGCUAUUAUGAAAAGUGGUAAGGUGGACUCUGCUGCUAAAGUGGCGUCAAGGCCCACUCCCUUUGUUGCUGAGACUGAUUCGCCUGCUAGGAAGGAAGAUACUACUUGUAUGGGCAGCUGUGAGAAAUCCACUAAACUUGCUUCUGGGGAGGCUGCUGAGAUCAUUGUGCUUUUGAAACUAUAUCUGCUUGAAGACAUGGACGCUUGUGCCAAGUUUGUUGAUGGCGGUAGAAAGGUUGUUUACCUAAGUUCCUUUGCGAAACAUACGACCCAAUAUAAAAUGACUGCUCUGCUUACUAGGAUGCAUAAAUAGCAAGGUUGUCAAGGAGGUGGCGAAGAUUAUGGCAGCUAAAGCUUAUUCCUCAGUCGAGGAGAUCAAAAGGUUGAAUUAUGAGCUUGUUGCUUUGAAAGAAAUGGAAGAACUGCAACACGUUCGUGUUAGUCUGUUUGAGAAGAAUGAGCAGCUAAACGGUAAGAAUGAUGGGCUUGAGGUUUCUCUAUUUUUCCGGAAGACUUGCUUACUUUUACUUUUGAGGCUUCCAUUGGUGAAGUAGUUGGAGACGUUAGUGCCCAGGCUUAGGCAACCGGGGGUGAAGCACCGGAUGAUGCCGCUGCUAAGAACGUUACGGCUGCUGAAGGUGUGGAGACCAAGUAGUCGUGGGAUGUCCAAGCUGCUGUAGUGUAGUAUUUUAGGUAGCUUUUAUGAUUUUCUUUGUUUUUCCUUGUAGCUCUUGUUUUGCUUGAACUUCUUCGGCCUUUGCUAGUUGUAUAAACAUGUUUUCCUUCGCUUUUCUUCAUCUUCGCUUCUUUUGUUCAUGCCCUAACCUUUAGACUUGAUAGACCAAUGGCAGGCAUGCUACUUUUUUAUAAGCAGACAAGCUCGCGUAGCCUAUGCAGCCGUAAAUGUUGGUGUAGAACUUUGCAAAGUUGUUAGCCAUUAGGUUGGUAACCAGAUACCUUACUUACAGAAGUAGACAAGUCCGCAUAACCACUAGGCUAUUAACCUUGACUUUCUCCAAUUCUGUAGGUUGCGUAGCAAGUAUCACAACACUUUAGGAAUUGGUAUAGGUUGCUCCGCACUUGGCAGAGGUGAAGCCUAUCGACUACGUAGCAUGUCGGCAGUGGAUAAAACUUCCAUAUAUGCGCGCUAGCUUGUUUAACCUUUCACAAGAAUGUGCGGUUGUAUAAGUCUAGCACGGUUUUACUGCUUGAAGGGCAAGCCGUAGGCAGUCUUCCGGAAUCCGUAGGCUACCUUAAUGUACUCGGUAGCAGCUUUAGGGUUCCAGGGCAGCCGUCUAUAGAGCGUACUGCGUAAUGUGCCCCAUCCGUCUCUAGCUCCCGGUUCCCCACAGAUUAGACCAAGAGACCCAAAAUCCUUCAGUUAGUUAAGCCUUGAAAAAGACCAUUGUGGCUACUUCUAGGAAUCCCGGCUCAAGCCAUCGUACAUCUAGUUAUACUAGGGUAGCCAGGCUCAUCAGCGUCUGGAUAUUCGGAGUGUAAAGUUUAUCCUCCCGUCUUAGAGAGCUGACCCAUAUGAGUGUCGGGGAAUUGGUUUACCCUCUCACACUAGAGAGUAAUUAAUUUACCCUCUCGCACUGGAGAGCAAUUAGUUUACCCUCUCGCACUGGAGAGCAUGGUUGGUCCAUCGGGGGGCGCAAUUCCUGCGAUGAGUCCCUAAGAAGGGCGCAGUCUUCUUUUGAAGUGCAGGAAUGAUUAGUUGUUAUAAGCAUGUGAUCGAGUCAAGUUGUGAUUACUUCUAAAUUCCUCAUUGAAAAACGAGUGAAACGAACGAGAACUUAGCCGUAAGGUAGGAACUGCAUAACAACUGGAUAGUCCUCAACUUGUGUGGUGGUACCCAUCGAGCUUCUUGAGUCUUCGGGCUUUGAUGUAGUGGGAGGUUACACAUGGCACCUUUUCAGAUUGUAGGCGCUCUACUGCUUUUCGAACUUUUUUUUUGUUGUGUAAUUGCUCUUGCUGCCUACUCGGCUAAUCUUAUACAGACUUUCUCGGAUGAGAUUCAUCUUUUUGGAGCUUCUCUGCUGGCAGUGAUGAAGGCUUUUCUUAGGACUAGAUCUCUGGGCUGGAACUGCCAGAUUUUGGCCUUUUUGUUGUGGCUGGAAAAGAACCACUGCUGGUAAGUUGUAAUGCAGAUGAUAGUCUGCUCGCACUUCUCCUCUGCCAAAUUUAAGCUUGUGGCCAUCUCCUUUCGGUUGCUCGUCUUUUGGUGUUGCGAUGUGCCCAUAGACAUCCAGGGAGUUUGUCUGGCCAUUUUCUUUUCUUAUUGGUAGGGGAUUUCUUGUGGCAGUCGAGGAUCAUCUUAGUGGAUGUUUUGGCCAGCCUAUUGCCUUGAGGAUAUCUUGGCGUAGACAUGUGCUGCUUGAUGCCAUAUUUUUAGAAGAAUUUCGCCAAAUCUUUGCCCACGAAUUACGGGCCGUUGUUGGUGACGAUGGAUUAAGGUAUGCCAAAUCGGCAAAUGAUGCUCUUUCAUAUGAAGCGCUCUAUGUCCGUUUGAAUUGUGAUCGUCAUGGGCUCUGCUUCUACCUAUUUGGUGAAAUAGUUGGUUGCCACGAUCAUCAUGCAUUUGCCCUUAGUAGUCUGGCUGGUGAUUAGCUGGGAAUCAGAAUGAAUUGAAAGCUUUUUCACCACCAAGUCUUUUGUCACUCGAAGGCCUGCUAGUGGGGCUUUGUACUCUGCUUCGUUGUUAGGUGCUUUGACGCUUAGAGUGAUCGCUUACUCGAGCAUUGAACCGUCUGGGGUGGCAAGAACCACGGUUACUUAUAAGCCUUUGUAGUUGGAUGCGCCGUCGACAUGCAAAUGCCAGAAAUUUCCAUUGAGGGAGUAGGUAUGGCUAAAGUGUGCUCGGCUACCUUCGAAGCGUCGUUGGGCCGCUUUGUUACAUUGUCAAGGCUAGGUUUGAAGGCGCGGUAGAGAGUCGUGGAGCUGGGGCCAUGUUACAUGUAGCAGGAGAUGCUCAACUUCCGGUAUUAGGCCACUCUAGAGCUGAAUAAUGGAGCAAAGGUCGGCUAGGGUCGUAUGACGCGCAGCAGAAGGUAGUGCUCGACUGCUAGUACAUGUUGCUCUUACGUAGAAUCUUCUGAGGCGACGAGGACAAAACUUGCUUUUAAGUGUUCCUUCUAGUGUUCGUCUGCCCUUGGCGUGUCUUUUGGGCUGAGUUGUUGCGUUCGUCAGAAAACUUUGCAUCUGCCAGGGUUUACGUCUUUAUCAUCACGGGUUUGGAUUAGGCGGAAUAGUGCGUCAUGAUGAUGACUGCGUACAUUUGAAGGUAAAACUUAAGCUUUUGGGUUACAACAACUAUCACCAAAGUUAGCUUUUGAAUUUUUAAUAGCAUCGAGGAGAGCUUUUGAACUAUAAAAUACAUGUAGUUGGGCCCCCAACUCUUCUCGCAUGACGGUACAGCUUAUUUCUACUUUAGAUACCGUCAAACAUGCGAAUAAGUCCUCUGCUGCUUCUAGGGAGGUGAUGUUGGGUACUUCUUCAAGCCCUUGAAUGUGCAUUGGCGAGCCUCAUCCCAAAGUGCAUGCUUCUCUGCCAAAGAAAAAGAGUCUACCAGAGUUAGAUAUUCUUUCAUGAUCAAUUUUCUAAAUAGCGGUGGUCUGCUGGAAGGCCUUUUUGGAAGGCUGCUCUAGCUAUUGAGUCGCUGCAUCCGACUAUCAUUGCCUUCUCUGUUUUGAAUCUCUUCACAUAGUCACGAAGUGACUCCUUUGGGUUCUUUUUUACGUCAAACAAAUGGUCGGACUUCUUUUUGAUCGAGCAAUAAGAUGAAUAUUCUUUGGUGAAAACCAAAGAAAGUUCGUAGAAAUUCUAGAUAGAUUGUGGCGGCAGGGUGUAGAACCAAUCUUGUGCCUCGCCUUCAUAGUGGUGGCGAAUAUCUUGCACAUGAGAUCAUCGUUGUUUCGAUAAAGGAUCAUUGUGCUUCGGUAGCGCUUUAAGUGUCUCUUCGGGUCUUCAUCCCCUUUGAAAGAUAUGAAAUGUUGCAUACUGAACUCGCAUGGAGGCUCUGCCAGCUCGAUCUCAUCCGUGAAGGGUGACCUGCUUAUGUUGGUCAUGUUCCGUCGUAGUGCCUCGUCGGUGACCUUGUUGCGUUAGAAAUCAUGCAAUCGCUUGAUUAAAAGUCUCUCUACUUCUUCCUGAAUUUUCAUUUGUUAGGGUAGCAGAGCUCUCGGCUGCCCCUAGCCAUAACUUACUGGUCUAGGAUGCUCUUCCAUGUGUUUGGCUCGUAUACCGUGGAUGCAGUGUAUGUGGUGCGGUCCUAGUAGGUGAGCGAGUUCUUCGCAGGCUGCUAGUUGAACUUGAGCUGGAUUGAGUGACUACUUCUCUCCGUCCGUCGUGCUGCCUACUCCAAUGUGAGGUGAAAGAUGCUCCUUGCAGGCUUAGCCACGAAUGAACACUUUACCUGGAAGGUUGCUCAUGUUGACUAUCAGAGUAUGACCCUAACCGUGAAUGUAUAUUCACCCGUGGGCUUAGUCGAGAGUGCACGCUCCUCCGCGCGCUAAGACGAGAGUAUACGUUAUCUCGGGAGCCCAAUUGGGAGUGUACACUGCCCGAACGCUCGGCUCGUGGCUGGUCGAGUGGCUGCUUGCCGAAACGCUGCGGGAAAGGUUCGUCUGCCCUUGUCCUACUUCGGGAUACCUUGUUUGGGGCACGUUGGAUUCUGGUGCAUUGCAAAAGUUGAUUCACCAAGGUUGUCUGUUGUGCAAGGGUGCUCGUAAACGCUACGACUUGUCGAGACAAGUGUUGUUCGUCAUUUGGAUUGGAAUAGCUUGGAAGGAAUGUGCCUUCUUGGGCAGUGGAAGGGUGGUAGACUCCGGGCUCGAGAUUUGAGUUGGGAAAUGUCAAAUCUACGAAAAAAUGUGGUGAGAAUGCCCCCGGCUCGAUGGUAGGUCCGGAUGGUUGAGAUAGUCUUGGGCCGACUUGGGCUGCUUGGAAAGCCACGGGAGCAGGCUGGGCCACGAGAGUGAGCUGCUCGGCAGGAGUAGGCUGGGCUACGAGAGUGGGCUGCUCGGCAGGAGCAAACUGCUUGGAGUGUGAUGCACAUGGGUGCGAGGCUUGGGCUCGGCUUGGUAACACAUUGAGUUCGGGUUUGGCUUGGAGUGACAUGACUUGGGCCGUGGCCUUGGUGUCGUGAGCCUUGGAUGGCACGGCUCGGGCAGUGGUAGCUGUGCCAUGGACCUCGCCGCGGGUAGUGGUGACCGUGAUGGCCACCGCGGUGGUUGCCAUGGUGGAGCCCCGUAGUGAUGGUGCCGCUCCUAUGAUCACAUUUAGCCUCGUGGAUCGUCGUGGUCCCAUUUCUUGAAUAUUAGAAUUUUCACUUAUGGAAUUUUCUAAAUUUCUAGCCAUUAUAUUUUUCUUAUACGUUUUAUCAAAGAACCUUUGCAAAUAAAAAAUUCUAAUAAUAAGAACGUAUGAAAAAAUAUUCAAAUGGACUAGAAAAUAGAGAAAAACCUUUUUAUGCGAGAGUCUUCUACGAGUAUAGAUCUCAACUCUCAAUGAAAGCACCAAUUUGUGGAUGCAAAUUUCUUCCUCCUUGAUCCUAGACAAUUUUGCACCUACAAAACAAUUAACACCUUAGGUUAAGGCCAAGAGCCUCACACGCCCACGAUGAAUGGGGGGGCUUUGGCCGAAGAACCUCUGAUGCCAAAGUUAGAAUUUAGAGAGAUAGAGUGUUCAGAGAAUUUUGAGAUUUUUGCCAAAGUGUUGGAAUGGAUUUUUGGUGAGAAUGGGAUCACUUUUAUAGGGAUAGGAAGUGGCCGGCCUAGCUAGGGUUUUUGGGUUUAAUUUAGGUUUAAUUAGUCAAUUUAUUUGGCUAAUUAAACCCUAAAGAAUAAAUUGGUGGUUACAAAAUUGAUUAUUUGUAUAAAUGGGGUAAUAAAAUGGAGAAAGGUGAAAAAGGUUAGGAAAAGGGAGGUGGCCGGCUUCUUAGUGGUUUUAGGUGUGAGUGGGUGUUUUAAUUGAUAAUUAAGGGAUUCAUUAGGUAAUUAAUCAAUUUUUAGGGAAUAUGAAAGGAAAAUAUUAUUUAGCUAAUUGAUUAGCUAAAUAAUGGAAUACAAAAUAUAUAGAACAAAUUAGGUAUUAGGAAUUACCUUAUAGAAAGGAUUUGAUGAAAUAAGCUUUAAAUUGUUACCUAUUUUGGGCACUUUUGACUUGGUUGAGGAUGAUUGUCUGCCGCUCACGCGUAGGAAUCUCGAUAUGCCUCAAGGGUAUUUUUGUUCUCUUUUACCCAAAAAUCCACGUGUCGCCUUGUGAUUAUUUUGGCUCCACAACAACCACGUCAGCAUUUAACAGACCAAUGGAUGGAAAAUCUAACGGAGGUAUUAUUUUGAAAUAAAAUAACAAGUGAGGUAUGAAAGUGAAAUGUUUUAAAGAUGUUGUAUGGGGUUGUAAUAGACCUCAAACUUGAGGGUCCUAUGUAAUUUACCUAUUUUUAUGUUAAUUAUGAAUAGGUCAAUCAUGUAGAACCAAAUUAAAAGCUAACAUCAAUAACAACUACCAGAGACAAAAGCUCUAAUCAAUGCUUCGGAAACAUAGUCUUGUAUCUCUAGGUGUAAUGAUAUAAUUUGUUGGAAACUUAAAAGAAAAUUGGUGAUUUUGUAUAUAAUCGAUAAAAAGUUAUAAUAGUGACAAUAUAUCAGUAAUAUUUAUGUUAAUUAGGAAUAGGUCAAUCAUGUAUUUAAUACUUACAUGCAUUUAAAAUAAACACCUUAUCAAUGUUUUUUUAACUGUGCUCAGUUUUUCUCCUUCGCUUUGGUUUUGUUCUAUUGGAUUUUUCAACUAUCAUUAAUUGUGAACAUAACUGAUCAUUGAGACACAAACAUCCAAGGGAGAGUACCGUGGAACAAAAUGUGGAUAUCUUUAUACAUUGUAUGGUAGUAAACCAUCAUAAACACCAUAAUAAUGUAGAAACGCUCUUGGGGUACCUUUGGAUGAUAACUCAUGUAUUUGUUGCCCUACGUAAAGAUGGCUAAUGAUAAUGGAAGUCUAAUUUUCUCAUCCCAAUCUCUCCUGUCUCUCUUGUUCUCUUUUCUCUAUAGUUUAUUUCCAACAAGUUGUGUUAUUUUUUUUUUUUAGUAUUGUUAAGCAACCAAUAGAUUUUAAUUAGCAGUCUUUGUUUUUUUCUUUUAUAUUUUUAAUCAAUUUCAGUUGCUUAUCCGUUCUAGCAAAUUGAGCUCUUUUACAGCAAUUUUUUUCUUUAAAUGAAAUUAUUAUUAUUAAAAGAGUGAGAAAAUUCGAAAUUAUUACAACAAUUUAAAAAAAAGAAGUUUCGAAUCAUAAACACAGAGGGAGUUUACAACAUUUUAAUUAAGAAAUUAGGCUUCAGCUCAACUCAUCUUUGCAACGUCGGUUCCACUUCACAUCAACAUGCAAUGUUUCAGAAGGUCACGCGGUUUUGGGGUUGUUGUGUACCAAUAAUAUUAUAUAUAUAUAAAUUAGGAUUGAAGGAUACACGCAUUUUGUAGAGCUUAUUUUGUUAUGUAUUUUAAUGAUUUAAAUGCUUACGUUUUUCUUCACUACAAAUGAGUGAAUUAAUGAUUUUAGAAUUUGUCUAAUUUUUUACAUUGAUUAUUUAUGAAUAUUGAAUUGAAAUAUAGACGAUUCAAAAAUCGUUGAUAUACAUUACAAAAUGAACUCCACAAAAUAAGCGUCAAAAUAUGUAUAUAAAAUGGACAGCGUGAAAGGCUUGGAAAUUGGAAUAGGUUUGAAAAUUGUGCUUUUUGUAGCAAAUUGUAGCAAAGUUUGCUUGGACUUUCACAACCGUAUAAAUUAUGCCGCAGCACUCUCUAUUUUCUCUCUCGCUCUAUAUCGUGGUCCCUCUCUCUCGCCGUCCUCGAUUGCUCGAACUCACUAUCCUUUAUUGCUCGAACUCACCGUCCUCAAUUGCUCGAACCCACUGUCCUUUAUUGCUCGAACUCACUGUCUCCAACUUCCUCUGUUUGGUUCCCGAUGAAGAUGGUAAAACAGUAGGGGCAAGAAAUUAUGACAAUGUUAGAUUUGCAUAUUAAUCUGGUAGGGCUACAAUUCUCCAAUCCACACCCCUUCCAUCUAUGCUAGUGUUUGUACCCAAUAUUAGAUAUCCGGUCUGUGCAAUCGAGAUCGUUGAAUGAGAAAAAUUCUAAGCCGUGGGAUCAAAUAUAAUGAUGUGGAUUAAAUAAGAAAAAUUUAAAUGUUUAUCUUGGUUGAAUUACCAUGAUAAUAUUGUGGAAUUAUCUUCUGCAUAACGGGAUAGCGAGAAAAGUCCAAGGGUGUAGGGAAGUUGUGUGGCUGACUACCGCUUUUUUUUAUGGUGUCAUUAGUAGAGUAAUAUCACACUUAACAUUUAUUUGUACCAUCUCUCUAAUAAAGAUAAAGACCAUCAAUGCAUAAAUAAUGAUACAAAUAUAUAAUAAGAGUAUCAUAUUUGUAACUAGAAUAGGAGAAGAAAGACUUCAAGAUGGGGUCAGCCAAAUAAUUAGCGUCAGGAUAAAAAUAUGAGUAAUGAUAUUUGUAAACAUCGAAAUUUCGGUAAAUAAAUGUUGACCGAUAAAUCAAAGUUUCAACGCUCAUGUAUUACAUAAAUUUUACACGUAGCGUAUGUCUAAACAAAAAAUCGAAAUAAGUUGGAAAAGUCAUCAAACAGGACACAUGUCAACACCUGGCAGAAACGACUUAUUUCAUCUGGAAUAUUAUAUUCAAAAUUAGGCAUUGGAAAAUUCUAUAAAUAGAAGCCAAUUUCAUUCAUUUGAAGGAACCAAAAUCAUUAGGCAAAAUUCUUGAAGCUCUGAAGCUCUGAAACUCCGAAACUCUCAAGCAUCCAGGUUCCCGAAGAAUCAAGAAAGCUCUCUUCGUUCUUCGUUCUUCGUUCAUCGUUCAUCCUAAGAUCAAGCUCCAACGGCCCUUUAGAUCAACAAUCAUCCACUAAUUCAAGAUCAAGCCCCGACGGCCCUUGAAGAAAGUGUUCUUCAUUCUUCGUUCAUCGUUCUUCCAAGAUCAAGCCCCAACGGCCCUUUGGAUUAACAAUCAUCCACCAAUUCAAGAUCAAGCCCCAACGGCCCUUGAAGAAAGUGUUCUUCGUUCUUCGUUCAUCGUUCUUCCAAGAUCAAGCCCCAACGGCCCUUUGGAUUAACAAUCAUCCACCAAUUCAAGAUCAAGCCCCAACGGCCCUUGAAGAAAGUGUUCUUCGUUCUUCGUUCAUCGUUCUUCCAAGAUCAAGCCCCGACGGCCCUUGGAUCAACAAUCCACCAAUUCAAGAUCAAGCCCCAAAGACCCUUGAAGAACUUCUACCAAUUCAAGAUCAAGCCCUGACGGCCCUUGAAGAAAGUGUUCAUUGUUCAUCAUCCGUUCAUCCCGAAGAAUCAAGAAAGCCUUAUUCGUUCUUCGUUCAUCGUUCUUCCAAGAUCAAGCCCCGACGGCCCUUGGGUCAACAUCAUCAACAAAUCCACACAUCCAACCGUUCUUCAAGAUCAAGCCCAAAAGCCCUUGAAGAUCCGUUCAUCACCGUUAUUCAAGAUCAAGCCUUAACGGCCCUUGAAGAAACACUCAUCCUCAAGAUCAAGCCCCAACGGCUCCUUGAAGAUCCGCUCAAAUCCACCUUCAAAGAUCAAGCCCACGGCCCCUUGAAGAAACAUCCAACAGUUCAUCCAAGAUCAAGCCUCGACGGCCCUUGGAUCAACGAAACAUCUACAAAUCAACACCUUACGGAGAUCGAAUCAGAUGAUCAAAUUAGAGAGAGAUUGUAACCCUAAAUCAUCAAAAUACAAAUAUUAUUUUGUGCACGUUGUUCUUAUCUCUUUCGUUUCAGGAAAUUUUCGUGUUCACAAUAUUCUUACCAUCUAAAUAUACUAUAAUUUUAUACCAUCUUAUGUGGCAAUUGAGAUGGACUUCCACAUAAGUUUUAAAAAAAUCUCAUGUCAGCUAAGGUGGAUAUUUACGAUUUUACGAUUUUACUCAAUGAUUUUUAUUAAUAAAAUAAUUAAAAAAUAAUAAUGAAACCUACUUGCUCCCGUUUUCAAGCCUCAUCGCUGGGCCUCCUCCCUCUUCGCUCUCCAAUUUCACCUUCCUUCACCAACGAUCGAUGGUGCUCGACCCCCUUCAUCAUUGCCAACUGGCCGAAUAUCUUGAUGGUGCUCCCAGUGAUUGUUUUGCUCUGCCACCAAAUCAAGUUUGCAAUUUUAAUGGUUUAUGCCUUCUGGCCAAGUGUUGGAUUUGAUAGGUUUUUAAUUCCAGCAACAUUGAACAAAAAUAUGAAAAGGAUUGGAUACGAUAUUUUCCUCUGUUCUACUGCUGAGGAUUUUCCGAAUAGAAGAAGAUUUGGAAGACAACCUCUUUUCUUUUUUCUUCAUGGACUUUUGGUUAGCACCAAAAUCUUUUCCUAAUCCUCUAUAGGAAUGAAAAUUUCAUUCCAUGUUAUAUCCCGAUGUUGUCCAAGGUUUUGGCUUGAAUUUUCAUUGGAAUUAUCAUAUGUUGGAUCAGAUCAGGUGGAGAGAUGAAACGUAUCUAACAAGGAAGUUGAACGGGUAGGGUUUGAGCAAAAAUAAACAGAAAUUCCACCUAGGUUGACACCUAAGCUUCCACAUCAUGUGGUAUACUAAAUGUGGUAUAAUAAGAUGGUAAGAAUAGCAUUAUUGAAUGGGUAAUGUUAAGAGAAAUUUUUAGUUGUGACGGGAACACGGAUGGUACACCAUGCGUUUUUAUGUAAAUGGUGGAAAAUUUUAAUUUUUAAAUUAUUAACCUUUUAGCACACAUAUCCCACCAUUUAUAUGAAAACACGUGAUGUAUCACCUCGUGUGAUAGUCACAUUGAAAAAUCUCUCGUAAUGUUAGGAAAACUAAAUUUAUAAACAAAAGUUACAAAUUAAAUGAUGGGUUACCAAUAAGAAUGAUUACGUUUAUCAAUGCUUAAAUAAUAAAUCAUUCAUCAACUUCCAGUCCUUUAGUUUUUAAAAUUUUGUCUAACAUUACCCUUUCAAAACUCAUGAAAAUAAUUUUCAAUUUUUUUAACUGAAAAGUGAAAGUUACUAAACAAGAUUUCAGUUUUUAGCUUUCAAAAAAAUAAAAACAAAAGCUAAAAAUAAAAUGGUUAUCAAACAUCCCUAGAAGUCAUUCUUAGUGAUAGUAAGGUCAUCUCCAACCGAAAGAUCCAGGGGGCUAGAGGGCCGAAAAUAGUCUGAAAACCAUUUCCAAUCAAAGGCCAUGCCAAAGGGGUCGUGGACCCCAUUAGACAAAAAAGGGCCAAAGGGCCAACUGGCUGGCCCCAGUUCCAACAAUAACUAGAUGACGUCAGUUAACCGUUAUUUUUGAAUUUUUUUUUUAACAAAUUUUAACUUUCUAAGCCAUUAAACAACAUUAAAUUAAGUAAAAAAGAAAAUUCCUAUAACUUCCUAAGUCAUUAAACAAUAUUAAAUUAAGUAACAUGAAACAACAUUAAACAAUAUUAAACAAAAUUAAACAAUAUUAAACAACAUUAAAUAACAUUUAACAACAUAAAAAUUAUACAACAUAAAAAAAAACAUUUAAGAACAUAAAAUUUAAAUGCCUACUUCAUGCUUCUUUUGGCCCAAAGAUGUGCAACAAGAUCCUAAUGUAGGUACUUGUUUGUGGCACGAGAGCGUAUCAUCCUAACCGUUAGAUUUGAUUUUUUUUUGUUUUCGGCCAAAUUUUUUUAAAUUUAAAAAUAAAUUAUGUUUGACCUUUUGGCCCUCGAUUGGAGAUAGUUUUUUUUGUGACAUGACUAUGUUUAGCCCUAUGACCCUUUGGCCCUCAGUUAGAGAUGGUAAGAAAUAUGACCCAACAAUGUUCAUUAAAAUAUUAAUUUCUUGAAGAGCCAGAGGGCUAAAACGAGCCAUCCUUCGGUUGGAGAUGGCCUAAGAAGAGACUAGAGAUAGAGAGAUUCCUAUACUUAGCUGUGAGAGUUUCCUAUAUAUGAUUUUCAUUAACAAGAUUGAACUGAUUACAUAGAGAAGAAGAUCAAGUAUGGUUAUUUUUAUUUGGGAGACUUUGGAUGUGGUCCUUAGUUAUGAAUAUUAUUUGAUUGAAAUCUUGUUGGUUUUUAAUUUUUUAUCAAGAUCCCUGAAAUUAAUGUGAUAAUUUAUUUCUAUGUAAGUUACUAUAUUUUUUUAAUUAGAAAUUAGAAAUUUUAGUUGUUUAUAUAAAUGAGAUUUUAAAUUAAAAAAACCAUAAUUUGUGGGAUUAAAAAUAUUAAAAUAUAAAUAUACUAUUGUGUGUGUGUGUGUGUGUGUGUGUGUAUAAAUAUGGGUACAUUCAUCAAAAUUAACCAAAAAAUUUAUUGUAUCAAAACAUGGGUACAUUCUUCAAAAUCACAAAAAAAGAAAGAUAUUAGGCUUAAUAACAUUAGUAAAUUUCUUCGAUUAAACUUGACAUGGAUACAUUUUAAAAUCAAAGAAAAAAAAUGUACCCAUAUAAGUUUAAAAAUGGAUUAGAAAAAAAAAUUGAAUAGAUUUUAUACAAAAAAAGGGUACGUUUUACAUAUAACAAAUUGGUAUAUUUAAGAAUGAGUACAUUUUAAGAUUAAAAAGUUUUACAUGAAUGGGUUCAUAUAAUUAGCAUGGGUACAUUUAGCAAAAUAAAAAGUACAAAUACAAAAAAAUAUAUGUGUACAAAUACAAAUAAACUUUAAAAAAUAUGGGCACAAAAAGAAAUUAAUAUAUGGGUACAAAUUAAAACCGAAAAGAAAAUUGGUACAAGUUAAAAAAGAAUUACAAAUUAAAAAUGGGUACAAACUAAAACUAAAAAUAUAUGAUAAAAAAUUUAGUCAUAAAUAUAAAUAUACUAAUUGUAACAUUUUUAACAUUAAAUGAAUAUAUUUAGACAUAAAAAAUAUAUUUUAUUAUUGAAAUAAUUAAUGAUGUUAUUAAUACCCAAGGACCUUGAUAAAAAAUUGAAAAGAAAUAGAAUUUUAAUCAAUGGAGUAGCAAAAGAAAAGAUGAGAACCUAAUUUCUCCUUUGUAUUGUGUAGACAUUAUAACUAUACAUUCAUAAUAACAUGAGUAAUGUUAUAUUUAUCACAUUUGUACUCUUUCUCCAAUAAAGAUAGGGUCCAUCAACACAUGUGGGUUCUAUUUGCCCAUCAACACAUGCGAAUCUCAUUUUUAUUAGAAAAAUAGUACAAAUAUGAUAUGGAAAUUAUGAUAAGAUCGCAAUUUUGUAAUAACAUAUAUACUCAACUAUUUAUAUACCAACUCAUCUCCCUUUAGUGUAGUUAAUAUUGUUUGUUCAACCAAAAAAAAAAAAACUGAACUUGUCAUAAUCAUUGAAUCCAUUUACCAUGAACAAACGGCAGUUUACUAAACUUGCCCUCAGAGUAUAUAUAAAAGGUGAAUCACAAUCUAUUGCAUUAAUAUAAGGAAACAAUUUAUAGGGUUUGACGGGUGACUUAAUAUGCUAUAUGGCACAAUGAAAAUUAAGUUCACACUUUAUCCCAAAUAAGGUGUUGCACCUUUAAUUUAUGGAUGCUGGUUUGACGUGUGACCGAAAUAAUCAAAUUGUAGCCAUUAAUCAUUUUACAAGUAAUAAUAUGUGGUUUUAUUGUUUACGAUUCACACAACAAUCUGCUAGGAAGUAGAAAAUGCAGUACUUGUCCCUCUCACAGAAGUCAUGAAUAAUUAUCAAAUUCAAAGAUAAAGAAAAACCACACAAUUUACAAGAGGAAAGAAAAUGAAGGGAUAAAGAAAGUAAGAAAGGAAUACCUCUAUGGGAGGACUCUUAUUUGCUUCAGAUGCCUACAAUAUUCAUCAUAUAAACACUGAUUAAGUAGUCAUCGAAAACCAAAACAAAUGUCGAACAUAGGGUGAAAAACAGAAAGAAUAACCGCAGCUCAUCAUACCAAUAGAGAUAGAACUGCCCGAUGCCCAAGUAUGACUGAAAAAUGGCAAUCCAAACAUGGCGCCUUCUAGCUCAUCAAACUGUCAAAACCUAGGUUCCACCAAAAAGAUACAAGUCACCUAGUUACUUGUAAAAUAAAAAUCUGUUUCAAAAUAGUGGAAAAUAUUAUUAACAUUGUUCAAAGUCCACAUUGUUGUACCUACCAAGAAACAAGAAGGAUUGUAUCUUAUCAUGAAAAAGAACAUAGGUACCUUUUCAAUUGUAAUUGUACAAAAAUGAGAGACCACUUCCGAACUUCUCUUGGAACUUCAAUCAAUUUCUGCCCACUUUUAAAUGCCUUGACAUACUUAAGCCUAUUUCUUUGAGCUUCAGUUUUGGCUUCUGAUGCCUUUAAAUUUCUUAAAGAUUCUUACCAAGUUUUACAAACUCACUUCUAUACAACCAUUUGUCAGUAUACAUACCAUUUUCUUUGAGCUUCAGUCUUUGCAACACCAAAACCCCCCAAAUAGACCCGGAAUUUUGCAAUGUGCAGGGAAUAUACAAAAAAAACCCUCCUAUCCAUCUAAAACGAAAUCAGAACGCAAACCACAAUCAAAAUCCGUAAAAUUAAUUUAGCCAACCCCUAAAUCUAAUAAUUCUAACAAAUAUUAUAGUAUCAAUUGAGAGAGAAUUUGAGAAGAUACCUAGAGAUGAAAGGAAGAGCGUUUCCUCUGAUAGGGGUUCCGUGAAAGCAUCUGUUGACCAGAAAAGAAAAGGCAAAAAACCCCAAAUUACAUAUCAAGCAAUUAUAGAUAGAUCGAACCUUGAAAAUUGAAAUUUCAAACAAGAGAAAGGUUAUAAACUUACAACGAUCUGGGUGUUGGUAACUGGGUUUGGAUUUGGGUUUCUGAUAAGAGAGAGAAUCGUAUGAGGAACCGAUAGAGGAACUGCACCGGCAACAGAGAGCAAUUGAUAUGGUGGAGAACAGACGAGAAUAGCUGCUUGGAUGGUCAAUCCAAGAAGAGAAAAUCUUGCCACAAUCGCGGUACUUGAAAAAAAAAAAAACAAGUUUAAAGGAGGGAAACAAUCGCGCCUUUUUCUAAUAGACUCUGUCGACGAUAUUCUUGACAAAUAGAUGCUUCGUCGGGUGAGCUUAUUUUUCACAACAUUUUAUUUAGGAUUGGGUUCGGUUGGUAAACCGUGUCAAAUUUCUUGUGCCACUUGCCAGCCACAUAUACAUAAUUACCGAAAAUCAGUUACCGUUAGCCAACCGUCUUCUUGCGGUUGCCAAAAAUCGGUUCAGCCAAAAUGAUUGGCUGGUUCGGUUGGUAAAUGGCACAACCGGUGGUUUCCACUUCUUCCUCGCUAUCUUCCAGUUCCAAGGGCUCAAUUUGAUUUUCAGAUUGGGAUGCUUGUUCGGUUGCAUUGUGUGGUUCAUUUUGGGUUAAUCCAUGUUGUGCACUAGUAGUUGAUUGGCUAGACUCCAUUAUCCUAAACAUAAGCAACAAAUAUACAUUCAAAAUAAUAUAUAUGUACGUGUAUAUAUAGUAUCAGUAAUCAUCAUGCUAUCAAUUUUGUUAACAAUAUUUUCUAUAUAUUGAUUUUGGCAUGAAUCAUAUACACAUACAUAUAUUUUUAAAACCCUAAAACUAAGGAGUCAUUUAUUUUCUAAACUCUAAAAUUGAGGAGUCAAGCAUGUAAAAAAAUACUUAAAAUAUCUAAAUAGAAAAAGAAAAAGAAAAAAAAAUAAAUAUAUAUAUAUAUCGGUAGGUAUGGCAUACCGCCGGCAUACAAAAUCAAUUACCAAAGCCAUGCCAUUAAUUGUCGGUUCGGUAAAAUGCCAACCGAUUAUGAAAAAAUGUCAAAACUAUACCAUACCAUUUUGAGCCAACCAGUAUGGUUUGGUCAGUAAAUCGGUUUAUGGCAAAAUUUCUCACCCCUAAUUUUAUUUGUCACCUUAAACCUAUUGGUUUCUAGCCUACAAUUCGGAUAUUUUGUUGGGGAAAGAUUUUUGUACCAAUAAAAUUUUGCUUUGUCGGCAAAAUGACAUUUUCUAGUAGUUAUAAUAUUAGGUAGAUCAAAUUUGUAAACUAUGUGAUGUGUCACUAAUAGGAAAAAAUUUCAGUGUGCUGAAAAUACGGUCUAGAACACCAAGUGUCAUAAUAUAUACUUGGUUGGAAAUCUUUUAUUUUCAAGUUUCCAACUAGUUGUAUUGUAACAGUUGGUGUUCCAAGCUAUUUUCUCCAUGCGCUGGAAAAUCUCUUCACUAAUUAAAAAUAAACAUAUUAAUUAACACUUAAGUAAUAAUCAAAGCAUCAACAACUACGUCAUAGAAUUUACGAAAUAUGAUCUUAAUUAAUGAUCUCCAUUACCCUUUAUCUUAGCGUAUACGUACGCCUUCACAUGUUUAUUUGCUGAUAUGCAGCUUGAGUAAAAAUUUCUUUUUAAGAACAUAUAUGUGAAUAUAAACAUAUAUAUCUAGUGAUCCAUGUUGCGUUAUUUAAAAAUAAACAAAUUAAUUAAUUAAUGAACUGUGUACCUGUCUGUGUAGAGUAAUCCAUAUGCAUGCUUGAAUCCUGAUCACCACGAAACCAUAAUAUAAGCUACUCAAGGCCCGGAAGCUAGGAUUGAAGAGAAAAACACCCAGUCAGAUUAAGCCAAUACAUCAAAGUUAAUACUUCCAAAUGUAAGCUUUAAGAUAGAAAAAUCACUUACUUCCUUGAGCAGUCGAGCUUCUUCAAUGGCAUGAAGCUUUUAGCAUGAGAUUGACUGCAUCACAACUAAAAUUUUCUCUUGGAAACUACAUAAGGAAUAGCAUGUAUACCUAUAACGUUGAGAAAGUACGCCAAUUUUUUCCUUCUGCACAUUCAUGUUUAAAAGUAAUCCUCAAAUGAACUUGCCCACAAUGAAAUGCAAUUUGAGGUAGUCGAGUGUGUUCCAUUUCCAUCCCAUCGGAAUUACUACUAAACUUUGAGAUGGUAGAGGAUUCAUGAAAUUUUUUACUUUUGAAAUAGUCUCCUUAGCAUUUCUCGACUAUAACAAUGAGGAAAUACUUCACCUUGUAUCAAACAAGGGAGACCGAAAAUCAACUACUAAUAGCAUCACAGAGCCAGCAGAAGAUUGAGGAGGCCAUGAAAAGGAAAGAGAAAAUACACUCUUUUUUUGUAAGGACAGAGAUAAUACAUUCAAUAAAGGGUACUGAUGUUUAUAUGCAAAGCUGAUUAGGUUUAAAUAGUCGUAUUUAUUCUGUACAGUGCCAAUAUUACCACCCGUUAGUACACUUUCAAGACACUGUAAUCCAGUGUAUGCACUAUGCAGUACGUAGUACUCCUCAUUUUUUUGGGGAAAUUCAUUAUUGGUCUUCAUAUCUUCUUUAUUUUCCUUGUCCUCAUUGUGCCACGUGUUUAAAUCACUAAUUAUAGGUAAUCUUUCAAUUUAAUUAAAUCUUAUGUAAAAAAAGAUAAUUAAAUAUCAUUUAGUAUUACAAUAUAGUGAUAUUCCUCUUUAGUAUAAAAUUUUUAUAAUUAAAAGCGUUCAGCUUUUUAAUCUUCAUUGGAAUAUUAUCUAUAAAGAAAAAUUAUUCGAAUCAGAGAUCAUUUAUGCAUUCAAAUGUAUAAAAUACAUCGACAGUGUGAGAACCAACUAAUAUAUUUUUGAUGAAGUACAAUUAUUGAAUACAUUUGAACGAUCAAAUGAUAUAUGAUUCAAAAUACAUAUUAAGAUAAUAAAUAUAAAAGAAUUGUUAUUUGCACUUCAAGAAUCUCAUUCUACACUCUAAAUUUUCUAUAUAUUAAAAGAAAAAUAAAUUUGUGAAAAGUGUAGAAUGAGGUUUUUUUAAAUGCUAAUAACACUUCUCUAAAUACAAUUAUGAAAUUAAUUAAGUAAAGAUACAUGACCUCGUGAAUGAUGAAUGUAUUAUUCAAAAAAAUAUUAAAAACAAAUUGAAAAAGGACGCUGUUGUUGCCACCACUUAUGCAAUGAUCGUCGCUGCCAUCACCAACCCCCAACACCCCAUUACAGCUCAUAAAAGCACAUCAUAAGCAAUUUAUGAAAUAAAUUUACUGGAAUACUAAUUUCCCCCUUAGUUUAGGUCACCAAUGUUUAAAUUUAGGGAUCGUGAUAUCCACACACAUUUUUUACUUCUUUCACACUUUUUUUUUCGGUUGUCGGAUCAGAUGAAUUGAAGAAAAUCAAUGAACAGAAAUUAACAAGGGGUGUGUGAGAAGUAAAAAUGAAUGUGUGGAUAACACACCCCUAAAUUUAUCACAACUUUCAUUCCAAAUUUAAUUUUUAUCCGUAGUUUUGUUUGUUCAAAUUUACUUUGACAUUUCCAUUAGUAUUAAAAUCUAAUUUAAAUUUUAGUGUUCAAGCUAGAAAAAGUGUUCCAUUUAAUAUUUAAUCUCAGUUUUUCUCUUUAUUCUUUUAUUGGGAUUUGGUUGCAUCGUAUCUCCAUUUUUCUCGGUGUUGUAUGUUCAUAAGGCCUGUGAAACGUUGGCACGGAGUGAAGGGUACUCACUUUUUGGCCCAAAAUGCAUAAGGCAUGUAGAUAUGUUAAUCAAAUUUUGUAAACUAAAGGAUAUAGAAGUUGAUAAUUAGAUUAUAAUUUAAGAUAAUACUAAGGAGACUAAAUUUGCAAACUAAAUGAUGUGUCACCAAUAAAAAUAAGCACGUUUAUCAACAAUUAAGUAAUAAAUCAAUCAUCAACUUUCAUGUCCUUUAGUUUCCAAGAUUUAAUAUACAAAUUUAGUCUCCCAAGCAUUACUCUAUUACUUAAGUAUUGAUUAACAGACUUAUUUCUUAUGGUGACACAUUAUUUAGUUUACAAUUUUAGUCUACCCAACAUUACUCUUUUGAAAUUGUCUUGUCCACUGAUAUAAUUCUAUUUUUCUUGUGAUCAAAACUUCAAAUGUUAGCAAGUCGCACGUAAAGUCGCUUAUGAGAGAAUGUGCUCACAUUGUAGUUGAAAGAUUAUGUGGCUAGCAACAUUACAAAUUUAAUUUGGUAUAAUUCUAAAAUAUAGAUUGAGGAAAAAAUGAUCACAUUAACUAGAAACUGAAAAGGUUUCAGCACAGUUUGUUCAAGCAAGAAAUUCAAUUUUGAUGCUACCGAUCUUAACAGCCUGAGCGCCGUACCUGGGCACCAAAGUCACCACCACACUCUCAUCAUCUUCAGCACCCAAAUCCUCCAACAGGUCCGUUAACCCCAACCUUAAACAACUCUUGCUCUUUUCCUUCUGCUUAUGUGGCACACUCACAAAACUCCCAGCAAACUCGCUCUUGUCGGGUCCACUCGGUGCCGCAUCCUCAUCGUCCACGUCAUUCACAUACACACAUCAAACUUCACAGCCACAUCUUUGUCAAGCUCAAUCCCCUGAAUCACCAAUAUCUCCUCCUCAUCCUCUUUCUCCUUCUUGCUCCUCUUCUUCGGCUUCGGCCUUGACACCACCGUACUUAUCUUCGUCUCCAAAUUUAUUGGAAAAUCUUUACCCGCCACCACCUUCCCUGAUGACGUCGUCUCAGUGGCCUUCGCCACUCCAGCCGCCUUUGCCUUUCUCGCAAGCUUUGUCCGACGUGGCGUCGGUCUAGACUUGAGCCAUGGAAUCUCAACAUCUUCAUACGUAUACCCUAGCUUUUUAUUAUCAAGAGUGUCCCUCACCGUGACCCUAACAAGCUCAGCAUUCUCGUCAUAAAACAAAAACCCCGUAUCCAACCAAUCCUUAUCGUUAAUAUCGUUAUUUUUAGUCCCUAUACUUUUCCAAAUAUUCCACAUUCGAUCUAUAUUCGAAUGGUGCGAAAAAAAUAUUGGAUCCCUUGCAGCGGAGUAAAAAUUCCCCAUGUCUUCAAAAUUAGGCUGCGUGUUAUCUCCGGUCCAUAAAUGAACCGGACCAUGUGGGGUCGUUUCGAUUGAACCGCCCCCUGGAUCUGGUUCAGUGUCAGCCCUGUAGGGCGAACCAAAGAACAACAGCGGUUUCUUGGAGUUGGAAACCAUCUGCCUAUACAUGAUUUUGAGGUUGGCGUCGAUUUGAGCAUCCUUGGACAUUGUUUCAUCCGUGCCGUUGAAGUCAAGAUCGAUGAGAGUCGGCGGCUGAUGGCUGGCAGCGCGGAGCUCGUCGUAAAGCGGAGAGUCCGGGUUAGCGAACAAGGCAGGGAGUUGCAUGCCAGCUGGCGCGUCCCAGUUCCAAAACGGCAACGCGAACGUCGGAUCGUCUAUGAGUUUGGCCAAGAUUCUUUCGUAGAAGUAUACGUAGUAACGAUGGAAGGGGAAGAAAAGCCAGCAUUGAUGGAUUUGGAGCUCGAGGUUGGGGAAGCCGACUUGGUCGUACGCGCCGUCGCAAUAGGCACAGUGGAGAUCGGCUUGCUGGGUGAAGCUACGCGGAUCGUCGUCCGGGAGGGCUUUCAUGAGCUCGAUGGCUUUUGAAUAUUUUUCGAUGUAGGCUUUAUCCACGGUGUGAGCUGCCGGCCUGACGCGGAGUUUGGUAGGGGAGGGGAAUUUGAAGUCUACGAUUUUUUGGGACGUUGGCGGGCAACAGUUGAUCGGGACUGCUCCACUUGGAAAGUCCGCAGCUCCGCAUUUGGCUAGGUCAGGCGGCAACACUGGCUUUGCAACAGCGAAGGGGUCGCUGCCAAGACCAGCCACUCCGGCUUUGCAACAGCGAAGGGGUCGCUGCCAAGACCAGCCACUCCACCGUAGAGGCUUCCGAGACCUAUAAGAAGAUAGAAUUCAGUUCUUGGCAGUAGAGGACUCUAUUGCAGGGAAAAACUGAUUUGAAUUAGGAAGGCUUAAGUAGUUUUCCAUAAGGAUUUUAAUAGGGAAUCCAUAUUCUAAUAUGAGAAGGAUAUGUGUGUACAUAUAUAUAUAUAUAUAUGGCAAUCUCUUCUCUCACAGGUGUGUGCUCUUUUGGAACUAAGCCCUAUUCUUAGUUUGAGUGAUAAAUACCCUGACAGAGAGAAGAAGAAUUGAUGUGCUUUUCAGGUUGAUCGAGAUCCACCAUGACUGCAUCAAACGGGAGUUCUACAGGUUAGUAUAAUUAGGUUUUAUUUGGAUUGAUGUUUUGUGUCUACUUGGUUGUAGUUUAAGUAACUGAAUCUUGCAGCUAGAUUUUGGUUUACAUGUGGUAUCAGAGCCAUAGAUUCAUGUUCUUAAAUUCAAUCGAUAAAAUUGAUUGAAUCCAAAAUAAAAUUCCGAUCUUCAGACUUCGAAACAGGUUCUGGUAGUUAAAAUUAGGAAAAGAAGAAACGGUGCGUUUUGAUUAAAAUAUGAUGAUUAAUACUUGACCGUUAAGAGCUAAUAAACUAUCUUCUCUUCCGAAUUGGGAAUACAAAUCGACAUCUAUCGAUUUCGAUUUCGGGGUUUGAAAAACUGGGUUAUAUGACAUCUAUCGAUUUCGAUUUCGAGGUUUGAAAAACUGGGUUAUAUGAAUUGUUAUUGAGUAUCCACAAUUUAUAUUAAUUGCUUCCGCUGCUGGGUGUUGAUGCUCAUAGAACAAACGGGUAUGUCUCCUGAACAUUGAAUUGAAAUUUGUUUUUUAAUCAAUCUUAUCUUGAAUUUCAUUAUGUUCUACAGCAUGAUUCGAAUAGUGAGCAUAAAAAUAUGCUUAUUUAUGCUGAUUAGUCCUAUGUUUAUGCGUUUUUCUCUAACCAUCUAUGGAAGGGAGUUCUUCGAUAAGAACCUCUGCAGAUUUCACUUGUUUUAUGCAGAAAGUUUUAUGAAGAACUGUUCAUUUGAUAAAGAUCUGCUAAAACUGUGUUCUUAAAUGGAAAAAUCUUUUAUUCUAUAUGUGCUUAUCAAUUCUUCAUUGUUAAGAUUAUAUAUAUGGAUAAAAGGUUUUGAUGAUAUGAUGUACAAAGGAUUGUGAGAUGAAAUCUGGAACUCUAAACGUUCUUCUGUGAUUCAUUGUGAUUUCAUUGUGCUACAGUGUCUGCAAUAUCAAUGAAGACUCUGAAUUUGGCUAACAUCCCAAUUCUUACUGGUGGGGGAAAUUACAAGAAGUGGAGAAGGGAAAUCAGUUUGCUGUUGACUCUAAACGAGUUUGAUAUAGCAAUCGAGAAUCCCAAACCCGUGGUCAAUGAUCAGAGCAGCACAAGGGCUGAAAAGGCAGAUUUUGAGAGAUGGACAAGGGCUAAUAAGGUAGCAUUGUCCAUCCUUGAGAGUGGCAUGACUGAUACAAUCAGAUGAGGAAUUAAGAAGCACGAUUUGGCUGCUGAUUACCUAAAAGCUAUUGAAAAGAAAUUUCAAGAAUCUGAAAAAGCUGAAGUGAGUCAGUAUAUGUCUUUAUUAACUACUUACAAGAUGGAGGGUACAAGCUCUAUAAGGGAUCACAUAAUGAAGAUGACAUAUGCUGCAGAAAGACUCAAUGCAAUGGAUAUAAACAUAGGUGAAAAGCAGUUAGUAUUCAUGAUUCUUCAAGCACUUCCCAGUAAAUAUAGUCAGUUGAAGAUCUCCUACAAUACUCAAGACAAAAACUGGGAUAUUGAUCAGUUGAUUGCACAGUGUGUGCAAGAAGAAACUCGUCAAAAACAAGAAAGAGGCAAAGAAGUUGAGGACAUCAACUUUGUGCAAACUAUAAAUGACAAAAAGCAGUUCAACAACAGAAGCUUUUCUGGUUCUGGUAAGAGUUCUAAGCCUUUUAAAACUUCUAAUAAGUUCAGUAAUUCUGCUAAAGUAGUUGACUCCCCUAGAAAAUCUAUCAAGUUUAAAGCUAAACCUAAAGAUGUGUCUAAAUUAAAAAUGUUUUUGGUGCAAAACUAAGGGCCAUUUAAAAGUUAACUGUGAAAUUUUCAAAGAUUAUGUAAAGAGCAAAGAAAAGGAACAAGUACUUGUCUGUAUUGAAUCAAAUUUGUGAAGUAUACCUGUUGAUUCUUGGUGGUUUUGAUAUACCGGAUGCUCAGUGCAUAUAACUAAUUCUUUAAAUGGUUUUCAAAAACAAAAGGAAUUUGGAAAUGCUACAUAUAAUGUUUUUGUUGGGGAAGGAACUAAAGUUGCAGUAGAGUCAAUUGGGAUAGUCAAAUUAGUCUUAUGUUCUGGUUAUGUUUUAGAGUUGAAAGAUGUGUGCUAUAUGUGCCUAAGAUGAGAAGAAACUUAAUUUCUGCCCUCUAAAAUUGUAAAAGAUGGUUUUUCUUUUCUUGGUGAUGAUGAGUGCCUCAAAAAUUUUCAAGAAAAACUGUCCUUGUCCUAACACUAUUUUAGGGACUGCUUUUUUGUCUGAUAAUUUAUGGAAUCUAAAUUGCACUGUUAAGGCACUCAAUCACACGAUUUUCAGCAUUAGUACUAAGAGAAUGAUAGGUCAGGAUACUUCAUACAUUUUAUGGCACAAAAGACUAGGACACAUCUCUAAAGAAAGGAUAAUUAAGCUGUAAAAAACUGACUUGAUUCCAAAAUUAGAUCUUUCUACUGCAACUGAAUGUGUUGACUGCCUAAAGGGUAAAAUGACCAAUUUUAGAAAAACAGAUGCCAAAAUGAGCCAGGGGUUACUUGAAAUCAUACACACUGAUAUCUGUGGUCCUUUUCCAGUUAAGACAAUAUGUGGAAACAAGUAUUUCAUUAAUUUCAUAGAUGAUUUUUCAAGGCUGGGAUAUACCUUUCUGAUUAAUGAAAAAGCUGAUGCCCUUAAGUGUUUUAUAAUUUACAAAACUGAGGUUGAAAAACAGUUAGGCAAGGUUAUUAAAAUUGUUAGAUCGGAUAGGGGAGGUGAAUACUUUGGCAGGUACACUGAAUCCGGGCAGCAAAAGGGACCAUUUGCUCUCUAUCUCGAGAAGAAUGGUAUUGUGGCGCAGUACACCACACCUGGAACGCCUCAACAGAAUGGUGUUUUUGAAAGAAGAAACAGGACUCUUAUUGGUAUGGUUAGAAGCAUGAUGUCCAGAUCAAAAUUGCCAGGAUUCUUGUGGGGAGAAGCUUUGAAAACAGCUAAUCAUAUAUUGAAUCGAGUUCCAAGCAAGGCAGUAUCUACCACACCCUAUGAGUUAUGGCAUGGGAGAGUUCCUAGUUUUACUUAUUUCCAUGUUUGGGGUUGUAAAGCAGAAGCUAAGUUAUAUAAUCCUAAUGAAAGAAAGCUGGAUUCAAGGACUCAGUCAUGUUAUUUUAUUGGCUAUCCUGAGAAAUCAAAAGGAUACAGGUUCUAUAUCCCUCAAGGUCACACUCGGAUCCAAGAGACACACAAUGCAGUUUUCCUAGAAGAUGAAGAUGUCUCUCAUUUGUCAAGGGAAAAUUUCAUAUUUGAAGAGAUGCAUUCAGAUGGUGGGGACCAUGUGACAAUGGAUUAUAAUAUCGGUCUCAUUGUUUCCCAAUCAAUCAUCAAUUGCCAUUGAAGAUAUGAGUGAAGAUUUAGGAGUUCCUGAUGACAACUCUGUAGGAGUUGAUUCCACAACAUAAGCUGCAACAAUUCCUUUUGCAGAAGCAUGUGAACCAGUUGCUGUUCCACCUCCAGUUGAAAUCAGAAGGUCACAAAGAGCUCGGAAAACCACUGCAAGCAAUGACUAUGUGUACUUAUAAGAGACUGAGUUCGAUAUUGGUGACAUUUGAUGAUCCUCUUACAUAUACUCAGGCAACUGAAAGUCCUCAAGCAGUUCUUUGGAACAAUGCAAUGAAGGAUGAGUUAGAUUCAAUGUCCAAAAACCAGGUUUGGACAUUGGUGGAAUCCAACUCUGAAAUUAGGCCAAUAGGCUGCAAGUGGGUAUAUAAAACCAAAAGGGAUGCUGCUGGAAGAAUUGAAAGAUAUAAAGCAAGGUUGGUUGCUAAGGGGUUUACUCAAACGGAGGGGAUCGACUAUAAUGAUACUUUCUCUCCAGUUUCCUCCAAAGACUCCAUGCGAGUUAUCAUGUCUUUAGCUGCCUACUUCGAUCUUGAAUUACAUCAAAUGGAUGUAAAAACCGCUUUUCUUAACGGAGACUUACAAGAGGCUAUAUACAUGAAACAACCUGUUGGAUUUGUUGAAAAGGGGAAAGAGAAUUUAGUAUGCAAGCUCAAUAAGUCCAUAUACGGCUUGAAACAAGCAUCAAGGCAAUGGUACCUAAAGUUUGAUCAAAUUGUCUCUGCAUAAGGUUUUGUAGAAAACAAACUGGAUGAUUGUAUAUACAUUAAGUUCUCAGGUUCCGAGUUCAUCUUCUUAGUACUUUAUGUUGAUGCCAUUCUCCUAGCUAGUUCAUGUCCCCAAUUGCUUCAUAGCAUUAAGAGAAUGCUAAGUGAUAACUUUGAGAUGAAAGAUCUUGGAGAAGCACAUUAUGUACUAGGAAUAGAGAUUGUUCGAGAUAGGAAAAUGAGGCUCCUUGGUUUAUCUCAAAAGGGGUACAUUGACAGAGUGUUGGAGAAAUUUCAUAUGGCAAAUUGCAAUUGUGGUCAGGUUCCAGUCAAUAAAGGUGACAAGUUUUCGAAGAUUCAAUGUCCAAGAUCUGAUUUGGAGGUGAAGAAAAUGCAAGCUAAGCCUUAUGCCUCGUUGAUUGGAAGUCUUAUGUAUGCAACUAUCUGUACAAGGCCUGAUAUUGCCUUCAUAGUUGGUAUGCUAAGACGAUUUCAAGCAAAUCCUGAGAAGCACAUUGGGGGUGGCAGCCAAGAAGGUUCUUCGAUACUUGCAGAGAACCAAAACUCACAUGUUAGUAUAAUGGCCGAACUGAUUCUUUGGAGCUCAGGGGGUAUAUACUCGGAUUUAGCUGGAGAUGUGGAUGACAGGAAGUCCACAGGGGUUAUAUCUUCAUACUCAAUGGAGGGGCAGUUUCGUGGAAAAAUGCAAAGCAAACUAUUAUAGCCACAUCAACUAUGGAAGCUGAGUUUGUAGCCUGUUUUGAAGGCAUGAAACAGGCAGCAUGGUUGAAGAAUUUUUUGACAGAUUUAAAGAUUGUGAAUUCGGUUCAGAAACCAGUAACAAUGUUCUGUGAUAAACAACUCGGCUGUGUUUUUUGCUAAGAAUAAUAAAAGGACUUCAGCAUCUAGAUUUGGAUGGACGAAGUUUCUUAAGGUCAGAGAACAAGUCAAGAAAGGAGUUAUUGAAGUACAGCACAUUAGCACUACUAUGAUGAUUGCUGAUCCCUUGACUAAGGCACUGCCAAUUGGAGAAUUCAAGAAACAUGUUUCUUCAAUAGGAGUACUAGAAGGUUUUGAUCAGUGGGAGUAAUCACGUGUGUGUUAAAGGCUUGGGAUUGCAGAAGCAGAAGUAUAUAUGUGUUUCAAGAACUGUAUGUGCAAUUCUGACAAGCUGAACUAAGGAUGCUUUAUGUUUUAACUUGCUUUAGUUAGUUUGUUAAGGUUGUUUGUGUUUUAAUAAGUGUCCUUGUCUGCUACUCAAUACUUUGGCUUUCAGGUGUUGAGGUACGGAUACUGGACUGAGUUAGAAUUUAGUUUCAUUAGUAACUUUGAAAGAACAGUUUGUCUGUUUUUUAAGUUUGUGGUUAAUGAUGUUAUAUAGUCAAUUACUAUGUUGCUUUUCUGUGAAGAUUAAUGUGUGUUGUGAUCUUUUGAAAAGUGGGAGCAUAAUGUUUGACGGUUUAUGUUAGUCAUGAGUCAUAUUUACAAAUUGAAUAUAUGUGAGCCUUGAAUUAAUACUACAAUUUGGUUGUGGUCUGAGAUUCUUGGUUUCUAUAUUUUGAGAUGUAAUGGGACAGUGGUCAUGAUGGUUAAAUCUUAGAUGAGGUUAUGUGAUCACUUCUUAUGAUUGGUGACGGCAAGGUUUGAUCUUUGUCUCAUGUUCAAGUGGGAGAAUGUAAGAAUGUGAACAUGAGAUAAGAUGAUCGGAUAUUAGUUGUUUGAGUCCAAUCCGAAUAAGAAAGCCUCUAAGAAGAUGGAAUUCAGUUCUUGGCAGUAGAGGACUCUAUUGCAGGGAAAAACUGAUUUGAAUUAGGAAGGCUUAAGUAGUUUUCCAUAAGGAUUUUAAUAGGGAAUCCAUAUUCUAAUAUGAGAAGGAUAUGUGUGUACAUAUAUAUAUAUAUAUGGCAAUCUCUUCUCUCACAGGUGUGUGCUCUUUUGGAACUAAGCCCUAUUCUUAGUUUGAGUGAUAAAUACCCUGACAGAGAGAAGAAGAAUUGUUGUGCUUUUCAGGUUGAUCGAGAUCCACCAUGACUGCAUCAAACGGGAGUUCUACAGGUUAGUAUAAUUAGGUUUAUUUGGAUUGAUGUUUUGUGUCUACUUGGUUGUAGUUUAAGUAACUGAAUCUUGCAGCUAGAUUUUGGUUUACAUAUUUUUCGAUGUAGGCUUUAUCCACGGUGUGAGCUGCCGGCCUGACGCGGAGUUUGGUAGGGGAGGGGAAUUUGAAGUCUACGAUUUUUUGGGACGUUGGCGGGCAACAGUUGGUCGGGACUGCUCCACUUGGAAAGUCCGCAGCUCCGCAUUUGGCUAGGUCAGGCGGCAACACUGGCUUUGCAACAGCGAAGGGGUCGCUGCCAAGACCAACCACUCCGGCUUUGCAACAGCGAAGGGGUCGCUGCCAAGACCAGCCACUCCACCGUAGAGGCUUCCGAGACCUAUAAGUACAUUUCUUCUGUCUAGGUUUACUAGAGAAGGGUUUUCAUGGUCGUGAUCGUUGGAGCUAGUGGAAGGGUUUUUGUUUUGGUCACUACUAUUAUUUGUGGCUUUGCACGAGACAGCUUGUAAAUUGGAAUGCCUAGGGUUUCCAAAUGAGGAUAUUCGGUGAUACUUUUGGGAGAAAGGGGAGAGAGAAGUUGUGGGGAUGAUACUUGUGGCGGAGGUGACGAGUGGAGCUGACAUAGAAGCCAUGGUACUUGACUCUGAAUAAUACGUUGUAUUGGCUUUGCUUUUAUAAUGUGUUCUAGGUUUUACGUUUCUUUGCACGGGUGGCAGGCCGUACACACGUGGUCGGUCCUUAAGGGUUUGACGAGGAAUACUACGCAGUCAUUUAGUACAUGACAACCAUACACUAUAGCACGUGGCAUGUAUUUAGAGAUCGAGAGAGAAUUGGGUAAGGUUCACGAGGGAUUGUAGUUUCAGAAGGUGAAUUGGUUUUGGUCUUCUUGUGUACCAAUAAUUUUUACUUAGUCAUUUAGUGCAGGACAACCAUGCACUAUAGCACGUGGCAUGUAUUCAGAGAUCGAGAGAGAAUUGGUUGGGUAAGGUUCACGAGGGAUUGUAGUUUCAGAAGUUCAAGCGGUUUUGGGCUUGUUGUGUACGGCUGUGGGUCUGCUGUCACGGACUCUCUGUCUCAUUUGUGUCUUAUUUUUUAUUUUUUGACACGUUUUAACGUCAAAUCAUUAUAGCAAUGUUAUGCAAUUGGGAGCUAAAUGACCGAUGCUCUUAUUUUUUAGUUUGCUUUUUUUCCAGAUCUGAUCAAAUCAUGAUAGCAAUGUUAUGCAAUUUUCAAGAGGGAGAGAUGCACCUGGGAGAGAAACGGUACGGUGACUUCUAAAUCACCGUCCAACAGAACAAUUCUCAGUAGAGACUACUAGAGAGAGAUGCACCUCACCAAUGAAAAAUUUAACUGCAAAAAUUCUGGGUAUCGGGAGUUGUGGGGUGGGUCUUGGCAGUUUUCUUAUUUCUUUGAAUUUUUUAUAAUUUAUUUUAUAAAAGUAACAGUGUUUUGUGGGGGUUAAAUUGUAAAACACGUGUCAUCAAACUAAAUAAAGAGACACCAAAGAGACAUGGAAUUCGGGACAACAGACCCACAGCCGUUGUGUACGGAGGCAGACUCUCUGCUCUCCUACUUUCUGUGUCCUCCUGUUUUGUGUAGUCACGAUUAAAUCACGUCAAUAUUUUAUAUUAUUAUUUUAUAGAUAUAAUAAGACAAAAAAGAAUAGUAAUUUAAAAUAUUAACGUGACUUAACUGUGACCACACGAAUAGGAAGGCAUGAGAAGUGGGAAGGCAAAGAAUAUGCCUCCGUUGUGUACCAAUAAUAUUAUAUAUAUAUAUAUAUAUAUAUAUAUAAUUAGGAUUGAAGGAUGUAGAGCUUAUUUUGUUAUGUAUUCUAACAAUUUAAGUGCUUAUCUUUUAGGUUUUCUCUUAAACAGCAUGCCUAUAAAAAAUCACCAAAAUUCAAACCAUAUGACCAUUAGAUCCAUAGUCAUUUUAGUGUUAAAUGAACUUCACAAAAUAAGUCUCAAAAUAUGUAUAAAAAAUGGACAGCGUGAAUGGUUUGGAAAUUGGAAUAGGUUUGGAAAUUGUGCUUUUUGUAGCAAAUUGCAGCAAAGUUUGCUUGGACUUUCACAACCGUAUAAAUUAAACUGUUCGCUUUGUUGGGAAAAACAAGUUUGCCGCUGGUCUUGGGUUCCAAGAUCGGCCAAUUUGACGGCACACUUUUUGGCGUUGAGAAGCAGUACGGAGAUGUGCAGAUUAACUUGGAUUGAUACUCCUCCAUCUUCGUUGGUUCGUGUAUUGAACAAAGAUGGCCUUCCUUGCCCUCCUUAAUAUUUUUUGUUCUUCCUGCAGUGGAGGCGGUGACGCCUUGCUCUUGGUGCAGCGUCUAGUGUUCUGUACCCUCCUCUUCUGCAUAUGUUUGUAUUUCCCCUCGUUGCCCCUUCUAAGUGGGCUUCCUAUUGUUUUGGCUUCGGCCCUGGUUAUGAAAUAUUUCCAAUCUUACCCAAAAAAAAAAAAAAAAAGAAGAAGAAGAAGAAGUCAAGCACGGUGGGAGACUGGUCAUAGUUUCUAGAUUGAUGCUCUAAUUCUAAUGUUAUACAACGCGUACGCUAAAAUAUUUUUAUCAAAAUAUUAGUUUUAGUGUUAUCAAAACAAUAAUGUUAUUCUUACCAUGUUUUUGUAUCACAAUUAUAUACCACCUUAGAUGGCAUAUGAUGUAGAUAGCCACAUCAUUUAAAUUAAUAAGCAUUUAAUUUCAAAUGUUAAUCAAUAAUUAAUAAAAUGAUUGUUAAUUAAAUGAUGAUUAUGGUAUACAAGGAGUCUCCUUCUUCCUUCCCCUUUCCAUUCUGCUUUUUCUUCCUACCACUUUCUGUUUUUUUUUUCAUGCCAGUUUUUGUAUUGAUUUCUAUUGAUUUCCAUGAUUAUGGUCAAUCUUUAUAGAAUUUACUCGUAUACCACAACCACCAUUGAUUUCUAUCUCUAGACUCAUGCCCCGUAGCCCUAAUCCUCAUUCCCCUUCAAGUAUUUCUGUCUCCAAUCUUCUUUGGUACUCCAUGGUUGUUCAUCUCGUGAUUUUUUUUUAUUAUUUCAUUAAGUAACGCCUAUUAGCUUUCAUGCGAAUUAGGAGUCAAAAUCAAAUUUGUCUAUCGGAUUAGGGUUCAUGCCCAAUUAAGUUACUAACGCAAGAGAGAUUUUGAAGUCUACAAUUUUCCUUAUUUAAGUGUUUUAAUUAAUAAGAAAAUUGAAAUUAAACGAUUUAGCUUGUCCAACUCAUCUGCCACCUAAGAUGGUAAAUAAAUGUGGUAAGAAUAGCAUUACUCUUAUCGAAAUUACAAAAAAAAAAAAAAAAAAAAAAAAAAGCUGAUUCAAUAUUUAGUUAUUAAAAAAAAUAUAAAAAAAGUGAUCAAGUAACUAUCCAAUACCCAUGUAUUGGGUGCUUUGUUUGAAAAUUUUCAAAAUGAUAUUGGGCUCGUUUGGAUAUGUUUUUAAAAUGACUGAAAGCGUUUUUAGAGAAAAUAUUUUUUUGAUUCCAAAAGCACUUAAAGUGUUUUCUGCAAAAAGCACUUAAAGUGCUUUCUGCAAAAAGCACCAGUUAUGUGCUUCUUCCUAGAAGCACUUUAAGUGUUUUUCAAGCAUUUACUUGCUUUUUUACUAAGGAUUGGUUCCAAAAACAUUUUCACAAAAAGUGUUUUCAGUCAUUUUAAAAGUACAUUCAAACGAGCUCAUUGUUUUUCCUAUUUUAAUCAAGUGCGUCGUCCCCUGUUGAGAAUGAAUCUCAUAUUAUGGGGAGAGGGGUCUUGCAUGGAUGAGAGGAGGGACCUUGCAUGAGCUUAUAAGUAAGUUGGGUUACUCUCUAUAUUGCCAAGAGAAAUUUUAUUUGGACCUACUUUUCCUCUCUCUAAACCCAACUUUAAUAUUUUGUUACCUAAACUCUCUAGUUUACCCUCAUAAAUUAUAAACAUAAAUAAACUGGAAAAAGAAAAACUCAUCAAACCUAUUUCCCAACUGUUCUGGCGUCUCUUCCCUGUAUUUGUUGGGUCUAUCUCCCUCCCGACUGUUUUUUUUCCCUGAUAUUCUCUGUGUGUUCCCCCACCUCUCCCACACCCACCGAUUCUUUGUGGUGGCUAUUCCACCCAACGUCCAGUGAAUCUUUCCAUUUUUCUUCUAUUGCGCGUGAUAGGGCCUUGCUGUUAAUAGGCAAAACUAAGCGGCAUCGUCGACUCUGUAAGCGACUUGUUGCAGAAGUCCAAAAUGGAGUCAAAAGGAUUUUGUAUUGGGUCGGGUUGUUGAAGGCGAUGGCUGAUUUAGCAAUCUCGCCUAACUACUUCUAUAUGCAGGAGAAGGAAGAGGGAGGAAGGUCUAAAGUGGUGGUUGAGUGGUGGCGAUGUAUGUGGGUUCUAUCUCGGUUGAAUGGGUGUAGAAAGAUAUUUAAUUUUCAGUUUCUUAUUUUAUUUUGUAUAAGGGAUAAUAUCGGAAUUACAUAAAAAGUUUUUUUUAUAGCUGGGUGUAGAAAUAGUAUUGUUGGGUCUAAAUAAAAUUACCCUAUUGCCAAACAUAGUAUUGUUGGGUCUAAAUAAAAUUACCCUAUUGCCAAUUAGCUUUGUUUGAAAAUUUUCAAAAUGAUAUUGUUUUUACCAUUGAACCCUUGUUAUAUACAGUGAUGGCUAAUUUGUCAAGUUCUACGAAGUUGGGAUACCCAGCGUUUUAGCAUAUAACAUAACUUAGUAUUACAAGCAUAAUUAAUUAAAAUAAAGGAAAAUGAAGAGGAUAGCUUAGUAUUACAAGCAUAAUUAAUUAAAAUAAAGGCAAAAGUAACAGCCUGUCCCUAAAAAUGACGAUUUUAUAAUCUUAACACGUGAGUUUAUGAAGAUGCCCUUCGAGGCAAAGUGUUGACUUGUGUUGACUACCGCAUCGUGUCAUGUGAGACUCAUCUUCUUGGCGUAUUCUCGUUUUACUUGUCACUACGGACGCAUGGGCGCAAACGGGACAUGAUUUGGAGCUAUAACGAAUGAGUUAUUAACAUUUAAAGUUAAGGACAUUUUAGUAAAUUAAUUAAUUUCAGAUUAUGUUGAGGGGAAAAUCUGGAGUGCCGGUGGGUGGCCCAGAUUAAAGGAAAUGAAGAAUGGAUGGUGGAGGUGUAAAGGAAAGAAGAUAAAAGAAAAAUGAGAGGAAGUGUGUGACUAAUAGGGAGAUGAGAGAGUUAGGAUGGCCCAAUCAGAAACAAACGAAAGGAGGAAAAAGGAGAGAAGAGGGGAGCGGGGGAUCCCUUCGACCCGGUUCCAUUUUCCGACCCGACCCGAUCCUUUUCAUCUUCUUUGAUGGUUUUUCGUCGGUUUUUUCCGACGAACCACGUUAUCUAACCCCUUGGAAAAUGUUCCACAACCUUCCCUCAACUAUUACAAUCCAAAAUUGUAGAAAUUUAGCCAUGAAAGUAUGAAAACCACACCGGUGGGUGCGGGAAACCCUUGUCGUCGAUUCUCCCAUUAUUGCAACGAUUUUCACCAAUUACCACCACCUACAACAUCCUCUUGAGGUCUGGAAUAAAGCCCAAACAAGUUUUGCACUACUACAAUAUUAGCUUUAGAUGGCAGAUGAUGGUGGCGGAUUUAGAAAAAUAUUGUCGGAUAAAUUAUAUCUGACACAUUAUUUAAUUAGUGGUGAAUAUAAGAAAAAUCAUGUCGGUUAUAACCGACAUAAAUUCGUGGCAGAUACUAGCAGAUAUUAAAAAACUCAUGUCGGUUAUAACCGACAUAAAUUCCUAGCGAAUAAUUACUGACAGAUAUUAUAAAACUUCUGUCGGUUAUAACCGACAAUAUUUUUGAAUUGGGGGAAUUUAAAAUUUUGGGAGGGAAUUUAAAAUUUUGGGAGGGAAUUUAAAAUUUUGGAGGAAAUUUUGGGGGGAUUUUUACCCAUAUUAAUUCAUGGCGGAUAAUUACUGACGAAUAUUAUAAAGCUCAUGUCGGUUAUAACCAACAAUAAUGAAAAUGUUUAUGUCGAUUUUUAUUAAAAAAAUGUUUCUGUCAGUUUUAACCGACAUUAAUGAAAAUAUUCCACAGUAAAACCCCUACUUCUUCUCCUUGUGCUGGUGCCUUCUCCCUUCCCCCUUCUUUCCCCCUUUUCUCUUCUCCUCAUUUCCUUUUCCUUUGUAUUUUUGAUUUUGACAAGGUCUCUCCUUUAUUUGAUUCUUUGUUGUUCAUCUCUCACAAAUGUAGAGAGAGUAAAGGAGAUGCUUAGAGCGCUUUCUUUGUUCCUUUUUUUUUUCUUUUCAUUUUUUCCCUUUUCAAACUCCGACUAUGUCUUACAUGGCCGGUCCCAAGCCCGGAUAAAGGAGGAGGGGGAGGGCGUCAGGUAGUCGACAGCCGGCACUCCAUGAUCACGUCGAAUCCUUAUGAAAAUGAAUCCAGAACAAAAUCGCGCUAAAGCUAGGGCGCCACCCGUAAGUGGCGCGCUGUGUGGCCCGAGCACAGUGAUAAGUGAGCAAGGGUCGCUGUAUCUCCAUCGGCACUCGGAUGCAGUGUUAAAUGAGCAAGGGGGCCAUAGAAACUUCUUUUCGAACGACUCCACUCAAAGUUGUUUGGGAGCAUAUGCUCCUAUCAACUUUACCCGGGACACACAAAAGAAGUACUUUGAUCCUAUUAGACGGGGGAGGGUGAAGAAGCUAGGACAGAAGGGUAGAGUUCAAGAGAGCAAAAUGCGUUUAGGAACGUGGAAUAUAGGAACCUUAACGGGAAAAUCUAUGGAAGUAGUGGAAGUUAUGGUGAGGAGAAGGAUAAAUAUUAUGUGCCUACAAGAAACUAAGUGGGUUGGUAGUAAGGCAAAGGAUCUAGAAAACUCAGGGUUUAAACUUUGGUAUUCGGGCACAAAUAGAACGAGAAACGGUGUUGGCAUCAUCGUGGACAAGACCUUGGUACAAGAUGUUGUAGAUGUCAAGAGUGUAGGAGAUAGAAUCAUGGCAAUCAAGAUUGUAAUAGGACAAGAACUUAUCAAUGUGAUUAAUGCGUACGCACCUCAAGUAGGGUUGGAUACGAGUUCGAAGGAGAAAUUUUGGGAAGAUCUUGGAGACUUGGUGCAAGGAAUUGCUCAGACGGAGAAGUUAUUUAUAGGAGGAGAUUUAAAUGGACACGUGGGCAGGGAGACAGGCAACUAUGGAGGUUUUCAUGGUGGCCAUGGUUUUGGGGAGAGAAACGAGGAUGGGGAAGCUAUCUUGGAUUUUACAAUGGCAUAUGAUCUCUUCUUAGCCAACACCUUCUUUAAGAAGAGAGAAGAACAUGUGAUCACCUACAAGAGUGGGUCGUCAAAAACACAAAUAGAUUUUCUUCUAAUGAGGAAAGGGGAUCGUAUAACUUGUAAGGAUUGCAAAGUUAUACCAGGAGAGAGCGUGGCUAAUCAACAUCGCUUGUUGGUGAUGGAUGUACAUAUCAAAAGAGUAAGACAAAAGAACAAGACUUGGAAGUGCCCAAGGACUAGAUGGUGGAAUCUAAAAGAAGAAAAACAAGUCAUUUUCAAAGAGAAGGUAAUCACCCAAUGUGUGUGGGAUAGAGAGGGGGAAGCUAGCCAAAUGUGGGAUUUCAUGGCUAGUUGUAUCCGAAAAGUAGCAAAAGAGGUAUUAGGAGAGUCUAAGGGCUUUGCCCCACACUAAAAGGAAUCUUGGUGGUGGAAUGAGGAGGUACAAACAAAGGUGAAGGCUAAGAAGGAAUGUUGUAAAGCCUUAUACAAGGAGAGGACCGAUGAAAAUGGUGAAAGGUAUAGAAAAAAAGCGAAGCAAGAGGCGAAGAAAGCUGUCAGAGAAGCUAAGUUAGCGGCUUACGACGAUAUGUAUAAACGACUAGAUACCAAAGAAGGAGAGUUGGAUAUCUAUAAACUAUCUAGAGCAAAGGAAAAGAAGACAAGGGACCUAAACCAAGUGAGGUGCAUCAAGGAUGAGGAUGGAAAGGUUCUUGCUACAGAGAACGCGGUUAAAGACAGAUGGAGAGGUUAUUUUCAUAAUCUUUUCAAUGAAGGACAUGAAAUGAGUGCUUCUUUAGGGGAGUUGAGUAACUCAGAAGAGUGUAGAAACUACUCUUUUUAUCGUCGAAUCCGGAAGGAAGAAGUGGUUGUAGCUUUGAAGAAGAUGAAGCAUAAAAAAGCAAUAGGCCCAGACAAUAUACCAAUCGAAGUGUGGAAACUUUUGGGAGAGACAGGUAUAACAUGGCUCACUGACCUUUUCAAUAGGAUUUUGAAAACGAAAAAGAUGCCAAAUGAGUGGCGAACGAGCACUUUGGUGCCUAUCUACAAGAAUAAGGGCGACGUACAAAAUUGCAUGAACUAUAGGGGUAUUAAGCUAAUGAGUCAUACAAUGAAGCUCUGGGAGAGAGUCAUUGAGCAUAGAUUGAGGCAAGAGACACGGGUUUCGGACAACCAAUUCGGGUUCAUGCCAGGGCGCUCAACCAUGGAGGCAAUCUAUCUCUUACGAAGAUUGAUGGAAAGAUAUAGAGAUGGGAAAAAUGAUUUACACAUGGUCUUUAUAGAUUUGGAAAAAGCGUAUGAUAGGGUCCCAAGAGACAUUCUUUGGAGGAUUUUAAAGAAGAAAGGAGUACGAGUAGCAUAUAUCCAAGCUAUAAAGGACAUGUAUGAAGAAGCAAAGACUGCCGUAAGAACUCAUGAAGGACAAACCGAAAGCUUUCCCAUAACUGUAGGAUUACAUCAAGGCUCAUCCUUAAGUCCUUACCUUUUUGCGUUGGUAAUGGAUGAGUUAACAGGACAUAUUCAAGAUGAUAUUCCUUGGUGUAUGCUUUUCGCAGACGAUAUAGUGUUGAUAGAUGAAACUCAGGAAGGGGUAAAUGCAAAGCUUAACCUUUGGAGAGAAGUGUUGGAAUCUAAAGGUCUUCGCCUAAGCCGAUCAAAGACAGAAUAUAUGGAGUGCAAGUUCAGUGCAAAUGGAGGCCAAAACGAGUUAGGGGUGAGGAUCGGAGAUCAAGAAAUACCAAAGAGUGACCGUUUUCGUUACCUAGGAUCUAUCUUGCAAAAGAACGGAGAAUUAGAUGGAGAUCUCAACCAUAGAAUACAAGCUGGAUGGAUGAAGUGGAAGAGUGCAUCUGACGUGUUGUGUGACCGUCGUAUGCCACUGAAGCUCAAAGGAAAAUUUUAUAGGACGGCAAUAAGGUCGGCGAUGAUUCAACUUGGCGGGUUCGAGCAAAUAGGCGUUGGGCCAUAUUAGACACAGAACCUGCACACUGAACACUGAGAGCUAGCGAAUCCUUAACAGCUAACUCAUCAGACCGUUUGGAAAGUAGUCUGUUAUCUUUGGGAGUGAGAAGGUUCCUGGCCACCACCGCAGCGGUCAUAUCAUUCUUCAUCACGGAAUCCCCAACGGUAAGAGGACCAGUAGGGGAGACAAAGGAUGGGCGCCAUAUGUUGUCUGGAGAAGGCGGGGCUGCCUCUUCAACAAGGUUCAAGUCAAAAAACGACGGUCGGAGGGCCAGACAUUUUCAAAGGUGUUGAAGAGAGAAGAGGUCGGACACAAAUCAAGAUCUUAGAAGUGCAAGAAUGAAGCUUCUACUGGUGGAGAUUCAAGUGUGCUUUGGAACUUAAUGCCAGCCCCUAUAAAAAUCUGCACUCGACGGAGCUUCAGAAAUCGAAGAGGCGUUUGCUUUCUCAAAAGCUGGGCUGCUUAGAGAUCACGAGGGUUGAUCUCAGGAAUCGAAGAGGCGUUUGCUUUCUCAAAAGUUGGGCUGCUCAAAGACCACGAAGGCCGAUCUCAGAAAUCGAAGAGGCGCUCACUUUCUCAAAAACUGGGCUCCCCAGAGACCACGAGGGCCGAUCUCAAAAAUCGAAGAGGCACCUACUUUUCCAGCCUUGUCAGCACCUGUCACACGCACACUCAGCUUUGCGGAAAUUAUGGGCAUUCUGUCGAAGACUUCUGGGGAAGUAGAAAACACAUGAAUCUUACUGUUCAAUCACCCACUUCCCACACGCAAUAAUAGCUCAUGGGUACCACAGAUAACUUUGCCAAAGUUCUCUGCCAAAGUUGAGCACGUGAAGCUUGCAGCUCCCACUACAUCGCUCUGACCAAGAAGGGUAAAAAGAAUAGCAAAGAAACAGCACUAACAAAGUUUAGACCCAUAAAUUUUGAAGGUCUAGCUACCAUAUUAUUACCCACAAGGGUAAAGGAACAGUACCACUGCUGGAUAAUUGGAAAGUCCCUAUGUGUCAACCUCUGUGCUUCGUGGCAAGGUAGACUAGCAAACAUGCCCAACCUUUACUCACAUUCGAGAAAACACUCCCAAUAAGAUUGCUUGCUCCAAAAUCGAAGAGGCACCGUCCUCCGAAUCUCGAGAGCCAGACUCCCAACAUGACUACUUUCUUAAAAAUCGAAGAGAGGGUAAAGGAACAGUACCAUUGCUGGAUAAUUGGAAAGUCCAUGUGUGUCAACCUCUGUGCUUCGUGGCAAGGUAGACUAGCAAACAUGCCCAACCUUUACUCACAUUCGAGAAAACACUCCCAACAAGAUUGCUUGCUCCAAAAUCGAAGAGGCACCGCCCUCCGAAUCUCGAGAGCCAGACUCCCAACAUGAUUACUUUCUCAAAAAUCGAAAGAGACACUGCUCCCCGAAUCUUCGAGAGCCAGACCCCCAGCAUGAUUGCUUUCUCAAAAAUCGAUGAGGCAUCGUUCUCCGAAUCAAUCGAAGAGGCGCUCGCUUUCUCAAAAGCUGGGCUGCUCAGAGACCACGAGGGCCGAUCUCAGAAAUCGAAGAGGCACUUACUUUUCUAGCCUUGUCAGCACCUGUCACACGCACACUCAGCUUUGCAGAAAUUAUGGGCAUUCUGUCGAAGACUUCUGGUGAAGUAGAAAGCACAUUAAUCCUACUGUUCAAUCACCCACUUCCCACACGCAACAAUAGCUCAUGGGUACCACAGAUAACUUUGCCAAAGUUCUCUGCCAAAGUUGAGCACGUGAAGCUUGCAGCUCCCACUACAUCGCUCUGACCAAGAAAGGUAAAAGAAUAGCAAAGAAACAGCACUAACAAAGUUUAGACACAUAAAUUUUGAAGGUCUAGCUACCAUAUUAUUACCCACAAGGGUAAAGGAACAGUACCACUGCUGGAUAAUUGGAAAGUCCCUGUGUGUCAACCUAUGUGCUUCGUGGCAAGGUAGACUAGCAAACAUGCCCAACCUUUACUCACAUUCGAGAAAACACUCCCAACAAGAUUGCUUGCUCCAAAAUCGAAGAGGCACUGUCCUCCGAAUCUCGAGAGCCAGACUCCCAACAUGACUACUUUCUCAAAAGCGAAGAGAGGGUAAAGGAACAGUACCAUUGCUGGAUAAUUGGAAAGUCCCUGUGUGUCAACCUUUGUGCUUCAUGGCAAGGUAGACUAGCAAACAUGCCCAACCUUUACUCACAUUCGAGACAACACUCCCAACAGGAUUGCUUGCUCCAAAAUCAAGAGGCACCGCCCUCCGAAUCUCGAGAGCCAAACUCCCAACAUGAUUACUUCCUCAAAAAUCGAAGAGACACUGCUCUCCGAAUCUCGAGAGCCAGACCCCCAGCAUGAUUGCUUUCUCAAAAAUCGAAAAGGCAUCGUUCUCCGAAUCUCGAGAGCCAGAUACCACAGACCACUUUUUCAAAGUGCUCUGACAGAGUUAAAACAUGUGAAACUGGCAGCUCCCACUACCGUGCUAUGACCAAGCAGGGUAAAGGAAUAGCAUUACUACUUGUUGUUAGGGAGACUCCUAUAUAUGUCGACCUCCAUCCCCAACGGACAGGCAGACCUGCAAAAAUGCUCAACCCUUCAUCAUAUCUGAGUGGGCACUCCCAACGAAGCCUUUCGAAAUAUUCAGCUUUCUUUCCCCCCGAUAAUACCUCUGCAAACAAGCUAUACUAGAGCAAGAAUAUCUCAUAUCAUCAGGGUUAAAAGCAAGAGUAUCCCAUAUCAUGCUUUUUCCCUGUCUUUUCCUUUGGCCUUGUUUUUACCUGCAAGACAAGGAGAAAGAGAGCAAUCAGUCAGCACUUGGAAUCAAGCUUCCAACCAGGAAAUGACUGCCUGGAACCCCUUACUUGGCAUUGCUCUCGAGUACUCAUCUUCAACAUCUUAUGUUUCCAGGGAAGAUUCUGCAUCUGCUUGAGGAACAGAUAGGGCAAGUGCGAAGGAUACAAGGAAGCAUGCGGAGACAAGCGUAACAGCACACGUGCCGAUACAUCCAUUACUCUGUCAAAAGCAAAAGUAUCCCAUAUCAGCAGGGUGGAACGUACUCUAGAUUUGAUGGACUUGUUUUGACCCUCAAAUUCUUCAGUCGGCCUUAUAUUCUGGAGGAAACCAGAAAACCCUCCAGCUCAGUUCAAGAAUAAGCCUGUGGAAAGUUACUUCUUCAAAAGCAAAAGUAUCUCAUAUCAUCUCUUCUCAUUUUUCUUCUCUCUUUAUCCUUCAUGCUGCUGCAAGAUGGGGAGAAGGUGAACAAUCAGUCGGAGCUCUGAUUGCUUACCUUGUCUGUCACCUCUUUCAGCAGACCCCCUAGCUCGGCGACUUGGGGGACUCCUACUAAAUGGUUUGUAUCGCGCUUGACCAAGCCUGAAACUACAAGUAAGCUUCAAGUGAAAUUGAUACAUUACCUUGUGCAUCUCCACCAGUUAAAGAUACCACCCCUGGAUGGAGGAAGAGUACUUCCAGAGAAGAUGCCACAUCUACCUAUGAGACAGAUAAGGCAAGUCAAGACGACACCACACUCCGAUACUUAGAAGUUUCGUGAUUAUGAGAUCAUUCUCCCACAAUAUUUCCUAAUGUCAUUUGUACUAAAUCAUUCACUUGUACUCACUAAAGGAGAGCUUGAACCUAUGUACUUGUGUAAACCCUUCACAAUUAAUGAGAACUCUUCUAUUCCGUGGACGUAGCCAAUCUGGGUGAACCACGUACAUCUUGUGUUUGCUUUCCUAUCUCUAUCCAUUUAUAUACUUAUCCACACUAAUGACCGGAGCAAUCUAGCGAAGAUCACAAAAAGCGACCGUUUUCGCUACCUAGGAUCUAUCUUGCAAGAGAACGGAGAAUUAGAUGGAGAUCUCAACCAUAGAAUACGAGCUGGAUGGAUGAAGUGUAAGAGUGCAUCCGGCGUGUUGUGUGACUAUCGUAGGCCACUGAAGCUCAAAGGAAAAUUUUAUAGGACGGCAAUAAGGCCAGCGAUGUUGUAUGGCACAGAAUGUUGGGCGGUGAAGCAUCAACACGUACACAAAAUGGGUGUAGCGGAGAUGAGGAUGCUUCGUGGGAUGUGUGGGCACACGAGAAAGGAUAAGAUUGGGAAUGAGGAUAUCCGAGGUAAAGUAGGAGUAGCCGAAAUUGUAGGAAAGAUGAGAGAAAAUCGGCUCCGGUGAUUUGGACAUGUGCAAAGAAGGCCGACUGACGCUCCGAUUCGAAGAUGUGACUACGGGACAGAGGUUCAGGGCCGAAGGGGUAGAGGAAGACCUAGGAAAACUUUGGAAGAGACUCUAAGAAAAGACUUAGAGUACUUGGAUCUAACGGAGGACAUGACACAAAACCGAGCGCAAUGGCGUUCUAGGAUUCAUAUAGCCGACCCCACUUAGUGGGAAAAGGCUUUGUUGUUGUUGUUGUUGUUGUAUUUUUUCCCUUUUCAAAAUCGAAAUGUUCUAAAUUAUUUCACUAAUCCUUGCUAGUUUGAACUGCAGGAGUCUGUCUCUGGAUUUGAAAGAUUAUCUGGACUUACAGUUUUGAAGAAUUGGGAUUCUAGUGUUACACAUAUUAUUGCAUCGACAGAUGAAAAUGAAGCAUGCAGAAGAACCCUUAAAAUUUUGAUGGGUAUCUUGGAGGGGAAGUGGAUUCUGAGUGUGGAGUGAGUUUUACUGUUUUCGUUUUAAUUGUUCUUCCUCAAGUGCUUGGACUUUACAAUUGUAAUGAGUACAGAAGCCGAAAUGAGAUAUUGAUAUACAUGUUCACAUUGCUGAUAAUUCGUUAUCCGUCUGUUUGUGUAGGAAUUAAUGCUUGCACAUAAGUAAUGAAACUAGUUAAUGAGGAGCCUUAUGAAAUCAACGUUGACAUUUAUGGAAUCAGGGAUGGUCCUCGACUUGGUAGACUAAGGCUGCAGAACAAGGUUAGCUUUUCCUCGAGUUUAACUAUCAUCACGAAAACUUUAGAUUUUCAUGGAUUCACCAUAGGCAUUGUUAAUCUUGUUCAGUCCAUAAAUAGGUUACACACUUAUCUUAACAAAGGUGAGACCUUCUCAAUUCCUCAUCGAGAUGAAUCAAGAGCAUAAUUGUAGCAGUGAUCAAGAGCAAUUUUUUUAUGUUUCUUCCAAAUUGUUGAGAUGAAUCAUCUGUGUUUUGUUCUAAUAAUCUUACAAAUUUGUUGAGCAAUUUUUGUAAAGUCAGAAUCUUUGGUUUCGGUUGUGAGGUAUCUGAUUUGGGUAUAUGUGUUUUGCAGGGCACGGUGGUUGUGGCGGAGGAAGAUUAGGAUUGACGACAGAGCUCUGGCCAUGAACUAUCAGCUCUGUCUUUCUCUCUCUAACUAUGAAUUGAAUACAAAAGUCUGUGUUGAUAUGGAAAAUGUAGCUCAAAAUUAUUACACAAAUGGCAAAAAAAAAAAGUUCGAGUGUGGAGUUUCACUUACUGAUACAGGGCUUUUGAAACAGGGUUGUCUAGACUGUAGAAGAAAUCCAUGGCUUUUGGAAGAGGGGAUGUUCCAAAUCUAUCUUUUCUCCCUCUCUAAUGUUCUUCGAGGGGUUCUUGUGAUGCAAAAAGUGGUUUAUAUAUAUUUUUUAUUAUUAAUAAAUUUUCUGUCGGUUUUAUCAGACAAUAAUUCUUUUAUUUAUUCUUAUUAAUAAUUUCUCUGUCGGUUAUAUCUGACACAAUUUCUGUCGAUUUUAGAGUAUUUUCUAUCGAAAAUUUCAUUUCCUGACGCAUCAAUUAUGUCGCUUAUUAUAUCCGCCACUGCACUCAUUUCAUGUCGGAUUUUGCUUAAUUUCCAACAGUAUUAUACAUUUCUUGUCGGUUUUUAAACCGACACUAAUGGGUACUUUUGUAGUAAUGUUGGGGCGUCGGAGUUCGUUUAAGGUCGAAUUGAGCACACCCAAAUUCAAGGGUUCCGUACGGUUCAUGGUAAUUUGAGGUAUUUCUCAGCCAAAUUGUCCUUAGUCACAGAUAUGAAAGUUGCUCCACUCGUUGAGAUCUUCAUUUAUGUCAAAUUUGAGAAUUUUUAGAAAUAAUUGGAUUUUCCAGCGAAUCGGGGCGGCGGACCACCACCGGACAGCGCAUGGCUAGUGGGCCCCCAAUGUCAUUUUACGUUAAAUUGGUAUCUUGAUUUUAGGUUUGAUGUCUAUAUGUUAUGACUUGAUAUGUGAACCUAGUUUAAUUAAGGUGCGUUAAUUGGUAAAAAUAUGAAACGACGAUCCGACCGUGGGAUCGUCACCAAUCUUUAUUAUGUUAUAGUACAUUAUAUUUGAGAAUCAUAGGGACUGACGGAUAGGAAAUCCGAUAUACGGAUCUUCCUGAAAUGGAAUUGUAAGUUCGAAGAAUAAACGUUAACCGCCACUUUGUUUUGACUAUUGGUGAAGAUCCAACCGUUGGAUCAUAAUGAAAUUUUAGGAUGAUGUUUUAGAAGCAUAAUGUGGAUCUUUGGAAGUUAUUGAUUGGAAAUCCGAGGAGCGAAUCUUCCGGAUUGAAUUACGUAAGGUUGUGGACCCUACCGUCGAUCGUUGACUGACGAUCGACUUUUGGUCAAUGGGGCUUAAAUCACUCUAAAAUGUUUUUAGGGAUGUGUUUUACGUAAAUUACAUUAUCUAUGGAUAAGAAUUCUGAGAUGUGGUUUGAUAAUUGUCCUGGGCGCCGAUCGUUAGGAACGCUUCGAUGGUUGUGCUAGGAAAUUGUAGCAUAGACUCCAGGUGAGUGAAUCUUUUCCUUCUUAUAUAUAUAUAUAUAUAUAUAUGAUUGACAAUUCCACAAACGUUUAUAAAUUGAUUAUUGCAUAUAACUACUGUAAAUACUUUGAAGUACUUAUGCGAACUACGAAUGGCUUGAUCCCUAUUUAGGGUACGUAUGCAGUCUAACAAGACAUUAAAUGCAGUCAUACAAUAAUUGAGAUUAAACAAUUGAGACAAAGCCUUGUAUGGGGAACUGGGCAAGGUGAACGAAUUUGGUAAAAAUGUGAGAUUUAACCUUCUGAAUUGGUGAUUAAAUGUUGGUCAUAAAUCAAUGUGUAAAGAAUCAAGAAUUUGAAGUAAGGAAACGUAAGUAAUGAUAAUUAAUUAAACUAGUGUCUAGUUGGGCUUGUCACCUAUAAUUAUCCCCAAAAAUGAAUAAUUCGGGAGUAGGGCGUUAUAGCUUCUGCAUUUUUAUGCCACAUUAUAUAUAUAUAUAUAUGUGUGUGUGUGUGUGUGUGUGUGUGUGUGUGUAUAAUUGGAAAUGCUAUAACGUGGUUGAGUAUCAGAUUUCAUCAUGGUUUAUCUAUAUGUAUAUUACCUGCACACAAUUAUUAUGAACACUUUGAAGUGCAAAGGUGAACGCAAGACACCCAGGAAAGUUCAGGUGAGUUUAUGGUAUUAGUUGAAAUGAUGGGGUUAUGGUAACUACAUGUAUGUUUAGGUUGCAAUGAUAGGCAACUCCGACACUGUCGUACAAGUUGCCCAUGAAUUGUAUAUGUUACAAUAGAUAGAGUUAGAGGUCAUAAACCUGCACCCCGGUGUUAGUGCUCCCACCCGUGGCUAGGGCACAGUCUUUCACGAGAUGUUCACCUCUCGCAUCUUACGCUCACCUUGGAUCCAAGGUAGGUGCACAGUCAUGUCAUAAAGACCACUAUAGGUGGUUCCGACUAGUAGAUGACCCGUGAUUAUUCGCACAGUCUUCACGUGAUUGUAGCACUUGAGCGUAUUUAUUUACACCCAGUCCUGUCGUACAGACCACUUUAGGUGGUUCCGACUCGUAUGCAGGUAUACUUAUUGAGCUAUGGAUAAGUCGUACAGGUCACUAAAGGUGACUCCAACUUAUGAGCUAGCAUAUGUGAUGAAAUAUGUGAUGAGCUAGCAUAUGUAAUGAGAUAAGUGAUGAGCUAGCAUAUGUGAUGAGAUAUGUGAUGAGUUAGCAUACGUUAUGAGAUAUGUGAUGAGUGAUAUAAUCAUAAUUGCAUACAUUUUCAUGCCCUUUUAGUUUAGAUUUUUGUUAUCCUUUUGAGUGAAUUUAGUUUGUUUCACUUAGUUUUAUGUUUUUCUUAGAUUUGAAGUGUGAAGAUGAAGAAAGAAGAAAAAAGAGCAUUUUUAGCGAUUGAAAUGAGUUUGGCAUGCUGGAAGCAGAGGCUAUUUGUGCGGAUCAGCCAACUUUACGGAUUAAACUGUACUUCCUUAGAAUGCCAGCUGUUGAGUCUUAUACCAUUGGAAAGAUAUGAAAGUUAGCUUUCAGAGGAAUUUUACGAUUCGUGAUUCCGAGUUUCCUAGAAGACGUUAUAGUGGUUUUUCUACCAGAUGUCUGCCAGCAAGGUUUUACGCGGGAUUUGCAAAGAGAUUCCAGAUUUACAAAGUUUAAUUAAAGGAAACAAGCAGAGAAAAAAGAAGAGGAAGCUUUUAGAAAAGUUCAGGACUAUUCUAAACGGUGCAUAGUUAAUAUAUUUAAUAGUUUAGUGUGCCACAUCAUCAAUAAACUAAUCUAAGUCAGAAGAGAAAUUCAAGAGUCCCAUUCAAGUAAGUAUUCCAGCAGUUUUAUUCAGGAAUAAAGGAGGGCAGACCGUCGGACUUUAGGAGCGGACAGAGAGAGUUUUUGGGUUUUCGAAGGUGCAGAGAAGAGGUCGCAGCAAGGAGUGAAACAGAGUCGCCGAUCAUCUGGGCAAUCCAUCACCAUCGUGUGGAAGUAUUUUAUGUUUUUCAGAUUUUUAAUUAUGUUUUCAGAUUUUAUGAGUAACUAAACUCUUUUUCUAAGGUUAGGAUGAUGCCCUAGCAUGGAUGUUUAUGGUUUGUAAUGUUAUUCAUUGGAUUUCCAGUUUCUUUUAGAUGAAUGCUUAAUCACUGUUUGAAUUGUUACUGUUUGUUUGAGUUCUUUGAUUGAUCACCUUAGGACUUUGCAUCUAGUAAGAUUGGAAGAUGAAUUUGAGACUGAACUAACAAUAUAAUUCAAUUAGCUUCUUGUGGUUAAGUGUGGUAAAUUACAUUAUUGCUUGAAAAAGAAUAAUGGUUUGUUUGGGUCCCUUGUUUUCUAGAGGGUAAAGAGUCCUACUUGUUAAAUUUAUGCCUUAACUAGGAUAGACUGCUUGUUAGGAUAUACGACCUCUGCCUAAACUAGGAGAGAAUCAUUCACAUAAGGAAAACUAUGGUCUAAUAUGCCUGACAAGGACUUAGAUACGGGAAUUAUCAUCUAAAGAAUUGAAAGAUCCAUUGAAUGCAUUGAAACCUAAACUAGAUUGCUUGUGGUUGAUUCCGAAUCCCUAGAUUUUCAUCACUUGCCUUAAAACACAACCGUUUCUUUUCUUUAAUUUCAGUUUUUACUUAAGGUUCUGUUUUUGUUCAUUUAUAAAAUCAUCACAACAAAUUUUUUACAUCUUUGAUUGACUUAUUAAUUAAGAUCGAGUCUAGUUCGUUGUUUGGGUUUGUGUGUCUUUAAUAUAAUUAGAUUUGGUUUAGUUUAUCAAAUUGGAGAUUGAAUUAGAAUCCUCGUGGGAACGAUACUUGGACUUGCAAAACGUUAUAUUACGACUAUCUUGUGCACUUGUAAGUUUACACCAAGUUUUUGGCGCCGUUGCCGGGGACUCUAAUUGAGUCCCCCAAUUUGAUAUCAUAUUCCAUAUCUAAUAAGUAGUUUAUUGUAGAUUAUUCAAUUUGAUUUUGUUUUGUUCUCUAGUUUCGAGUAAGAGUCAUAACUAUUAAGAUAAGUAAAAGUAAUUUUCGUCACUGUUUUAUUUCAGUUUUGUAUCACUGUUUCGACACAGUUUUGGACUAAACUAUUCGAUUUUUUACCAGGAAUAUUGUGUAUCGUUGGAAAGCCCCAGAAGUCUAGUUUUCAACCCAAAAAACAGAUCAAUGAUUGGAUUUUUGAGCUGCAAGAAAUGUACAAAAUACUGAGCAGUGGUCAAACAAGGAGCACAGUCUGGUCGUAUAUGCAAGGUAGACGUUCGUUGCAAUUUGAGUUGAUUCAUAUAGACCAAGAACUUGUGCGUACUUUAAGAGAACAGUGGAGGCAGCGAGUGUGUCAAGAACCAGCCAUGGAGGAAGUAGUUAAUAAUGGUGGAAAUAAUCCUCCACCAUUGCUACCACCACAACCAAGGCUCAUGCGUGAUUAUACAAAGCCAACGGAGUACAACGCACCGUCAUGCAUUGUUUUGGCUCCAAUUGCGCAGCGAUUUGAGAUUCGUCCACAAAUCUUUCAGUUGCUGCCUAUAUUUCUUGGGAAGGAGGAAGAAAAUCCAUACCAUCAUAUCAAGGCGUUUUUCAAGCUAUGUUCCACAUUCACAUUCACCAAUGUUACUGAAGAGCAAAUUCGACUUCGGUUAUUCCCAUUCUCUUUGAGGGAUAAAGCAAGCAGUUGGUUGGAUUCUCUUCCCGAAGCAUCUAUCGACACAUGGACAAAAUUAUCGAAGAAGUUUUUGUCCAAGUUCUUCCCCGCUCGAAGAACCAAUGCUCUGAUCAAUGAAAUCAUGAGCUUUCGACAACAAGAAGGUGAACAGUUUCAUGAAAGUUGGGAGCGCUAUAAGGACUUGUUUCUUCAAUGUCCUCAUCAUGGUUUCAACACUUGGCAAAAGGUUCAUUAUUUUUACAAAGGUUUGAACUCUCAAUGUAGGAGUUUGGUUGAUUCAACGGUUGGUGGAACCUUGAUAGACAAAACUCCAGAAGAUGCCAUACAUGCCUUUGAAACUAUAUGUGAAAAUUCUGAGCAUUGGGAUUUUCCUACAAAAGAUUUGAGAGUUCCAACUGCAUCGUCAACAAAAAAAGGAGGCAUUUAUGAAGUUAAUACAAGGACGGGCUUAGAGGCACAAGUGGCAGCCCUCACCAAGCUUCUCACACCACUUGUAAGCAAGAUAGCCACGCAGCCAUGUACUUUAUGUGCGAGCAUCGCCCAUGACAUGGAAAAUUGUCCAACAAAUGCUAAUCUAGAAGGCAUCCAAGAGGUCAAUGCAUUUAGUGGGAGGCCCCGGAAUGAUCCAUAUUCUAAUAAUUAUAACCCGGGAUGGAGAGAACAUCCAAAUUUUUCUUAGAGAGAUUCACAAAAUAGCAUGGGAUCAUUCACUUCAACAAAGCAAUAUCAGCAACCUUAUCAAGCUCCUCCAAUUCAACAAAAAGACUCGUCUAUCAAGGAUAUGUUAUCUCAACUCUUAAAGAAAACUGAUCGGUAUGAACAUGAAGUUGUGUCGCUUAGACAAAGUCAGACGGUGUUGGAAAAGGCUCGAUCUAAUUUUGAGACUCAGUUGGGACAGAUAGCUACUACUUUGAACAAGCUGGAGUGAGCACAAGGGCAAUUUCCAAGCCAAACUGAAACAAAUCCUAGGAAUCAAAAGCAUGUUCAAGCUGUCACCACUUUGAGGAGUGGAAAGACGAUUGGUAAUAAUGUGGAAAGUUCAAAAAUUAAUAAGGAAGAAGAUGAAGGGGUCAGCACAUAUCGGGCAGCAGCUUGACAAGACAAGCUAAAAAAGAGAAGUAUAUGGGAGAUAUUUUAGAGCAAUUUAGAAAGGUGCAGAUUAAUAUUCCUUUUCUCGAUGCCAUCAAACAAAUUCAAUCAUAUGCGAAGUUUUUGAAGGAACUUUGUACUAACAAGAGACGGUAUGAAGAACAUGAGGAGGUGAAGUUAUCAGACACGGUUAGUGCGGUUCUUCAAAGAAAAUUGCCACCAAAACUUCAAGAUCCUGGUAGCUUUACAGUCCCAUGUGUCAUUGGAGAAAGAAAAUUCGAAAAAGCUUUGCUUGACUUGGGAGCCAGUGUGAAUUUGAUGCCCUAUUCUGCUUAUAAACACCUCAAAUUAGGCGAACUAAAGCACAUAUCCAUUUCUCUACAAUGCACUGAUCGUUCUGUGAAAUAUCCAAGAGGGAUUGUUGAAAAUGUACUUGUGUGUGUUGAUCAAUUUAUUCUUCCUGCUGACUUCAUCAUUUUGGACAUGGAAGAAGCCGAAAUUCCUGGUCGUGACUUGCCUCUCAUUCUUGGCAGACCUUUCAUGGCUACUGCAGGUACGAAGAUUGAUGUUAAAUCGGGAUUAUUAACUAUGACUGUGCAAGGUAUUACUGUAGAAUUUCAGGUCUUCGAAGCAUUGAAGAAGCCCAUGGAUCUUUAUGACUGCUUUCGUGUUGAGGUAGUGGAUCCAAUUAUAAAAAAAAACAUUCAUUGAAUCAAGCAUCUCAGAUCCUCUGGAAGUUUGUAUCUCUCAACAUGGGAUGAGUUUUGAAAAGGCUACCAUCAUUGAAGCAGAACGAGAUCUCAAUGCCGUAACGUCCUACUCUCUUAGAUGCCAGCCCAAAUUUGAAGCGUUGCCACUCACAAGCCAAAAUUGUACCAUCCAUUAUACAACCUCCAAAGCUUGAAUUGAAGCCUCUUCCAGAGACUUUAAAGUAUGCAUAUUUGGUGAUUCAGAGACUCUUCCUGUGAUUAUAGCUGCUGAUCUUAACCAAACAGAAGAGGAAAAGUUGAUGCAAAUGUUGAGGGAGCAUAAAACAGCAUUGGGAUGGAGUAUUGCAGACAUAAAAGGAAUUAGUCCUCAAUUUGCAUGCAUCGGAUAUAUCUUGAGGACAAGUCAAAGCCUUCUAGAGAGGCACAGCGACGUCUAAAUCCACAUAUGCAAGAAGUGGUUCGGGCAGAAGUUCUUAAAUUACUGAAUGUCGGCAUUAUUUAUCCUAUAUCUAACAGCAAAUGGGUAAGUCCACUGCAGGUUGUACCACAGAGAUCUGGAAUUACAGUUGUCAAGAAUGAAAAUAAUGAGCUUAUACCCCAGAGGACUGUCACGGGUUGGAGAAUGUGUACAGAUUACAGAAAGAUCAAUAAUUCAACUCGAAAAUAUCAUUUUCCACUCCCUUUCCUUGAUCUCAUGCUUGAGAGACUUGCAGGCCAUAGUUAUUAUUGUUUUCUUGAUGGCUAUUCCAGAUAUAAUCAAAUUCCCAUAGCUCCGGAAGAUCAAGAAAAGACUACUUUCACAUGUCCAUUUGGAACUUUUGCCUAUCGACGAAUGCCUUUUGGGUUAUGUAAUGCUCCCGCAACAUUCCAAAGAUGCAUGAUGAGCAUUUUCUCAAACUUGGUGGAAAGGUGUAUCGAAGUGUUCGUGGAUGAUUUUUCCGUGUUUGGGUCAUCGUUUGAUCAAUGUCUUCAUCAUCUUUCAUUGGUGCUCUAACGGUGUCAAGAAACCAACUUGAUUUUAAAUUGGGAAAAAUGUCAGUUUAUGGUGAAAAGUGGUAUUGUUCUUGGUCAUGUAAUUUUAGCUGACGGAAUUGAAGUUGAUAAAGCUAAGGUGGAGCUGAUUUCGAAGCUUCCUCCUCCCACUUCUGUAAAAGAAGUUCGAUCCUUUCUCGAGCAUCCAAGUUUUUAUCGCCGAUUUAUUAAAGAUUUCUCGAAAAUCACCAAGCCACUUUGUGAUCUGCUUGCUAAAGAUUCUGUGUUUAAUUUAAAUGGUGAGUGCUUACAAGCUUUUGAGACCCUCAAGAAAGAAUUAACACAAGCCCCAAUCAUAAAAGCUCCAGAGUGGUCUCUUCCUUUUGAAAUCAUGUGUGACGCCUCUGAGUAUGCAAUAGGUGUUGUGUUAGGGCAGCGAGUUAACAAACUUCCUCAUGUUAUAUUUUAUGCUAGCCGAAUUCUCACUUAACAACUUUCAUAUCCCUUAGUUUCCAAAAUUUAAUAUACAAAUUUAGUCUCCCAAGCAUUGCUAUAUUACUUAAGUAUUGAUUAAUAGACUUAUUUCUUAUGGUGACACAUUAUUUAGUUUACAAAUUUAGUCUAUCUAACAUUACUCUUUUGACAUUGUCUUGUCCACUGAUAUAAUUCUAUUUUUCUUGUGAUCAAAACUUCAAAUGUUAGCAAGUCGCACGUAAAGUCGCUUCUGAGAGAAUGUGCUCACAUUGUAGUUGAAAGAUUAUGUGGCUAGCAACAUUACAAAUUUAAUUUGGUAUAAUUUUAAAAUAUAGAUUGAGGAAAAAAAGGAUCACAUUAACUAGAAACUGAAAAGGUUUCGGCGCAAUAUGUUCAAGCAAGAAACUCAAUUUUGAUGCUACCGAUCUUAACAGCCUGAGCGCCGUACCUGGGCACUAAAGUCACCACCACACUCUCAUCAUCUUCAGCACCCAAAUCCUCCAACAGGUCCGUUAACCCCAACCUUAAACAACUCUUGCUCUUUUCCUUCUGCUUAUGUGGCACACUCACAAAACUCCCAGCAAACUCGCUCUUGUCGGGUCCACUCGGUGCCGCAUCCUCAUCAUCCACGUCAUUCACAUACACAUCAAACUUCACAGCCACAUCUUUGUCAAGCUCAAUCCCCCGAAUCACCAAUAUCUCCUCCUCAUCCUCUUUCUCCUUCUUGCUCCUCUUCUUCGGCUUCGGCCUUGACACCACCGUAGUUAUCUUCGUCUCCAAAUUUAUUGGAAAAUCUUUACCCGCCACCACCU